AAAAAGCAAAAGAAAGGAUUCAAUCUCAAAGUCAAUGGCCAAGGAUACCAAAGGUUCCUCAGAUGCUGAGGGGGACCCAGGAUUUCAAGAAAUUCUACGAACCGAGGGUAAUUUCAUUGGGUCCUUACCACCAUGGCAAUCCCCACCUUCGCCCAGGGGAAAUGAUCAAGCCCCUAUUUGCCCAAAAAUUCCUGGCUGAUAGGAACCAGGACAUCGAUGCUUUGUACACAAAAAUUGAAAGUAAUAUCGAGGCAGUGAAGAAGUGCUAUGAUUGGAGUAGUACAAGCGAGUAUGAUGAUGAAGCACUCGCCUGGAUGAUGCUUCUGGAUGGGUGUUUUUUACUACAAUUCAUUUGCGGUACAGGUAUGAAAAACUUUCUUAGAUAUCACCAAAUAGGUUUUGUGGAGCUGGACUUGUUCCUGCUUGAGAACCAACUUCCUUUUGGAGUCCUCAAGUUGAUUUUUGAGGGAACAAGUUUACCAGUGGAAGAGACGAUUAAAGAAUUCGUCACUAACACCAUAAGGCCAGAAGGGUCGACAUCAGAAAUACAACUUAAAGAGGAGUACAAAGAGCCCUCUCAUCUCCUCGACCUCUUGCGAAGUGCUCGCCUAGGUAGGUAUAAAAAGAUUAGCAAGCAAGAACUAGGGAGUCAACCGGAACAAGAGCAGGAAGCUGGAAAAAAGGGAGAGUCGUCGUCGUCUCGAGGAAGAGAUGGAGGGUUCUGUUGCCCAUGGAAAAAAGGCAAACAACAAGGCAAUUGGCCGUCUUUUCGACACAUCAAGGAGCUUAAAGCUGCCGGGAUCCAUCUCCAACCGAGUGCAACGAGUUCCUUGACAGACAUUUAUUUCAAUUCCUACUUCUUCUAUGGCUACCUGAAACUUCCCCAAAUAAUCGUUGAUGACUCUACGAAGCCCAAGUUCUUGAACAUUGUAGCCUAUGAAAUGUGUCCAGAUGCCCCAGAUGACUAUGCGGUCACUUCUUAUGUAUGCUUCCUUUACGAGCUCAUUGAUCAUGCAGACGAUGUGAAGGAGCUGAGAUCUAAGCACAUUCUCUACAACUGUCUUGGCUGCGAUGAAGAUGUGGCCAAAAUUUUCAACGAGAUCGGCAAUGACUUGGUAGAUCCCGAUGCUUAUAAAGAAGUGAAAACUAGUAUUCAGAAACACUACGACAAGAGAGUGAAUAUUUGGAUAGCUAAAGGCCUUCACGAACAUUUCAGGUCUCCAUGGACUAUCAUCGCUUUCAUUGCUGCUGUUUUGAUACUACUUUUUACUGGGGUUUCGACCUACUACGCUCUUCCCGAUAAAUCUUCUUAUCGGGUUUCAGACCUACUUCGCUCUUCCCGCUAAAUCCAAGUGAGUCAUGGUAAUAUAUAUCUUCAAAUUGAUAAAUGGUAGUUUUUUCUAUUCAUUCUUUCAUUCGUUCAUGUACAGAGAAUAUAUAGAGGGUAAUCACCAUUCUAAGAAUGGGAAAGAAUGAUACAAGGAAAGAAUGAUAUAGGAAAUAACAAUUAAUAUUCUAAUAUCUCAACUUUCCUAAUAUCUCAAUAUUCUUAAUAUCUCAACUUUCCUAAUAUUUAAACAUUCCUAAUAUCUCAACACUAAAUAAUAUAAGGAAAGAAUGAUAUACGGAAAACAUUCCUAAUAUCUCAACACUUCCCCUCAAGUUGGUGCAUAGAUGUCACACAUGCCCAACUUGUCUAAAAAUUUUGAGAACACUUGACUUGAGACAACUUUGGUGAGGAUAUCGGCCAAUUGAUCUUCUGAUCGAAUCUUAGGCAAUUCCACAAUCUUAUCAUCCAAAUUUUCCUUAAUGAAGAAUCUAUCCACCUCGACAUGCUUUGUACGAUCAUGUUGUACUGGAUUAUGAGCAACGUCACAUGCGACUUUAUUGUCACAAAACAAUCGAAUUGGUCGCCUAGAUAAGUAACCUAAAUCCUGUAAGAGAAGUCUUAGCCAUAAUGCCUCACAAAGUCCUAGAGUCAUACCUCUAAAUUCUACUUCUGCACUUGAACGAGCGACGACAUUCUGCUUCUUACUUUUCCAUGUCACAAGAUUACCACCUACAAAGGUAAAGUAACCAGAUGUAGAUUGCCUAUCAUCCACUGCACCGGCCCAAUCAGCAUCAGUAUAUACUUCUAUACUCUGAUGAUUAACAUUUUUAGCGAACAAAAUUCCCUUCCCAGGAGCAUUCUUCAAAUACCUCAAAAUACGCAUAACUGCAUUCAUAUGUUGCUCUUCAGGAUUAUGCAUGUAUUGACUCACUACACUCAAUGCAUAAGCAAGAUCUAGUCUUGUAUGAGCUAAGUACAUUAAUCUCCCUACAAGUCUCUGGUAUCUUCCCUUAUCCGUUGAUACUUGAUUAGGCUCAACACACAAUUUCAGACCUUCUUCUAUUGGUGUAUUAACAGGUUGACAUCCCGACAUUCCAGUCUCCUGUAAAAGAUCUAAGGCAUACUUUCUUUGAGACAGAAAAAUUCCUUCACUUGAUCGAUAAACUUCAAUCCCAAGAAAGUAUUUCAGAGGACCUAGAUCUUUCAUUUCGAAUUCUUUAGAUAGAUAAUUUUGGAGAGCUUUUAUUUCUUUAGGAUCAUUUCCUGUAACUACCAUGUCAUCCACAUAUACGAUGAGUGCGAUAAUCUUACCAUGUUGCUUUUUCAGGAACAAAGUAUGAUCUGAAUUACUUUGAUGAUAGCCAAAAGCUCUCAUUGACUUUGUGAACCUUCCAAACCAUGCUCUCGGGGAUUGCUUCAACCCAUACAAUGACUUCUUCAAUUUGCACACCUUCUGACAUUGCUUUUCUGACACCAUGCAUCCUGGUGGAAGAUCCAUAUAUACUUCUUCAGAUAACUCGCCAUGCAGAAAGGCAUUUUUCACAUCGAAUUGUUGUAAUGGCCAAUCUAGUUUUGCAGCUAAAGACAGUAAUACUCGAACUGUGUUGAUCUUAGCUACAGGUGCAAAUGUCUCUGUGUAGUCAAUUCCAUAAGUUUGAGUGUACCCUUUUGCUACCAGUCUUGCUUUAAAUCGUUGAAUACUACCUUCUGCCUUGUACUUCACAGUAUAGAUCCAACGACACCCAACUGGCUUCUUUCCUGGUGGACAUUCUACGAGUUCCCAUGUUUCAUUCUUCUGCAAUGAUUUCAUCUUUUCAUUCAUGGCUGCUUUCCACCUUGGAACAGCUAAGGCUUCCUGCACACUGUUAGGAAUAGCUACAGUAGAUAAUUGAUUUACAAAUGACUUAUUUGAUUCAGACAAACGAUGGUUAGACACAUAGUUGCUCAUUGGAUAUUUGACUUUGGUAGACAAUUCAGGUUCAUAUGUAGGUUUAGGAAUACCUCUAUUAUGACGGUGUGGUAACUGUUUCAUGAAUGGAUCAGGUUCCAAAUUAAGAACACCUUCAACAGACGACGAUUGGUUUGGUAUUUCAGUAAAGACAUUUUCGAACCCAAAUUGUUGACCACUCAUAUCCAACUCACCCGCUUCUUGGUUCACUAGUUUAGAUUGUCCAGAUUCAUUCUCCUUAGAGAUAUGAUAAUCAUAAUCGAGAGUCUGAAUUUCCUUAUGGUACUCCCCCUGAAGUUCAGACUCAGAUGAAAAAUACAUCGAAUCUUCAUGAAACACCACAUCCAUUGUAAUAUACAUUUGUCGAGUUGGAGGAUGGUAACAUCGAUAUCCCUUUUUGUGCAAUGCAUAUCCAACAAACACACAUUGCAAUGCAUGGGAAGUUAAUUUGGUGCGUUGGUGUUUGUGUAGAUGCACAAAUGCCACACAACCAAAAACACGAGGAGGUAGAUUUGGGACAGUUGGGGCAACUACGAUAUUAGUAAGAGCUUAGAGAGGUGUUUGGAAGUUAAUUGAGUUAGAAGGUACCCGAUUAAUCAAGUAUGCGGCAGAUGUGAUUGCUUCUCCCCAAUAAGAUAUCGGUGUUUUUGCUGCUAUCAAGGAAGCACGAACAACCUCUAACAAGUGCCGAUUUUUUCAUUCAGCGACUCCAUUUUGCUGGGGUGUAUUGGAACAAGUAGUCUGAUGAAUGAUGCCAUGUCCUUCCAAAUACUUUUGAAGAUCAAAACUUUGAUAUUCUCCACCAUUAUCACUAUGCAGAACCCGAACCUUUGCAUUGUACUGAGUUUCAAUCAUUUUAUGAAAAUUUUGAAACAACAAGUUCACUUCAUCUUUGGUCUUCAUCAAGCAUAGCCAUGUCAUUCUGGUACAAUCAUCAAUAAAAGUAACAAACCAACGUGAGCCACUCAAAGUUGGGACUUUGGAUGGGCGGCCCCAAACAUUAGAAUGUAUAACCAUAAAAGGAAACGGACUUUUGUUCAAAAUUAACGGAAACGAAACACGAUGGCUUUUAGCCAAUUCACAAAUAUCACAAUGGAAACCAGAAAUAUCACUCUUUGCAAACAAACUAGGAAACAAUUUUUUUAAAUAACCAAAGGAAGCAUGUCCCAGACGUCGAUGCCACAACCAAAUUUCAGACUUUUUCUUCUCCCCCUCAGAUCCAUCUGCCAUCAAGGCUUGUUGCAACUUAUUUGAAUCCUUUGACUGCAAGUCCAAGUAAUAGAGUUUUCCCCGCUUAAUACCCCAACCAAUCGUCUGUCUUGUUUGGAUGUCCUUAAUCACACAAAAUUCAGGCCAAAAAAUGACAAUACAAGAUAAGGCUGCGGUGAUUUGAGAAACUGACAAAAGAUUGUAAUUUAAAGAUGGAACAACUAAGACAGAAUCCAAAUUCAAAGUAUCAGUAAGAGUUAAGGAUCAUUCCCCAAUGACUGGGGUUAUGUUACCUUUGGCUGUGGAAACAAUUUUUUGUGAGGAAGGUCUAAGGGGUGAAACCUGUCUAGAAUCAAAAGUCAUAUGAUCUGUAGCACCAGAAUCAAUUAUCCUUGCACUAUUAAUAACAGGUGUAAAAGUAUUUAAAAACUUACCACCAUGAUUUGUAGCGGCUACCAAUGUAGAGGCUUUCUCAGCAACAUUAGCCUCUGUUUUUAUUUCGGCAACAGUUGCAAUCGAGGUUUUCUUGGAAUCCUUCUUCCGUUGAUCAAGAUUAUUAUCAUUAAUAACAAAGUGUUGAUAGCCUAAACAUGAUCUAAAGGUCCAUAGUUCAAACCCUCGGUUCCUCAUUGUUUUCCUGGUCAUACCAAGAGUCGUUGCUUUGAAAUUGUGGCAUAUCCAGAUUGGUGGGAUCAAUCUUAUUGUAGUGAGUGCAUUUGAAGGUUGACUUAUCAACAUUAGGGCUUGUCUUAGGAUGGAUGAUCGCUGUCGGACUACCAUAGCGACAAAAUAUCUAGGAUUUCAGUUCCAUGGCUCUGAUACCAUCUUCAAAUUGAUAAAUGGUAGUUUUUUCCAUUCAUUCUUUCAUUCGUUCAUGUACAGAGAAUAUAUAGAGGGUAAUCACCAUUCUAAGAAUGAGAAGGAAUGAUACAAGGAAAGAAUGAUAUAGGAAAUAACAAUUAAUAUCCUAAUAUCUCAACUUUCCUAAUAUCUCAAUAUUCCUAAUAUUUCAAUAUUCUUAAUAUCUCAACUUUCCUAAUAUUUAAACAUUCCUAAUAUCUCAACACUAAAUAAUAUAAGGAAAGAAUGAUAUACUGAAAGCAUUCCUAAUAUCUCAACAAUAUAUAUGGGUUAAUUAUGAAUGUGAUGUGUUUUUUUCUUGUUUGGUGUGUAUGAUUGUUGUAUCACUGGAUUUCAUGGACGCAAUAUUAUUAGUCUUUUCCUCCCCAUGAGUUUGCUAUAAUCUAUAUAAUAUAUGUUUGAACUCACAAUUUCCAGCUACCUUCUUUGUAUUCUUUUUCAUAGACCAGCAUCAUAGAUAACAAACUAUCCACAUAGAAAAUUUUCAGUUAACGGUGUGUAAUUCCGUGGAUGGGAUUGAAUAUUCAACACACAAUUGUUUUUUCGAAUAAGAAAAUUAUGGAUAUAUUAAAAUCAUAAUUUUGAUAUAUCUAUAUAUAUAUAUAUAUAUAUAUAUAUAUAUAUAUAUAUAUAUUUAGAAAAGCAAUUAAAAACUGCAUUUUUUAAUGAAGUCUUCUGAUUUUUAUUGAUUUUUUUUUUUCAAAUUUCCAACUUUUUUAAGAAAUCUUCUAAUACUCUUGAAUUCUUCAAGAGAUUUUUAAUCUUCUAUCUCUUUAAGGCUCUAGGACAUUUCUUUAUAAAAAUACGUACAUUCAUUUGGAGAUCAACUAGGGCUCCAUUAGACCCUAUGUUGGUCUAAAUAUUCAUUUUGCGAACCUUGGGAAUGGAUUUGAGGCAUUUGCCUACCUUGAAAUGUGAUUUACAAUCCCCACACAUUAUCCUUAAGAAAAAUAUAUACAUUCUUCACAAAAAUACAUACACUUUUUUGGAGGCUAACCUUGAUCCCAUUAGAUUCUAUUUAGAUCUAAAUAUUUAUUUGGGGAUCUUUGGAAUGAAGUUAAGUCAUUUUUCUAUCUUGAAAUGUGAUUUAGAACCCCAUGUACAUCUUUAAGAAAAAUAAGUAUAUUCCUCACAAAAAUACGUAUGUUUUUUUAAAAGCCAAUCGUGACCUCAUAGGCCUUAUUUGAGUCUAAACAUUCAUUUGGGGAACCUUGGGAAUGGAUUUAAGCUCUUCGUCCACCCUAAAAUGUGAUUUGCAAUCGCACGUAUAUCUUUAAGAAAAAUAUAUACUUCUUUUAAAAAAAAAGUGUGUACAUUCUUCACAAAUAUAUAUAUAUAUAUAUAUAUAUAUAUAUAUAUAUAUAUAUAUAUAUAUAUAUAUAUAUUUGAUAGCCAACCAAGGCUCCAAUAAUCCCUGAUAAAAAUAUAUGUAUUUUUUAAAAUGAUGUAUGUAGUUUAACAAAUAUAAGAAAAAUUAAUUAAGGGGAAAUUAAUGUAAAAUAUUAAAUACAAUUUUUUUUUUUAUGAAAAAUAUAUUUUCUUUUAUAUUUUAUGUUAAUAAAAAAUUAAAGGUUUUAACAAAGCAAAAGGUUAGAACCAGAAAUUAAGUUAAAACCAUAAGAAAAAAAAAAAUAAAAGCACCAUCACUUACUAAUAUUUGAUUUGAAAAAAUAAAAAUAAAAAUAAUAAAAAUAAUAAAAUAGUGUUACAAAGAUAUUCUUACUUUCACAUGUAAUAAGAUUUAAAAAAUAAAUAAAUAUUUUAUUUGACAUUAAUAUAAAAAAUCUUAUAUCAUAAACCUCUAAAUAAUAAAAUAAAUUUUCUAAAUUUAAACCUUAAACCAUUAAAUGUAUUAUUAUAAUUAAUAUUUAAAAUCAUCAAGUAUAUUACUUUUGGGAUAAUAUUUUCAUUUUUGUUCAUUAUAUAUUUAUGUUUUUAUUUAAUUUCUUAUUAUUAGCUAUUUAUUAUAUAUUAUUAUUUUAAGUUUAAUAUAUCCAAAAAAUAAUUAAAAUCAAUAAAUACGGAGAGUGAAAAAAUUUGAAAUUAAAGAGGUUUUAUAAGAGAAUACAUGAGCAUAUUAAGAGAAAUGGUAAAAGAAAGAAAGAAAAAUAACAAUAUUUUUAAAUGUGAUAGGUGGCAAUUGAUAGGAUGGUUAAGGAUGGUAAUGAGACAGGUUUUUUCGGAUACUCGUCCUGUCCAGGCCCUAAUGGGACGGAUUUGAAAUUUAAAUAAACGGGUUUGAGAUAUUUUUAAAGCUUGAGAUAAGUUUGGGGCAAGUUCGGGUAUUAUCUUGUCCCAUCCCGUCACACCUUGAUUAUAUAUAAAAUUAAUUUUAAAAAUUAAAUUAAAUUAAUUUUUAUUUUCUUAUUUUUAAUAUAUAGAUAAUAAUAAUAAUAAAUUUUCAAUAAAUAAGUUUUAAAAAAAUUAUAAUAAUUCAAUUAUUUAUAAAAUAUAUUUAUUUUAAUGUUUUUUAGAAAUUAAAAUAAUUUUUUUAAAAGAAUUAAAAUUUUUUCAAAAAAGGGUUAAAUGGGUAAGGCGGAACGGGUAUGAGAAUUUCUCAUACCCGCCCGCAUUAUUUAAUUUUUUUAAUGGGACAACGAUGAAAGUUAUUUUGAAUAAACGAGACAAGGUUGGGAUGAGAGCUACUCAUCUUAAACAUGCCUUGUUGCCUUUCCUAGUGAAAGAGGAAAAAAAAAAAAAAAAACAAAAGCCAAAAAACAAAAAAAGGAAAAAAGUAGGAACAUGUUUUUUUCCCAAAUAGAAAACGUAAAAGUAAAGUCCAACAAUUUUUUUUUUUUUGGUUAUAUAUAUAGCAUGGUGGGGAGGGUAUAUUCCAUAUUACAUGAGACUUCCAUGGCGGGGAAGGUAUAUUUCAUAUCACAAACUUACUCAAUUGUGUUUUUCCUUUUAGGAUAUGGAAGGGCUUUCCUUAUGCCCAAGAAAUGCAUAGAUUCAAUUGAAGAAAUUGAGGAAUAUGGUUGUUCUUUUUUUUUUUUUUUUUUUUUUUUUUUUUUUUUUUUCUUUUUUUCCUUUUUUCCUUUUUUAAAAAAAGAUGAGCCAAGGUGGAACUCAGGUGGAACACAUUGGUUCCAGUCAUUUUCUUGGGCAAAGAUAUGUCCAGGAUAUGGGAAAGGGGCAUUAAAUUAAAUAUCUUUUGAAAAGUUUAUUAUAAUCAUUUCACACAAUAUAAAUUUCACUAAAUUUUUCGAACUAAGGUUCUCUGAUAAUUACUUUAUAAUAAUAAAAUUAAUUCUUACAUUACAUGUAAUAUUCAAAUUUAAAAAAUCCAAUCUCAAAUAAUUUAAUAGCUAAAUUUAAAUUUAAUUUUUGAAACUCCAAGUUUCGAAAUGUGACUUGGCAAGAAUUUAAAGUACUGAUUUUCGACUAACUUUUCACAAAUUUUGCCUAAUUAAAUAAAAUAUUAGCAUGUGAAUGUUCACUAACAUCACGUAAUUCAUUGAUUUAGAGGAUUCAAUUUGGUUGAUGUUGAGGAUAGUCAUCGGCAGUAGACUAACAUCUUCUCGACCAAUUAACAUACCAACAGUGAUUAGGCCAAAUGUGGUGAUCGAAUUCCAUGGAAAAGCAGCAAAAAGGGAGGUGCGUUGGAGAGAAGGAAGGCGGUCAACCAAGCAGGAACAGUGGAGAAAUUGGCCUCGAGCCUAAGGAGCAUAGGAAUGAAAUUAAUGAAAUCAGUCCUAGGAUGAAAAUUUGGAUUGGGUCUGUCCAAAAAGCAGAAGAAAAGACGAAACCUCACUAUCAAUGGCCAAGGAUACCGAAGGUUCCUCUGAUGCUGAGGGGGACCUGGGAUUUCGAGAAAUUCUAUGAACCAAGGGUAAUAUCAUUCGGUCCUUACCACCAUGGCAAGCCCCAACUUCACCCAGUGGAAAUGAUCAAGCCUCUUAUGUGCCAAAAAAUUCCUGGAUGACAGUAACCAGGACAUCGAAGCUUUGUACACAAAAAAUGGAAGGAAAAUCAAGGAAGUGAGGAACUGCUAUGAUUGGAGUGGUACAAACGAGUAUGAUGAUGAGGCACUCGCCUGGAUGAUGCUUCUGGAUGGGUGUUUUUUACUAUAUUUCAUUCACUGUGUAGUGAGAAGAAAUCAGAGUAAGUUGCAUGGUUUGAAUGUUAAAGAUUAUAUGAUUACUUUUGUGCACCAGGACUUGUUCUUGCUUGAGAACCAACUUCCCUUUGGAGUCCUCAAGUUGAUUUUUGAGGAAUCAGAAUUCAAUAUUGAUGGUUCACCAAUGCAAGAGAUGAUAAAAAAAUUCGUCAUUGACACCGGUAGGCCAGAAGGGUCGACAUCAGAAAUACAGAUGGAAGAGCCCUCUCAUCUCCUCGACCUCUUGCGAAGUGCUCUCCUAGGCGGGUCUAAAAAGAGUAGCAAGCAAGAAGCUCAGGGGUUCUGUUGCCCAUGGAAAAAAGGCAAACAACAGGGCAAUCGGCUGUCUUUUUGACACAUCAAGGAGCUUAAAGCUACCGGGAUCUAUCUCAAACCGAGUAGAACGAGUUCCUUGACAGACAUUUCUUUCAAUUCCAACUUCUUCUAUGGUUACAAGGAACUUCCCCCAAUAAUCAUUGAUGGCUCCACGAAGCCCACGUUCUUGAACAUGGUAGCCUAUGAAAUGAGUCCAGAUGGUCCAGAUGGCCCAGGUGGCUAUGCGGUCAGUUCUUAUAUAUGCUUCCUUGACAACCUCAUUGAUCAUGCAGACGAUGUCAAGGAGCUGAGAUCUAAGCACAUUCUCUACAACUAUCUUGGCAGCGAUAUAGAUGUGGCCCAAAUUUUCAACGAGAUUGCCAAUGACUUGGUAGACACCGAAGCUUAUGAAAGUGUGAAAGCCCGUAUUCAGGAACACUACGGCAAGAGCGUGAAUACUUGGAUAGCUGAAGCCCUUCACAACCAUUUCAGCUCUCCAUGGAUUCUCAUGGCUUUCAUUGCUGCUGUUUUGAUACUACUAGUUCCUAUGCAUUUGAUUUCAGAAUUUAAAUUGUUUUUUUCUUUUUACUUUUUCAUGAAUUAUUAUAAACUUUUGAUCGAAUAGAAAAAACCAAAAUAUUUGACUUUUUCUAAAUGGAAAAAGUAACAUAUUGGUUUUUCUUUACUAUUUUAAUGUUUGAUAGAUGAUCUGCACCCAUCGAGUUAAUCAAUUCAAAAAGUGUUGUUCAACAGUGUUGGAAAAUCAUCUAAUCCUGUCUCCUUGUAGAACAACUUGAACAAAAAUUUAUUGCUUACAGUUAGCAACCAUUGUGGGGCAUCCUGGCUGCCCAAACACACAUUUUCUGUUGGAAUGUGAUGCAUCAGAGACAACACUUCUUUAAUUCCUUCCCAAUCAUGGGAGUCUCUAAUAAAAUUAGGAUUCCGAAGCUCUGCAUCCUCGUCCUGUACAGAAUGGUCUGCCACACAUGCCUCCUCAUUCACCAGAAUUAUAAACUAAUUUAGGAACCUCAUCUUAAGAGAUCCACCCAUAGACCAAACAUCUUAACCAUAAAUCACAUUUGAGUCCUUUCUAUGAUUUUAUUGGAAACUUUAUAGCCUCAACAACACAUAACCAUUUGUAAAUCAAGCCCUUCACUAUUGCCCCAGUCAACAUCUUAUUCAGCCUCAACAUUAUGCUAAUAGCACCUUCAACUACAAUUUCGACAAUGCCACUCCUUACUGGUGUGGUUGUAGUCUUUUGUGCACAUGACCAGUUGUAACUUUUCUCUAACUACUGAGCAUUUCUAUCACAAAGGAUUUAUUGAUUUAACAUCCUGUUGAAAAAACUUCUCCUUCAGUCGAGGUAUGCAUAGAUCAUACAUAAUCCCACAUUCCACAAACACCUUUCCACUUCAUUCCUUCCAUUCUAAUAUUAAUGCACAAAGAAGUUGCAUGCAGAACAGAGAAUCUAAAUGUCAGAGGGUCUACCUGAUCAUCAACCUUCAUAUGCUUUUAGAACAGAUUGGCAUCAGGGCAUUCUCUAGUCAAUGGUCGUAAGCCCCUACCAUAGCACAAAGUAUUUUUAAGCGGCAAGGUACUCAAGAGAAAGUAAAGAAAAAGAAAAGGAGAAAAGAAAAAGGACAGAACAAUAGGUUCCUUAUUAUUUGUACACUUCCAUUAUUAUAUAUCACAAUGUUGCUUGGUGUUUAGCAAUAGUAUUCCCACCAGCAUCUUGAGUCUGCCAGGGAGAAAUAAACGUACUCGGGUCUAGAACUUACAAAGCUCCCAACUUGCUAGUGGAAACUGGUAUAGAACCAACCAAAUUAUUUCUGUAUCCUAUGAAGAUUUGAAAAUUAUAUAAUCUUCCUAUGUCAGAAGGGAUGACACCAUUGUGAUUGUUGUCAACAAUGCCCAGCAUCAGCAAGCCAGUGCAGUUACAAAUGCUUUCAGGAAUGACACCUUCCAAAAAGUUAAGUCCAGAACCUAGAAAUGCAAGAUUUCCAAGGAAUGUUGAACAAUUCUACAUGGAAUGGUACAACACUAGUUGCUUCAUAGUGCCAAGAUUAUGGGGGAUGCCCUCAUUGGAGCCAACUAUUGGAACAAAUUAGCAUGCUAUUGACAACUACUCCACUGUGUUGCCUGCAAAUUAAAUUUUCCAUUGGUGGUCUUCUUCCACAUAUCUGGUGCCACACAGCUCUUGAUAUAGCAAGGAUUGCUCUAGACUUGAUGAGUACCUCAAAAAAUGCCAAGGAAAGUACAGUGAUUAAUCUAACAUGCUUUAAGUCAGAGGCUCUUCCUCCCAUCCAUGACCAGGGAGUCUCUUUGAUUUCAACCUUUUUAACACUCAAUAUUAGUUUUCAAUAUUUGUUUCAUCUUAUAGUAUAGAGUUACUGAAACAGAGUAACUUGCUUCAAACAUAUUCUUAAGAGACUCACAGGCGAAGACGGCACAAACCUAGAUUACCUCAAAGUGUUGGAUCCCUGCCUGUAUGCAAACACCCCUUCAUAAUAUAAGAUCUAUCCAACUAAGCACCAAAAAUCCAUAUUCCUAUACAUGACCAAAAUAGUAAAGCUAAUCCAUACAUUUUUAGGCACAUAUAUCAGGUAAAUAAGAACUAAGAAUCAAAAGAAUAAACCUAAACUAGAUGAUUCAACAGGACGUAAUUCAGAAGUGAUAUUUCACGAAAUGUGAUUUAGAGAAUUAAUACCCUGAAGGUGGUAGGCCAAACUUAGGUUCUGCAUAAAGGGAUACACCAAAAGACAUUCUGUUGGUCUUGUGUCUGGAAAGCUGCAUCUCCACCAGGACUUUCAUAAUCUAUUAAUUGUUUCACUGCAACUUUGGUGUUAUUUGCAAGCACUCCCUUAUGAACUUUUCCAAAGCAUCCCUGUCCAUGAACAUUUUUCUCACUAAAAUUGUCUAUAGCUAGCUGUAACUCCCUCCAUGCAAAUCUUCUCAAUUGGCCAAAUGCAAUUCUUUGGUCAACUUCACCUGAAAACAGAUGGAAAGAUGUCUAGAAAGAAAAUUUCCAAGAGAAUCAAAUUUUGCAUCAAAUCCUUAAAAUCUGUCCAAGUAUUUAAAAGAGAUAAAAGCAUAGUUCUUUUCAAUACAGAACUAUGGCAUGAUCUGUAAAUCUCUUCAAACUUUUUGUACUUGUAGGCAUCCCAAGAUAACAUCCAAUUGAGAACAAGCCUUUGAAAAUCUAACAAAAACUUGCUUUGAUGCUAUUAUCACCUAAAAAAGAAGAAGAAGAAAGCAUUGUAGCCAUUGCACAGAACCAGUCCCAUUCAUAAGGGUGGACGGGUGACACACCCAACCUUCACCAUUUUUUGCAUGAUUUGGUCAUACAUAAAGCAAUCAAUAUAUACUUGGUUAAACAUCAAGCUUAAUUUUAGCCUAAUCAAUUGACUAAAGCUGCAAUUACACUUAAGUUUAAACUACCAAAAGUUCACCCAUUUUCACAACAUUAAAAUUAAGCUAAAAUUACAGUGAAAGUGAUAGAACUUCAAGCCAAAAUUUAGGUGGAGAAAUGAAUUUAAUUUGUCUCAAGAGCUGAAUUACAAUGAAGUCAAUAAAUAAUAUUAUCUUCUUCGGUUCAUGAACACCAAACUGAAAUUACAACAAAAUUGAAAUCAACAUUUUGCAUCAAAUUAACCUAAUUUCACUCAUCUUUUAUCUUAAACUAAAAUACAUCUUGUAGCACUCAGUGAUCAAAGCCUGUUUUUCUUCCCCCUUACUUCCUGUUUAGACAUGGAGAGGUGAAACAAACUUUGAGAUAUUCAAUGAUUCAACAAAGCUUUAAUCAAAUACUAAACUGCUUGCUUUGAUGGAAGAGUUAGUUUCAUGAGGGAUGUGCCCAUCUUCCUUGAAGCUUGUACCUAUGCACUUACGAUUGGUAAAAGCCAGGCACCAUAAACAUAAGAGUUUUUGAAUUUUUAAGGGAAAAUCAUGCUUUCAAACACUAAUAAAAAAAGUACAUCUGUUCCUAGGGGAACUAGAACCCCUAUAUCCCCAAUCAUGAUCUAUAUAUUCCUUUGGGAACCCUCAAUAAGUGAUUACAGGUCCUCCUUAUUCCCAAAAUGAACUUUGGAACCUCAAGUACAUCCUUAAAAAAAAUAAGUACAUCUGUUUCUAAGGAAACCGAGACUCCUAUCCCCCUUAUAAUGGUCUAUCUAUUCCUUUGAGGACUCUCGAGAAUUGAUUAUAGGUCAUCCCCAUACCAAAACGGACUUUGGAACCCCAAAUACAUCUUUAAGAAAAAUAAGUACAUUUGUUUUUAGGGGAACCAAGACCCCUAUCUCUUUUAUCCUGGUCUAUAUAUUCCUUUGGGAGCCUUCUAGAAGUGAUUGGAAGCCCUCCCCUUCCCCAAAAUGGAAUUUGGAAUUUUAAGUACAUCAUUAAAACAAAUAAGUACAUCCUUAAGAAAAUUAAGUACAUCUAUUCCUAGGCAAACUAGGGUCCUAUCUCCCUUAUCAUGCUCUAUAUAUUCCUUUGGGUACUCUUUGGAAGUGAUCGGAGGUUCUCCCUAUCCUUAAAAUGGAAUUUGGAACCCCAAGUACAUCCUUAAGAAAAAUAAGUACAUUUGUUCCUAUGGGAAUCGAGACCCCUAUCUCUUUUAUCAUGGUCUAUAUAUUCCUUUGAGGACCCUUAGGAAUUGAUUGGAGGUCCUUCCUAUCCUUGAAAUGAACUUUGGAACCCUAAGUACAUCCUUAAGAAAAGUAAGUACCUCUAUUCCUAGGAAAAUCAAGACCUUUGUCUCAUUUAUCAUGGUUUCCAUAGAUUUCUUUGGGGACCCUUGGGAACUAAUUGGAGGUCCUCUCCAUUCUUGAAACGGACUUUAGAACCCCAGAUAUAUCCUUAAGAAAAAUAAGUACAUUUAUUCCUAAGAGAAUUGAGAUUCUUAUCUCCCUCAUCAUGGUUCAUAUAUUCUUUUAAUGACCCUCUAGAAGUGAUUUGAAGUCGUCUCUCACCCUGAAAUGGAUUUUGGAACCCUAAGUACACCCUUAAAAAAAAUAAGUACAUCCUUAAGGUUAAGGAAAUGCAUAUUGUUAGGAUAUGUAGAUGGAGUGAAAAUGUACAAGUUAUGGUGCUUAGAUUCAAAAUUCUCUAAUUUAUAAUUAACAGGGAUGUGGCUUUUAACGAGUAUGAAAUGUUGAGUCCAAGAAAGGAGCAACUUCAUGUAGAAAACAACCCUAGUAUGAGAGAAAAUGUGGAGUUUGUGCCUAACAUAGAAAAAACGAUUUCAAAAAAGCCAAAUGAGGAAGAAGUGCAACAUCUUGAUGAUAAAGAAAAGACAUCACAAUAGCAACAAUAUUAUUUGGCUAGAGAUAGAACGAGGAGGCAAAUUAAACCACCACAAAGGUAUGCUUAUGUAGAUUUGGUUACUUAUGCACUUGGUGUGGCAAAGAACAUUGAAAAAGAGGAAUUUCAAACUUAUCACUAGUAGAGAGUCUACACAAUAGAUUGUUGCCAUGAAUGAGGAAAUUGAAUCUCUUCAAAAGAAUCAUACUUGGAAACUAGUUGAGAAGCCUAAAAAUCAAAAGAUUGUUGGUUGCAAAUAGGUCUUCAAAAGAAAUUAAGGGAAGGAAUUUCAAGAGUAAGGAUGACAAGUUUAAAGCAUGCUUAGUGGCAAAGGGUUACACACAAAAGAAAGGAGUGGACUUCAAUAAAGUUGUCUCCAGUUGUGAAGCAUAGCUCAAUCAAAGUGUUACUUGCUAUGGUUGCUUUAUUUAAUUUAGAUUUAGAGCAACUUUAUGUCAUGACUGUUUUUCUACAUGGUAAGUUGGAAGAAUAGAUUUAUAUGAAUUAACCCGAGGAAUUCAUUAUUUCAAAAAAGACCAUGUUUGUUUGUUGAAGAAAUCUCUUUAUGGCUUGAAGCAAUCUCUUAAGCAAUGGUAUAAAAGGUUUGAUACUUUUAUUAUUGGCAAUGGCAACCAUAAGAGUGAGUAUGAUAAUUAUGUUUAUCACAAGGAAUUGUUUGAUGGUUCUUUCAUUUAUUUAUUGUUAUAUGUUAAUGACAUGUUAAUUUCCUGCAAGAAUAUGUUUGAUAUUAACAAGUUGAAAACUCAACUCUAAGGAGAGUUUGAAAUGAAAGACCUUAGAGUUGUGAAGAAAAUAUUAGGUAUGGAUAUUCAUAGAGACCAAAAAGUAGGGGAAUUGUACUUUUCACAAAAAAGUACAUUGAGAAAGUGUUAAAAUGCUUUGGAAUGCAAGGGUCAAAACCUAUGAAUACUCCAUUAGCAACUCCAAACUUUCAAGUGCUUUUGUUGGGAACCCUAUAUUACUUCGUUCCCAUGCCCUAGAUCUCAUAGGGUGCAUGCAUUUAUCCCUAGACAUCUCUAAACCUACUGUAGCGAAAAACUAAGUAUUCAAAAACCAAUAUUGAUACCAUAGAAAUCUUAGAUCUAGAGAAAAAAAAUCACAUACCUUUGAUUCAAAUGUUCUUGAAUUGAUUCCUAUUGAUGUAGAUAAGUCCAAAGUCAUAAUGGAUCUUGUAACACCAUGAUCUUCCGCCCGAUAACUCUUUAUUGUGUCUAGGCACUGAAAUGGUUGACAUCUUAAGGGUGGAGGUUAGACUUCUCUCUUUGGACUAUAUGGAGAAAAUGGCAAGACAUGGAAACCCUAACCCUUAACGGGUAUUUAUAGGCUUCUUAGUAAGCUUAAGUGACUUAAGCCCACCCAAAAAGGUUGCUAAUUAAUUAAUUAGUUAACAAUACAAGAUCCUAAUUAACCAAUUAGCUUAGUUAAGAGAUAUCACUAACUUAUCACCAUGCAACCUUGCAUAAUCACUAAAAUAUCCUUAUGCACAAAAAUGAACUAAAAACCUUUCCAACCCUCAUAAACUAUACCAUCAAGGAAUAUGAGCUCAAAGUAGGGACCACUAGGACCCAUAGGAGUACUAGCUCCCUUAGAAUAAAAUUCUAAAAUUGACUCAACAUCUCACUAUAGAAAGUCAACUGCACUCUAGUACCUUAUGUGUAUUACAACGAGACACCAAGUGCUCGGGUUCGUGACCUACAAUCUACUACAUGCAAACUCUCCAUGAACUGGUGUUUGUAGUCUAACAAAGUAGUGCUAUCACUUAUUAAGAUUAUCUCUCAAAUCCUUAAGUUAUAGAUUCCAUUUUUUUUAUGUGAUCAAAUGACAUACUCUAGCUCAAAGAAGGAUUUGUCAAAUUCCACUAAAUGAAUUAUUGUGGCCACAUAUUUCAUGAUUACAUAUCCUUUAGAUCACCCAAGGAGACGCGCUGUCUCAAUCCCAUGAGAUAUCAUGGUGCCUCUAUUGAGAAUACUUGUUGCCACCAACCUCCAUCAACAAUGACCCAAUCCAUGGGGAUAUGUGACCACUUUAGGGUCUCAUCCAUAAGUUAAAGUCUCUUAUUGAUUUCAACAUAUGCUUAAUAUUCUCUCAAGGUUGAGAGUCCAUGUAGUAUAGUCACUUAGUUAAUCAUAAAAUUUGAUAGUCUUGCAUCAUGAUUCAUCGUAGGUCCUAUCCAGUGUGCACCACAUAUACUAGCGUACUCACCAUAGGAAUCCCAUCCUAACGACCUAGAUAAGCAAUCCCUCCGAUUAGGAGGUGGUGCACUAUAGUCUCUACUAGAUUGUCCAAAUCCAUGAACCAAUUGUGGACAACUUAUCUAUUUAUAAGAAACCCAUGACUUGUAACUUUUGUGCAACUCCUAAUAUACCAAAGUCAUGUACAAUGUAAGAGACAUGUGUUGAAUGUUCAAAUCAAUAUUAAUACACCAAAAGGAUAGCAAGAGGAUGGUUAAGUCUGACUUUGUUACAUUAUGUUAUGCUUUUAAGGGCUCAAUCCCAACAACUUUAUCACCAUAGAUCAAAGAAGAAAUGGAGCACAUGUCACAUGUUCCUUAUGCUAGUGUAGUUGGGAACAUUAUGUAUGUCAUGGUUUGCACUAGGCUAGACAUUUCACAUGUAGUUAGUGUGGUGAGUAGAUAUAUGGAUCACUCUCGAAAGAUCCAUUGGCAAGCAGUGAACAAAUAUUUCGAUAUUUGAGAGAAACAUCACAUGUUGGCUUAACAUAUGAUAAAAGUAGUGACAUCUCUGAGAAAAUUGUUGGUUAUGUUGAUUCUAAUUAUGCUAGAGAUUUGGGGAAAAGAAGAUCUCAAACAAUUUGUGGUAGUGUUAUUAGUUGGAAAGAACCUUUGCAAUUUAUAGUUGCUUUAUCAACCACUGAAGUAGAAUACAUGGCGGUCAUAGAAGCGGUGAAAGAAGUUAUUUGCCUUAAGGGCUUGGUUGGAGAUUUAAGCUUACAAUAGGAGUUGAUUGUUGUGUAUUAUGAUAGCCAAAGUACCAUACAUUUGACUAAAAAUCAAAUGUUCCAUAAGAGGAGCAAACAUAUUGAUGUCAAUGCAUUUUAUUAUGGAUGUGAUCGCAAAGGGUGCUAUUGCAAUGAAAAAAAAAUCCCUAUAGUGGAGAAUCUUGCAGAUAUGAUGACUAAGUUCGUUUUUACAGUUAAAUUCAGGUAUUACUUGGACUUAAUUGAUGUUAAUAGUAUCUAAAGACUCCUUUAGGGUGUGGGAGUGAAGAAACAUGGAAGACUUUCGAGUUUGUUUGAAUCUUGAGAAUUUGAGCCAAGGUGGAGAUUAUUGAAAAGUGUCUCAGAUUCUAUUUUUGAGUCAAUUGGAAAGUUAUAGAUAGUUUCCUAAUAAAAAAAUAUUCUUGUAAGUGGGUUUCCUAUUAUUAUAGAGGAAAUAUUCUUUUAGGAAAAAACAUUUUUGAUAAUUAUACACUUAGUUUCCUAUAUAGAAUCUUUCUAUGUAAUUAGAGAAAUAUGUAUAAAAAGAUAUUUUGACCAAAAUAGUGGAAGUUUUUUUUUUGGGUAUAAUUGGGACUUUGGGAUUUGAAAGCUCUAAGAUUGUAAUAUCCUUCAAUAAUAAUGGAAAUUAUUUUUUAUCUUCACCUGUGGAUGUAGGUUUGAGGUCGAACCACAUAAAUUGUUAUGUACUUUGUGUGUUUUGUUUUUGUUAGGAAUUUGAGGCUAAUCCAAACUAUGGUAAUCACCUUGGGGGGGGGGGGGGGGGGAUAAAUAGGGUGAUGGUCUCUUUUUCACAAAUUUAAACUAUGCAAAAAUAAGAGUCAAUUAUAUGCAAAUAUAUAAUAAACAAAAUAAACACAAUUGCAUAUAAUUUAAAAGAGUUAGGGAAGAGAGAGUGCAAACAUGAGAGUUUAUAGUGGUUCGGUACUUCCUUGCCUACAUCCACUCUCCUCAACCUCCUAAUCGAGUGAGGGUUCCACUAUCUUGAAGCUUCAACCAAGUUUCCAAUCUCUUUACAAUUGGAUUAUGGUUCCAAUUCACCCUCUUGGACUUUUGGCUCCAAGCACCCUUUACACUUCUUCAAGAGAUAUCCCUCUCUUGAAUAACCUCUCAAGUGAUACCCCUCACUUGAGAAAAUCCCUCACAAAGAUAUACAAAUAAUGAUCUCACAAAAAUCCUAGUAAUAGAACUUUAGGCUCAAAGAUACAAGAAAAACUAGGAUUGAAUGGUGCACUAAAGAUAUGCAAGUUAUGAAACAAUGGUGCACUCAAAAACACUCUUCCAAGGCUCAAAUAUAAUCAAGAAUGAUUUGGAAAGGUUAAGCUCUUGAAACAAUGAAGAUUGGAGCCUUUUUAUAGAAGAGAAAAUCCAAACUAGCCGUUUGGGGGUUCGUCCGGUCGAGCUAUGGGUCGACUGGUUGACUAGCCAUUAGCAUUAAAUGCUUGGCAGGUGACCGUUGGGCCUUAGCCGGACCUCGACCGGGAAGAGAGUUACCUUGAUCGGGAAAAGAAGGCCACUAGGAGAGAGAGAAACUUUUGGCCUCCCUCGACCGGUACUCGACCGGACGAGCACAACUGGUUGACCGGUUCCUCGACCAGUUGAACUGGUUGAGCCAUUUUUUGGCUCAACACCCAACCCUUUUCAACUUAAAACCUCUUAACACAAGUUUGAAAAUUAUUUAACACAAGGUUUUAGUUGAAAACAUGAAAUCAUCCAAUUUUAAAGAUAUUUAAAACAAUAUUACUCUUGGAUGAUUUUGGUGCAUAAAUAAAGAAUGAAAUGCAUGAAAGUCCUAGUGCACCAACAACCUUACAAAGAGAUCUUAAGAAGUUUUGGUCUUGAAAAACUCUUCUCUUUGAGGUGGUCUUCUUCUUCGUGAUUUCUCCUUGGCUUGAUUUGUCUUUGGAUUGACACUUUGGAAGUCGUCUUGCCUAAUCACACUUGAAAUAUAAUCAUUAGUUCUAAACCUUGUUUUGUUAUCAUCAAAAUCAAGAUUAACCAAACCUUGGUUUCACAGUUUUCAUUUUUUUUUUCUCCCUAUUAUUAUUACUAUUAUUAUUAUAUAUACACCCAUGUGACUUGCAUGGUGGAAAGAGAAUAUUUCAUAUUCCAGGCAAGAAGCAAAGGUUACUCAAUUGUGUUUUUCCUUUUAGAAUGCAGAAGGGGUUUCCUUAUACUGAAGAAAUGCAUAGAUUCAAUUGAAAAAAUUGAGAAAUAUGGUUGUUCUUUUUCUUUUUCUUUUUCUAAAUCAUAGAUGAGCCAAGAUGAAACCCAUGUGGAACACAUUGGUUCCAGGCAUUUUCUUGGACAAAGAUAUGUCCAAAAUAUGGGAAAAUGACAUUUUAAAAUUAAAAAUGAUUUUAAAUUUUAAAUUUCUUUUUUUAUAUGUUUAAAAGCUUUUCAACUAGUAGAUUCGAAUUAUAACUUCCAAUUUAAUCGAAGAUUAAAAAUUACAAUAAUGAGAUUCUCAAUUCUUCAAAAUGAAAUUAAUUUAAUCCAUUUCCUUUGUAAAUUAUACCUCAAUUCAAUCAACCUUUCAAAAAUUAAAUUUACUUAAUGAUAAUAUUCAUAUUUAAUCAAUUUACCUUUUUGUGUAAAUUCCUAAAUUUAUAUAACAUAAUUUAAUCUUAAUUUUAUUUUGAUUCAAUUUUGUUUCACGUUUUAUAAUUUUAUAAGGUUGAAUUCUAAUAAUAAUUAAAAAUUAAAUUGAUUUGUUAUAAUAUUAAAUUAAAUAUCUUUUGAAAAUUUUAUUAUAACUAUUUGACAUAAUACAAAUUUCACCAAAAUUUUUAAUUAACUUUCUCUAAUGAUUACUUUAUAAUAAUAAAAUUAAUUAUUACAAUACAUGUAAUAUUCAAAUUUCAAAAAUUCAAGCUCAAAUAAUUUAAAUUUAAUUUUGAAGUUCCUAAUUUCCAAAUGUGACUCUCGACAAGAAUUUAAACUAACUUUCGACUAUUUUUUCACAAAUUUCACCUAAUUAAAUAAUAUAUUGACACGUGAAUGUUCACUAACGACACGUGAUCACGAUUCAUUUUGGUUGAUGUUCAGGAUGGUCAUCGGCAGUAGACUAACAUCUUCUGGACCAAUUAACAUACCAGCAGUGAUUAGGCCAAGGUGGUGAUCCAAUUCCAUGGAAGGGCAGCAAGAAAGGAGGAACGUUGGAGAGAAAGAAGGCGGCCAACCAAGCAGGAACAGUGGUCAAACUGGCCCCGAGUCGAAGGAGCGUAGGAUUGACAUUGUUGAAAUCAGUCAUAAGGUGAAAAAUUGGAUUGAGUCUCUCAAAAAAUGCAGAAGAAAAGACUCAAUCUCAAAGUCAAUGGCCAAGGACACCAAAGGUUCCUCACAUGCUGAGGGGGACCCAGGAUUUCAACAAAUCUACGAACCGAGGGUAAUUUCAAUCAGCCCUUACCACCAUGGCAAGCCCCACCUUCACCCAGGGGAAAUGAUCAAGCCUCUAUGUGCCCCAAACUUCCUGGAUGAUAGUAAGCAGGACAUCGAAGCUUUGUACACAAAAUUGAAAGUAAUAUGAGGCAGUGAAAAAGUGCUAUGAUUGGAGUAGUACAAACGAGUAUGAUGAUGAGGCGCUCGCCUGGAUGAUGCUUCUGGAUGGGUGUUUUUUACUACAGUUCAUCCGCAGCAAAGAAUACGACAGUAAAGUCGAUAUGAGUAACGUUCAUAGAAAUCACCAAAUAAAUUUUGUGGUGCAGGACUUGUUCUUGCUGGAGAACCAACUUCCCUGUGGAAUCCUCAAGUUGAUUUUUGAGGGAGCAAAAUUCAAUGAUGGUUCACCAAUGAAAAAAAAGAUAAAAAAAAUUCGUCACUAACACCGCAAGGCCAGAAGGGACAUCAGAAAAAGAGGUGGAAGAGUUGGACGAAGAGCCCUCUCAUCUCCUCGACCUUUUGCGAAGUGCUCUCCUAGGCGGGUCUAAAUAGAUUAGAAAGCAAGAAGCUCAGGGGUUCUGUUGCCCCGAUUGGCCGUCUUUUCGACACAUCAAGGAGCUUAAAGCUGCCGGGAUCCAUCUCAAACGGAGUAGAACCAGUUUCUUGAGAGACGUUUCUUUCAAUUCCUACUUCUUCUAUGGCUGCCUGAAUCUUCCCCCAAUAAUCGUUGAUGACUUCACGAAGCCCAUGUUCUUGAACAUUGUAGCCUACGAAAUGUGUCCAGAUGCCCCAGAUGACUAUGCGGUCACUUCUUAUAUAUGCUUCCUUUACGACAUCAUUGAUCAUGCAGACGAUGUCAAGGAGCUGAGAUCUAAGCACAUUCUCUCCAACCUUCUUGGCAGCGAUGAAAAUGUGGCCUAACUUUUCAACGAGAUCGGCAAUGACUUGGUAGAUCCCAAAGCUUAUCAAGAUGUGAAAGAUCGUAUUCAGGAACACUACAACAAGAGAAUGAAUACUUGGAUAGCUUAAGCCCUUCACGACCAUUUCAGUACUCCAUGGACUAUCAUCGCUUUCAUUGCUGCUGUUUUGAUACUAUUUCUUACUGGGGUUCAGACCUACUACGCAAUUCCCGGUAAUUAAUAUAUAUAUAUAUAUUGGGUUAAUUAUGUCUGUUGUGUGUUUUUUUCUUGUUUGGUGUGUAUGAUUAGAGAAAUAAAGAUGUAUAGAUUGUUAAGUUGUAUGACUGGAUUUCAUGGAUGCAAUAUUAUUAGUCUUUUCCUUCCCAUGAGUUUGCUAUCUAUAAUAUCUGUUUGAACUCACAAUUUCCAGCUACCUUCUUUGUAUUCUUUUUCAUAGACCAGGAUCAUACAUAACACAACCACAUAGAAAAUUUUGCGAUUGAAUAUUGCACACAAUUUUUUUUUGAACGAGAAAAUUGUGGAUAAAAUCAUAAUUUUCAUAUAUUUAUAGAUUGAGGGAACAAUCUUAAUUAUGCCCUUUGAUUUUUUAUUUUUUAUUUAUAAAAGAUAAAAAUAUCUUUUUAGGCAAUUUAAAUGCUUAAUUUUGAAUCAAACGAGAUUUCAUUAAUAAAUAUGACAUUUUUAAAUGAAGUCUUCCAAUCUUCAUUGAAAGAAUCUUCAAGUUUUCAACUUCUUUAAGAAAUCUUCAAAUACUUUUCAACUCUUCAAGAUAUUUUUAAUCUUCUUGAAUUCUUUUUAAGAGCUCUAGGGCUUUUCUUUAGUCUUCUGCCAAAAUACAUCACUGAAUGAAGGAGAGAACAAAGGCAUUUUUCAUUCAUCACUGAACUUGUUUGAAAAGAAAAACACACACACACAGAUGGAGUUAGAAAUGAAAGUGGAGAAAAGCACUCGACAGUUUUGCAUACUGCAUGAUAGAACUCGUUGAAAUUGUUUAUAUCCCUGGCACUAAAAUACAUCUUGUAGCACUUAGUGAUCAAAGCCUGUUUUUCCUCCUCACUUCCUGUUCAGACAUGGAGAAGUGAAACAAACUUUGAGAUAUUCAUUGAUUCAACAAAGCUUUAAUCAAAUACUAAACUGCUUGCUUUGAUGGAAGGGCAGAGAUGAUGGUACCAGGAAUUAGUUUCAUGAGAGAUGCGCCCAUCUUCCUCCAAGCUUGUACCUAUGCGCUUGCGAUUGGUAAAAGCCAGGCACCAUAAACAUAAGAGUUUUUGAAUUUUUAUGGGAAAAUCAUGCUUUCAUACACUAAUUAAUAAUAAUAAAAAAAUUCUCCAUAUUUAAAAAAAAUAUAUAUAUAUCAAGACCACUGUAGUUUUCCUUUUAAAACUUUUUUAAUUUCAAUUUUUUAAUGUUUUAUCUUUUCAUAUUUAUUGGUUUCAAUCAUUAUAUUGAACACAUUAAACACAAAAUGAUAACAUUAUUGAGAACAAAUAAAAUAUAACCUAAAAUACAAUAGACAAACAAUUGAAGUUUCUUAGUAAUAUCUAAUUUAUAAUUUUCAAGAAUAGAAGAGCGAGUAUAUGAAUACUCUUGAGAAAAAAAUUAUUAUUUUAUUAAAAAAAACAAGUACUUUUAUUGUUCUUUAUGAUUAAAAAAUAAUAUUUUAUUUUCCUCCAUUUUUUUUAAUAUAAUCUAUUAAAUUAUAUUUGUUGUUGUCAAAUUUCUUUGUAUUAUUAUUAUUUUAAAAUUUGCAAGUCAUGCAAAUUUGUCAUAAUCUCAUAACAAUAAUUAACAUACAUGUUAGAUAUAAUUUCUAAGUUUUUUAUGUUCGAUAUAGAAAUUUUUUUAUGUUGCAUAAUAUAUUUUUAUUUAAUAUAAUAAAUUUAGAAGUAAUAUAUUAAUAAAGUUGAUCAUACACCUUCAUGAAAUAAAAUAUUCAAAGAAUAUUAAAAUUUAGAUGAUCCUGUCACUAUAUCCAAUUAUGUAGGAAAAAUGUGUACAAUCUUCAUCAAAAUAUAUAGGUACAUUCUUUUAGGGGGAAUCGGGACACUCACACUUGUUAUGUCCUAAAUAGUCAUUUGGGAGACCUCGAGGAAUGAUUUAUGACCUUACCCCAACUAGAAAUCAAAUUUUGAACCUUAUACACAUCUAAAAGAAAACUACAUACAUUCUUUUUAGGGUGAAUUGGGACCCCAACCACUCUUAUUACAUCCUAAAUAGUCAUUUGGGGGACCUCGAGAAGCGAUUUGAUUCCCCCACCCCAAAAUUAAAUUUGGAACCCCAUAUAUAUCCUUAAUAUAUGUAUACACACACACACACACAUAAUUAAAAAAAUACGUAUAUGUUUUAUAAAAAUAUAUGCAUUUUUUGAAGGGUGAACCGGGACCCCAAUCACACUUACUAUGUCCUAAAUAGUAAUUUAGGGACCUCGAGGAGUCAUUUGUAACCUUCUCUCACCUCGAAAUCAGAUUUGGAAUGUCACAUAUAUUCUUCACAAAAAUACAUACAUUUUUUUAGAGUGAAUCCCAAUCACCCUUAUUAUGACCUAUAUAUUCCUUUAGGGACCAUCAGGAAGUGAUUUGAGGUAUUCCCCCACCCCAAAAAGGAUAUUGCAACCCCAUAUACAUCCUUAAGAAAAAUAAGUACAUUUGUUCCUAAGGGAACUAGGACUCCUAUGUCCCUUAUCAAUGUCUAUAUAUUCUUUUGAAAACCCUCGAGAACUGAUUGAAGGUCCACCCCAUCCCCGAAACGGACUUUGGAACCUUAAGUACAUCCUUAAUAAAAAUAAGUACAUAUGCUCCUAGGGAUAUUGAGACCCUUAUCUCCAUUAUCAUGGUCUAUAUAUUCUUUUAGGGACCUUUGGAAAGUGAUUGGAUAUCUCAUAAACUCGUAUACCUCUUAAGAAAAAGAGGUGUUACAUAGUCUAUAGGACAUAUCCCCAAAAGAAUAUGAGAAAAGAUGAAAAACCUUUCCACGAUCUCACUUAGUCCUUCAAAGUUUGAUAUCUUUUUUCCAUCUUUCCAUUUUGCAAUGGAGACUCUAGUGCACAUAACUAGGAAAUAAUCUCAUGCUCCAACAAAGAGAAUCAAACUUACUAGACAUAUCACCCUGAUAUAAUCAAAGUGCCUUGAUAUCCGACUCCACCUUAAAUUCAAUGAAUUUAUCCCAGUUAUCAAAUUCUUAUACACAUAUUCAAACCUAGACUAAUCAUCACUAAAAAGUGAUGAAGUACACAUACCCUCCCCAUGCAUGAAUACUAAAAGAUCCAUGCAUGUUAGUAUGCACUAACUCCAAACAUUCCUUGGCUCUAAUCCUCUUGGCCAUUUUACCAUCUAUAUAAAAUUCACAAACUAGAAGAUCCUUUGAAUAAAAAAGUCCAAACCUAACUAGUCUUUAAAUCCUACUCAAAUUGAUAUGACCUAGGUCUUUAUACCAAAUGUUUGAUUAGUGCUAAGUUCAAUCUUAAGAUCUAACUAUUCUCAUCAUUUGCCAAAAUGAUAAUGAAAUACAUAUAAAAAAAAAAAAAUUGGAAGAUAUUACAUUCCACUGACCUGCACAACUAACUUUGCAAUUGAAGUUAAGGUAAAUAUAAUCUCAUCAUUUAACCUUCUCACUUGUUGAAUAUCCUGUAAAGACUACAUAUUGUAGGCAUAUAAUCUAUUCACCAUAAAUGGUAAAAUCCACCACUAAAUAUUCAACAAUGAGAAAAUGAUGCAUAUUUUUUUUUCUUUUAGGUAAACUAAGCAUUUCUUUUCUAGUGUCCUAAAAGAAUACAAAGGAAUCACCUGCCCUUGAACUUGCUUUCUUAUUUCUUCUCUUGAAUUUUCUUUAUUUGGUAUUGUUGUUCUUCUUCUUGGCUAAAAAAAAUGUAAAGAACCUUUUACUUCCAUAUGAACACCCUUAUAAUCUUUAAGAUUCCCCUAAACCAUCCCAAGGGAAACUAACAAUGUCUCUAAGAUUAUAUGAACUCUACUGUUUAUAAUAGUCCUAAGGACAACUUGUUAAAGUUGACCUGCCUUUAUCACCAAAUAGCCUUUGCAAACUAGAAAGAGAACAUCAAAGUCCUUGGUAAUAGAUAUGUGUUGCUAUUGCAACACAUUAUCCAAAGAUCUAAGUACGAGACACUUGGUCUUUUGAUCCAUCUAGCACCACCUUUAAUAUACCUACUUUUUCCUUUUUUACUAGGUUGGUUCAAAAGAAAUAGCUUGUUUUGCCUAAACUAGUUUUUAUGCAAUUAGUUACUAUAUCCAAAUUAGUUCAAAUGAUUAGUUGGGUUUGGUCUAUUGUGAGAAAGAUAGUGAUAAUAAAACCAACAUGAUAUCUUAACAAAGAUUAUAACCAUGCAUAUGACAUAAUUGAGCAUUCAAGGCAAUUGGUAAUUAAUUUAGCAAAAAUGUAGUGCUCUCAAACUACAUGUCAUUUCGCAAGGUAUCUUAGUGUCAUAAGAAUCAAGCUUACAAUGGGGAGGUCAUGAUUUUAUUACUAGUUAGAGACCUUCUCAAAUUGACCUCUUUGUCUUAACCAUGAAGGUAUCUAAAGGCAAGAUUAACAUACAUUUUUAUUUGGCUCAUGAACUAUGCAAAUGGGACCACAGUGCAGGCGUUUCAACAACUUCAAAUCCACUGAUAAGUGUAUAACCAUUGUCCUUGAACUAUCAGUGUCACCAAGUAAGGAACCCCACCAGUGGGAUGGUUUCUCCCACUACAGACAUGUCUAGUCUCAUCCUAAUGGAGAGUUCUUAUCCUUUGAUUCUUAAGACCUAACCUACCGUGGGGGUGGUGAUGAGCCCAAAUCUAGAUGGGCUCGAUAAUGGAGGCAUGGGCUUUCCUAAGGCCCUCUCCCACUUAAUUUUUUGAGAUAGAUGACCAUUUUAAAACAUUGUAAUUCCCUUGAUGAAUAAAUUAUCUACUUUGAGAAUUUUCAAAAAUAUUUAUUUCCUAAUUGGAAACUUAGUGUAAUAGGAGAAUAAAUUCUCCUUCUCUUACACAAAUCCAAUUAAUAAAUAUUUUAUUUAGGAAAUGUCUCAAAGAAAUUUAUUUCCAUCAAAUUACUAAGCCUUUUGAUAAUGAUUUUUUAAUGAAAAAUUAUCUUUAAUGAAAAUUUCCAAAAUGUUUAUUUUCCAAAUUGGAACUCUAGUGUAAUGAGGAAAUUACCAAUUUAUGAGAUUUUGAAAAUCUUAAGAGCACCUUAUCCAGGAAAUCAACUUUUGCUUCUCAUAUUCAAAAAUACUUAUAAGAUUUACUUAUUUCUUUUGCUUCUCAUAUUAAAAAAUCCUUAUAAGAUUUACUUAUUUCUUACACCUUUCCAACUUAAUAAAUAUUUCCAUGACAAUUUUAUAAUAAUUUAUUCCAUUAAAUAAUACCAAAAAUAGAACCUUUUAGUAAUUCCUUAAAGGAUAAACUAUUCUCUAUGAAAAACUCCUAAAAAUGCCUAUUUUCAAAAAAGGAAUUAAAUAAUUCAUUUUGGAAAGUAUUUUCAAAAUAUUUUAUAUCUCCAUUGAAUUACUAAAACUUUCCAAAAAUUAUUUUGAUAACCCUUCCUAUCAUAAAUUAUCCAUCAUGAGCUAAGACUCCUCUGCUAGAAAAAUUACUCUCUCAAUCCUUAUUCUUGAAUGAUCCAUAUCCAAACUGAAUGGUUUCCUUAUUUUAUUUUAUUUUUAGGGGGGAGAGCUUGGAGGAUCAUUAUAGAUGUAGUUCUCCUUCUCUCGAGAUGGGGGGUUGGGAAGCCUAGAGGACCACCUAUAUAAAACCAAGUAGAUAGUUCCAAAAAGAAUAACAUUAUUCUUAGCAACAACCAGUUUAAACAAAUAAUCUUUGGAAAAUAUCUUCUCAUGAAAAUUUACUAAGAAUACCAAAAUACUUAUUCAAAAUUAACACUUAUUUUGGUAACCUUCUUAAUUAUAAAUUAUCUAUCAUGAAUUUUCAAAAUUAACUUAUUCUCUUUAACUAAAAAACUUAUGCAAAAAGGAAAAAUAUUAUUUUAUAAAGAUUUGGAACAUCAAGAGCUUUUUCUUAAAAUAUUAUUUUUAGAGAUCUCAAAGAUUUGAGAAGAUUUUAAAUAAAAUUAAAAUCUAUAAGAAUUAAUUUUAAAAAGAAAAGAAAACUUUUAACCCUUUUUCAACUUAUCUUUUCUUAAAAUAAAAUUUCUCAACCAUUCACAUUCUAAUUUAAAUAAGUUUUCCAAUUUUGAAAAAUCCAUGAAAAUUUUUAUUCAAUUGAGAAUAUCAAAAUAAUUUAAUGUCGCAUAUGCAAUAAAUAAAGAGCAUAUAUAAACAAGGAAAUAAAUAAGCAAAAUUUCCCCAUGGCCUUUAGGGAUCCUACUGCGUAGUCUAGUAAUACAUUUCAAUAAAAUCCAAAUCACCAAUAUUAUCAAAUCAAACCUACAACAAAUAAAGGGUUAGAAAAAAGGAAAAACCCUUCAUCAGUAUGCCAAAAGUGCCAAUCUAUUGUCACUUGUGCUCGAGCGCCCAAAAAUUUGAAGAAAAUGUUAGAUACAACUUGCAUUGUGAUUACUACUCAAAAAAUACUCUUUUAUAGGUUGAAACUAACUGUUUUAAACACUUUUGAGUGGUAGUUAAUACCUUUUAACUCAAUUGGCACAUUAAGUAACCUAGCAAGGGUUACUAAUCAGUUUUGGCAAGUUUUGGUGUUUUUGGUAGCUAUUUGAUCAUUGAAACAAGCCAAGAAUGAGGGAGAAUUUUGUGAAAUCCAUGGCAAUGCAAGUUGAAGCUCAAAUACAUGAAGAAUCCGAGCUUUGGAGCACUUCAUAGCCCUUUGCCAAGCUUGGCAAUAGGUUGCCAAGCCAAUCAGAGAUGCAAGGAAGAAAACUAGAGGAAAAGUCCAACAACCAGCAUUUUCGCAUAGCAUGCGAAAUAAAGAGGAAGAGCAGCUGCAGGAAUGAGAGCAGGAUUGAGUGAAAGACAAUUUCGCACACCAUGCGAAACCACAAGAAGCAGCCAAAGAAUUUCGCACACCAUGUGAAAUUUCGCAUGGUAUGCGAAAUCCUCUUGUGUACCGACUCCGUUAGAUUUUUAUCUCCAGAUAUUUUGUAUAAUUUCCUAUUUUCUCCUUGUAAUCAAGCUAGAUAUUUUCAUGUAUAUCUUUUCUAGACAUGAAAGAAAUUCAUUCAUGAAACACUUGUAAAAUUCCCGUAGAAGAAAUAUAUAGAGAUUUUGCUCUGUCUUUCCUUCUCAUUUUGUUUUCACUUUUCUUUCUAGCCAAACAACCUCUGAGGAUGAUUUCUCAGGGGAUGAGUGGCUAGGUUUUACAUUUCUUGGAGUGAUGGAAACUAGGUGAAGGACCCGAAUGCAAAGAUGGGAGUUGUCCUUGCUUUAAAUGAAAGUAGUUGUUAACGUGAGGAAAAGAUCCAAAAUCUCCCUUUUUGCCUAAGGAACCCGAUCCUAGUGACCUAAAGCUCCAAGAGACCUUUUCUUUGUAGUUAACUUCACUAAUUAUUUUUGCUUAACUUAAAAUCAAUCUUUGCAACCAAAAUUCCAUUUUCUUUAAAAACUAAUUUUCAUAAGGAAAAACACCAUUUUAUUUCCUUCACUAAUGUGAACUGUAUGAUGAAAACCCAUCCCUAUGGAUGAUCCUAGAGCCACUAGACUAAGUUAGCUAUGCUAUCCUAGUGUGAGGUGAUUUAGGUUUGAUAAAUUUUGUUGAUAACACCUGCCUGAGCCAGAAUCAAAUGGCAUGACUGUAAUGAAGACGAAUCAAGUAUGCAUACUUGAAAGAAGACAAGCAGUGCCAUGUUGUUAUAUCUUCAGCUCUUACCAUUCAUUAGGAGGAUUGUCUACUUGAAGUCCUUAGAAGAUGUAGGAAGGAAAUAGGGUGGCAAAUUUCUGAUUUGAAAGGGAUCAACCCUUUAGUCUGCACCCAUCAUAUUUACAUGGAGGAUGAAGCUAAGCCAGUUUGUCAACCUCAGAGAAGGUUGAAUCCUCACAUGCAAAAGGUGGUGCAAACUAAAGUUCUUAAGCUACUUCAGGCCGGUAUUAUCUACCCCAUAUCAGAUAGCCCAUGGGUGAGUCCUACUCAAGUUGUGCCAAAGAAGUCUGGGAUCACGGUGGUGCAAAAUGAUAAGGGAGAAAAUGUCUCUACACGCCUCACUACAUGUUGGAGGGUGUGUAUCGAUUACAGGAGAUUGAAUGCGGUGACAAGGAAUGACCAUUUCCCGUUGCCCUUUAUUGAUCAAGUGCUUGAGAGGGUCUCUGGGCAUCCUUUUUAUUGUUUCUUGGAUGGCUACUCCGGGUACUUUCAGAUAGAAAUUGAUGUUGAAUACUAGGAGAAGACCACUUUCAUAUGCCCAUUUAGAACCUAUGCAUACAGGAGAAUGCCUUUCGGCUUAUGCAAUGCACCCGCAACUGUCUAAAGAUGCAUGUUAAGCAUUUUUAGUGAUAUAGUGGAGCGUAUUAUGGAAGUCUUUAUGGAUGAUAUCACCAUAUAUGGAAGUGCAUUUGAUGAAUGCUUGAUCAACUUAGAAGUUGUUCUGAACCGAUGCAUUGAGAAAGACUUAGUGCUUAACUGGGAGAAGUGUCAUUUCAUGGUACAACAAGGGAUUGUCCUUGGACACAUCAUCUCCAAGCAAGGCAUUGAAGUAGACAAAGCAAAUGUUAAACUCAUUGUUAAGUUACCAUCCCCAACAAAUGUCAAAGGAGUAAGGUAAUUCCUUGGCCAUGUCAGGUUCUAUAGGAGGUUUAUAAAGGAUUUCUCUAAGCUUGCAAGGCCUCUUUGUGAACUAUUGGUGAAGGAUGCUAAAUUCAUAUGGGAUGAUAGAUGCCAAAGGAGUUUUGAAGAAUUGAAGCUAUUUCUGACAACCGCACCAAUAGUGAGGGCUCCCAACUGGCAACUGCCCUUUGAGGUAAUGUGUGAUGCCAGUGACUUUGCUAUAGGAGUUGUUCUUGGCCAAAGAGAAUAUGGAAAGCCCUAUGUGAUCUACCAUGCGAGCAACACAUUGAAUGAGGCGCAAAGAAACUACACAACCACUGAGAAAGAAUUGUUAUAUGUGGUUUUUGCCUUAGAUAAGUUUCGUGCUUACUUGGUGGGGUCUUUCAUUGUGGUUUUCACUUAUCACUCUGCUUUGAAGUAUCUGUUGACUAAGCAAGAUGCGCAAGCAAGGCUGAUUAGAUGGAUUUUCUUGCUUUAAGAGUUCAAUCUCUAAAUCAAAGACAAGAAAUGAGUGGAGAAUGUGGUAGCAGACCACCUUUCAAGGCUAGCUAUAGCACAUAAUACCCAUGGUUUGCCCAUUAAUGAUGAUUUUCCAAAGGAGUCUCUCAUGUUGGUGGAAGUUGCCCCUUGGUAUGCUCACAUUGCGAACUACCUAGUCAUAGGAGAAGUUCCAAGUGAAUGGAAAACACAAGAUAAGAAACAUUUCUUUGCAAAAAUUCACGCCUAUUAUUGGGAAGAGCCAUUUCUAUUCAAGUAUUGUGUGGAUCAGGUAAUAAGGAAGUGCGUUCCUGAAGAAGAGCAACAGGGGAUCCUCAGCCAUUGCCAUGAAAAUGCAUGUGGAGGCCACUUUGCUUCUUAGAAGACAGCCAUGAGGGUGUUGCAAUCGGGUUUCUAUUGGCCAUCACUUUUCAAAGAUGCCCACACCAUGUGCAAGAGUUGUGAUCGAUGCCAGAGGCUUAGGAAAUUGACACGCAGGAACAUGAUGCCUUUGAACCCCAUUUUGAUAGUUGAUCUUUUUUAUGUUUGGGGCAUUGACUUCAUGGGACCUUUCCCUAUGUCUUUUAGCUACUCUUACAUCUUGGUAAGAGUAGAUUAUGUUUCUAAGUGGGUUGAGGCAAUCCCAUGUAAACACAAUGACCAUAAAAUGGUUCUCAAGUUUCUCAAGGAGAACAUCUUCUCAAGAUUUGGGGUGCCCAAAGCCAUAAUUAGUGAUGGGGGUACUCAUUUUUACAACAAGCCUUUUGAAACUCUCUUGGCCAAGUAUGGGGUGAAGCAUAAGGUAGCUACACCUUACCACCCUCAAACUAGUGGGCAAGUUGAGUUAGCGAACCGGGAUAUUAAAAACAUAUUGAUGAAGGUGGUGAACACAAAUAGAAAAGAUUGGCCAGUCAAGCUCCUUGAUUCACUAUGGGCAUAUAGAACAGCUUAUAAGACCAUUCUUGGAAUGUCUCUGAUUCGUGCCCAGUAGGGUAUUUUAAUCAAAAAUAUUUAUAAAUCCUAUGACCUUAUACUAGCGUAGCAAAGCUACUAUAGUACAACAGCUCUAGGGUCGAACUCUGGGAUGGGUUUUCAUUCUACCAGUGAUAGACUCAAGAUUAGAAAUUGAAUCUGAUGAUUUCCUUUGUCAAAAACUUAAAGUUUAAAAGAAAAUAAAAUUUGUUUUGAAAGUGGUGUUUGAAACUAAACUAACAUAGAACUAGGUAAAAAUGGAAGAAAGAAAGUCUCCCGGAGCUAGAGGUUGCUAGGAUCAAGUUCAGAAUGCAAAGUGGGAAAUUCCGGAUUUUUCUCCUCGUAUUAGGGACAACUGAUUACUACUCAAAAAGUGCUAUUUGAUAGCUUAUAAUUAAUCCUUUUAAACACUUUUGAGUAGUAGUUUAGGCCUUUUAACUCAAUUGGCAUGUUAAGGAUCCUUUAAAGCAAUUUUAAUCACUUUGUGCAAGUUUUGGUGUUUUUGUUAGUAUUUUGAUCACCAAAGCAAGUCAAGACUGAGGAGAGCUAUGAGGAAUCUUGGGCAAAGCUUAGAAGUCAUUUUCCAAGAGUGAAUCCGGAUUGCAAGGAGAAAAAGCAAAGAGAAUCUACCAUAGAGCAUAUUCUUGAUGACAGUCACAGAGGCCACUUUUGGAGCACUUUCUGAAGUCCAAAUAAUGCAUGCUAUAUACCAUUUCAAAGCUCAGGAAGUCAACAAUCUAAUGCUUCAAACGGUGUGCAAUUCGGAGUUGAAACGAAGAAGUUGCAGCCAUUACAAGCCAAUCACUCCGAGUUGAAGGAAGCAUUUUGCAAAGUGCUGCGAAAUCACCCUUUUGUUGCGAAGUGAUUUCGCAGCAUUUUUGUACAGUAAGUUGUUUCUCCUUCUGAUGAUGCACGAUUUAUGCCGCGAGAAGGAAGCUAGGAACCUCAAGGUGGAAGCCAACUUCGCAGCCCUGUGAAGAUAGCUUGGUGUUGCGAAAAUAUUUCGCAGCCCUCUUGAGUGUCUGCGAAAUCUCGCAGACACCAUUUUUCUCCUGCGAAAUGGUUCCUGAAGCCUCCCGAUAUUUGCUACCGACAUUGGGAGAUAUUUUCCAUUAGAUUUUUGUUGUCUAAAUCCCAAAAUACUCCUUGUAAACCUCCAAUUACAAGAUUCCUUAGCUUUUAAGUUAGUAAAAAGACUAAAUAUCUUUGUAACAAUUAGUUUUAUAUUAUGUUCAUAUAUAUACCUCUCGGGAGCCUGUUCUCGGAGAGGAGUUCCUUCUGAAAAAGUUUGGGUAAGCAAGUAAAGUCUAUUUUCUUUCUACUGCCUUACCUUAUCACUUUGUAUUUUCAUUUCAUUUCUAAGUUAUGAAUUCUCUGAGGAGUUUUCCCCAGAGAAUGAGUAACUAAACCUCUAGUUCCUUGGAGCUAAGGUUGCCGGGGAAGGUUCCAAGUGCAAGAAUGCAAAGCUUUGUGGUUUUAGCUUUUAAUGAAGAGGAAGUGAAAUCCUUUAAUGAUUUCUAUGUUUUUAGUUAACUUAAAACACCUUAGAGUCACCUGGGCCAACACUUGGUAAGGCAAGUGAUUUCCAACCAUGGAAAUGCACUAGUUUACCUCUUGCGAGCCUCUGGGAGGUGAUUUCAAGGUAGGAUUUUCUGGAAUUACCAACACUUGGUAAGCUUUUGGACUCCUAGGAGACAUCCAUUAGUUAUCUCUUGCGAGUUUGUGAAGGGAAGUCCAAGGUUAAAGAUCAUCUUGAAUGGUAAGUGCUCGUGAGAGGCAUGAACCAUUGCAAGUUGCAUCAGUGAGAGAAUUAAAGUGAAAUCUAAUUGAAGGAAUCUCUGUACAACACCGGUUAGAGAAUUGACUAUAUGUUGAAUCUCUAACGCGAGGAAAUGAACCAUCUGACCGGAGCUAUGUCUUUUGCAUGAGGAAUCACCCCAGUGAACCUAACUCUCCAGGGAAUGCUUUUCUUCCUAAAUUAUUCCAAACUUCUGUUAUGUUAGUUAGUUUAAGUAUAAACAUUUACCAAUCAAAGUUUGUGUUUUACUUCUUAAGCUAACCGUGAAAUGAAACAAGACCAAUUCACUUGGAAUUGGUAUCAUUGAUAGCUUGCUAAUCCUUCCCAGUGAACGAUCCUAGAGCCGCUAUACUAUAGUAGCUUUUUCUUUGCUACCCUAGUAUAUGGUGUAAUAGGUAUAAAUUUUGUUGAUUACUCCCUCAUCCAAGGAGCACCAGCUGGACAUGAAUCAGCUGAGACACCAAUUGGGCACGAAUCAAAUGGCGCCGUUGCCGGGGAAGAUGUCAAGUUUAUAUUGAUACCAUUUUUGAGCACUUGUGAUUUUCAUCACAAGCUGGUAACGUUUCUUUCACUUUACUAAUUUUCAUUCUUUCUUUAUGUAUUCAUAAUCUAAGUUUAUCUUAUUAAAUUUAGCCUAGUUUAAUUUUGCUGUUGUAGCCUUGUUUCUCUUGUUGUCCUCUGUUUUUUUUUUAAGUUGUAGAUAGAUACUAGUUGUGUAUGCCCAAGUGGAUACGAGACAGUGGAGGAAGGCUUGUUAAGUGUGAUACACCUCAGAGGGGAGAAUUUGAAGUAAUCUUGAAUAUCAUGGAAGCUACACCUGAAGAUCAGCAUAGUCACCAAGGUCGUCAAGACAAUCUCAAUGAAUUCAGAUCAAUGAGGGACCGUAUGCAUCCACCUCGUAUGAGUGCACCAUCAUGCAUAGUGCCCCCUACAGAGCAGCUAGUGAUCAGACCGUAUCUUGUUCCACUUCUACCAACUUUCCAUGGGAUGGAAAGUGAGAAUCCGUAUGCACACAUCAAGGAAUUUGAAGAUGUUUGUAAUACAUUCCAAGAGGGAGGAGCUUCAAUUGAUUUGAUGAGGCUUAAGUUAUUUCCUUUUACUUUAAAGGAUAAGGCCAAAAUUUGGCUUAAUUCUUUAAGGCCAAGGAGUAUCCGCUCUUGGACUGAUUUACAAGCUGAAUUCCUCAAGAAAUUUUUUCCUACUCAUAGAACAAAUGGCUUGAAAAGGCAAAUUUCAAACUUCUCAGCUAAAGAGAAUGAGAAAUUCUAUGAGUAUUGGGAGAGAUACAUGGAAGCUAUAAAUGCUUGUCCUCACCAUGACUUUGAUACUUGGCUAUUGGUGAGCUAUUUUUAUGAUGGUAUGUCUUCCUCAAUGAAGCAACUCCUCGAGACAAUGUGUGGAGGAGAUUUCAUGAGCAAAAAUCCAGAGGAAGCUAUGGAUUUCUUGAGCUAUGUAGCUGAUGUUUCAAGGGGAUGGGAUGAACCAACUAAAGGAGAAGUGGGAAAGAUGAAGUCUCAGUUGAAUGCUUACAAUGCAAAGGCUGGGAUGUAUACUUUAAAAGAAGAUGAUGACAUGAAAGCAAAGUUGGCAACUAUGACAAGAAGAUUGGAGGAGCUGGAACUGAAAAGAAUACAUGAAGUGCAAGCUGUUGCUGAAGCACCAGUGCAAGUGAAGCUGUGUCCUAAUUGUCAAUCAUUUGAACAUUUGGUGGAGGAAUGCCCUGCAAUUUCAACUGAAAGGGAGAUGUUUAGAGAUCAAGCAAAUGUUGUUGGACAAUUCAGGCCCAAUAACAAUGCGCCAUAUGGAAAUACCUACAACUCAAGUUGGAGGAAUCAUCCAAAUUUCUCAUGGAAGGCCAGAGCAACUCAAUACCAACAGCCGGAUCCACCAUCUCAACAAUCUUCAAGUAUUGAACAAGCAAUAGCCAAUCUCAGCAAGGUAAUGGGAGAUUUUAUUGAAAAGCAAGAAGCCACUAAUGCUCGAGUCGAUCAAAGAAUUGAUAGAAUGGAGAGUAUGUUGAAUAAAAGGAUGGAUGGAAUGCAAAAUGAUAUGAACCAAAAGUUUGACAACAUCCAGUAUUCAAUUUCAAGGCUUACAAAUUUGAAUACACUGCAAGAAAAGGGAAGAUUUCCUUCUCAACCUCACCAAAAUCCCAAGGGUGUCCAUGAAGUGGAAAGCCAAGAGGGAGAGUCAUCACAGAUGAAAGAUGUCAAAGCCUUGAUCACUCUAAGGAGUGGUAAGAAAAUUGAGCAGCCAAUACCCAAGCCACAUGUUGAGAAAGAAGAAGAGAUAAAGAAAGGGAAUGAAAUGGAAGAUAAAGAGUGUGAGAUCAGUGAAGAAAAGAAGGACUCUGAUUCAACAAUGAAAGCAAUUCCAGAGAAAGAGCUUCUGAAGGAAGAAAUGCUGAAGAAAUCAACUUCUCCACCUUUUCCCCAAGCAUUACAUGGGAAAAAGAGGAUUAGAAAUGCAGCUGAAAUCCUUGAAGUCUUGAGGCAAGUGAAAGUUAAUAUUCCACUGCUGGAUAUGAUUAAACAAGUUCCAACAUAUGCAAAAUUCCUAAAGGAUUUAUGUACUAUCAAAAGAGGGUUAACUGUAAACAAGAAAGCCUUCUUGACUGAGCAAGUAAGUGCAAUCUUACAGUGUAAGUCUCCUUUGAAGUACAAAGACCCUGGAAGUCCUACCAUUUCAGUCAUGAUUGGAGGAAAGGUAGUGGAGAAAGCCCUGUUAGAUUUGGGAGCAAGUGUGAAUUUGCUUCCAUAUUCCGUCUACAAGCAAUUGGGACUUGGAGAGUUGAAGCCAACAGCAAUCACUCUAUCUCUGGCAGAUAGAUCGGUGAAAAUUCCAAGAGGGGUAAUUGAGGAUGUAUUGGUUCAAGUGGAUAAUUUCUACUAUCCAGUAGAUUUUAUUGUUCUUGAUACAGAUCCUACUGUAAAGGAAGCUAAUUUAGUUCCUAUCAUCCUUGGAAGGCCAUUUCUUGCAACUUCAAAUGCAAUCAUCAACUGUAGAAAUGGGCUUAUGCAACUCACUUUUGGUAACAUGACACUGGAUCUCAAUAUUUUCUACAUGUCUAAAAAGCAAAUCACUCCGGAGGAAGAAGAAGGUCCAGAAGAGCUAUGUAUAAUUGAUACUUUGGUGGAGGAGCACUGCAAUCAACAUAUGCAAGAAAAGUUGAAUGAAAGUCUUGAGGAUAUUGAGGAAGGUUUUUCUGAAUCUCCUAUUGGGCUUGCUACUCUACAAAGUUGGAGAAAGAUAGAAGGAAUUCUACCUUUGUUCAAUAAGGAAGAGGAGGCAGCUGUUGAAAAAGAAAUUCCAAAACUCAAUCUGAAGCCUUUACCUGUGGAGCUGAAAUAUACAUAUCUUGAAGAAAAUAAUCAAUGUCCUGUUGUGAUAUCCUCAUCUCUGACCAGUCAACAAGAGAAUUGUUUAAUGGAAGUUCUCAAGAGGUGUAAGAAGGCAAUAGGAUGGCAAAUAUCUGACUUGAAAGGCAUUAGUCCUUUAGUUUGUACUCAUCAUAUAUAUAUGGAGGAGGAAGCAAAGCCAAUUCGUCAAUUUCAAAGAAGGUUGAAUCCUCAUCUACAAGAGGUGGUGCGAGCUGAAGUGCUGAAGCUACUUCAAGCAGGAAUCAUUUACCCUAUAUCUGAUAGCCCUUGGGUGAGUCCUACUCAAGUGGUACCAAAGAAGUCAGGGAUCACAGUGAUUCAAAAUGAAAAAGGGGAAGAAAUUACUACACGCCUCACUUCAGGUUGGAGGGUGUGUAUUGAUUAUAGAAAGCUGAAUGCUGUCACUAGGAAAGAUCAUUUUCCAUUGCCAUUUAUUGAUCAAGUGCUGGAGAGAGUCUCUGGACAUCCAUUCUAUUGUUUCUUGGAUGGGUAUUCAGGGUAUUUUCAGAUUGAAAUUGAUUUGGCAGAUCAAGUAAAGACCACUUUUACAUGUCCAUUUGGAACAUAUGCUUAUAGAAGAAUGCCUUUUGGUUUAUGCAAUGCACCUGCUACAUUUCAAAGAUGUAUGUUGAGUAUUUUCAGUGAUAUGGUGGAGCGAAUUAUGGAGGUUUUCAUGGAUGACAUCACCGUAUAUGGAGGUACAUUUGAGUAAUGCUUGGUUAAUUUGGAAGCAGUUCUUCAUAGAUGCAUUGAAAAAGAUCUGGUGCUCAACUGGGAGAAAUGCCAUUUUAUGGUACGUCAAGGAAUUGUCCUUGGCCAUAUCAUCUCUGAAAAAGGCAUUGAAGUUGAUAAAGCAAAGGUGGAGCUUAUUGUCAAAUUACCAUCUCCAACAACUGUAAAAGGAGUAAGGCAGUUCCUUGGCCAUGCAGGGUUCUAUAGGAGGUUUAUAAAAGGUUUUUCAAGUCUUUCAAAACCUCUUUGUGAGCUGUUAGCUAAGGAUGCUAAGUUUAUAUGGGAUGAAAGGUGUCAGAAUAGCUUUGAUCAACUGAAGAAAUUUUUAACAACUACUCCAAUAGUGAGAGCCCUUAACUGGCAAUUACCUUUUGAACUGAUGUGUGAUGCCAGUGACUUUGCUAUAGGAGCUGUGCUUGGCCAAAGAGAAGAUGGGAAGCCCUAUGUGAUUUACUAUGCAAGUAAAACACUGAAUGAAGCUCAAAGGAACUACACAACUACAGAGAAAGAAUUGUUAGCUGUGGUAUUUGCUUUGGACAAAUUUCGUGCUUAUUUAGUGGGGUCUUUCAUCAUUGUCUUCACUGACCAUUCAGCCUUGAAGUAUUUAUUGACAAAGCAAGAUGCAAAAGCAAGGUUGAUUAGAUGGAUUCUUCUGUUACAAGAAUUCGAUCUUCAAAUCAAAGAUAAGAAAGGAGUGGAGAAUGUAGUAGCUGACCACUUGUCAAGGUUAGUUAUAGCACAUAAUUCCCAUCCCUUGCCUAUCAAUGAUGAUUUUCCUGAAGAAUCACUCAUGUUUCUAGUGAAAACUCCUUGGUAUGCUCAUAUUGCCAAUUAUUUAGUAACUGGUGAAAUUCCAAGUGAGUGGAAUGCACAGGACAGGAAGCACUUCUUUGCCAAAAUUCAUUCUUAUUAUUGGGAAGAGCCCUUUCUCUUUAAGUAUUGUGCAGAUCAGAUUAUUAGGAAGUGUGUCCCCGAAGAUGAGCAGCAAGGGAUUCUAUCUCAUUGUCAUGAGAAUGCAUGUGGAGGCCACUUUGCCUCUCAGAAAACAGCCAUGAAGGUAUUGCAAUCAGGGUUUACUUGGCCAUCUCUUUUCAAAGAUGCCCACAUCAUGUGAAGAAAUUGUGAUAGAUGCCAAAGGCUUGGAAAGCUAACAAAAAGAAAUCAAAUGCCUAUGAACCCCAUUCUGAUAGUAGAGUUAUUUGAAGUAUGGGGCAUUGACUUCAUGGGACCUUUCCCAAUGUCUUUUGGUAAUCCAUAUAUCUUGGUGGGGGUAGAUUAUGUUUCUAAAUGGGUUGAGGCAAUCCCCUGUAAACAAAAUGAUCACAGGGUGGUUCUCAAGUUUCUUAAAGAGAACAUUUUCUCAAGAUUUGGGGUGCCCAAGGCCAUAAUCAGUGAUGGAGGUGCUCAUUUUUGCAACAAACCUUUUGAAGCUCUGUUAUCCAAGUAUGGAGUGAAGCAUAAGGUGGCUACACCUUAUCAUCCUCAGACUUCCGGGCAAGUUGAGCUAGCUAAUAGGGAAAUAAAGAACAUCUUGAUGAAAGUGGUGAAUUCCAACAGAAAAGAUUGGUCUAUUAGGCUUCAUGAUUCAUUGUGGGCAUAUAGAACAGCUUAUAAGACUAUUCUUGGGAUGUCUCCCUAUCGUCUUGUCUAUGGCAAAGCAUGUCAUCUCCCUGUGGAAGUUGAAUACAAAGCUUGGUGGGCAAUAAAGAAGCUGAACAUGGACUUGAUCAAGGCAGGAGAAAAGAGAUUUCUAGACCUUAAUGAGAUGGAGGAAUUAAGAAAUAAUGCUUAUAUCAAUUCCAAAGUUGUAAAACAGAGGAUGAAGAAAUGGCAUGACCAACUCAUCUCUAACAAGGAAUUUCAGGAAGGGCAAAGAGUUUUGAUGUAUGACACAAGACUCCAUAUCUUUCCUGGGAAGCACAAAUCGAGGUGGAUAGGCCCGUUUGUUAUUCACCGAGUAUGGUCCAAUGGAGUGGUGGAAUUAUUGAAUUCCAAUGGCAAGGAUAGCUUUAAAGUCAAUGGAUAUCGUCUCAAGCCAUUCAUGGAGCCAUUCAAAUCAGAAAAGGAGGCAAUCAACCUCCUUGAGCCUCAAAAAGUCUAAGCAAAGAAGGGUUUGCUAGACGUGGUUUUACCACAGUCCAAAAUUUUUGUAAAUUUUGUAAAUUUUCAAGUUGUUUCCAUAUUUUUGAUCUUAGUUUUUGAUCUUAAAUCAUGUUUUUAGGUGUGUUUUAAUUGUUUUGAAUGAUCCCAGGUGGAAGAAAUUUCAAGGAGAUUGAAAGAAAAAAAAAUCGGGUCGAAAUCAGAGCCAAAACAGAGGAAAAACAGAGGAAAAACAGGGGAAAAACAGAGCUCUGCGAAAUUUCGCAGAGUGAAGGAAACCUCUGCGAAAUCAGCACUAUGCUGCAAAUCCAUUCCGCAGCACUGUAGAAGUCUCUGCGAGGGUAUUUCGCAGCUACGAAAGCAAAUUUGGCACACGAGUGCCACUUCGCAGUACAGUAGCAUCCAUUUGGUAGCUGCGAAACACAUUGCGAAAUGGAAAAGCGUGAUUUCGCACCAAAAGUCCCAUUCCGCAGGGUAUUUCGCAAUUGCGAAAGUGGUUUUGGCACACGAGUGCCACUCCGCAGCACAGUAACAUCAAUUUCGCAGCUGCGAAACUCACUGCGAAGUUGCUGCGAAAAUGGCAUUUUGCUGCGAAAUUGGCGUUUUGUUGCGAAACUCAAACUGACACUUAGGCUUCCGUUUUUCCUAUUUAUACCGGUCAUUUGAGCUGCGAAAAGGGUUUCAAAAAUCAGAGCACCAUUCUCGCAGCCUCUUCGUCUUCUUCAGUGAGCCUCGCCGUCCAAACCCCCGGUCAUCCUCUCAGAUCAUCUACGUCAGCCAAAGUUCGGUAGCCUAAAAUGGCGCGAACACGAGGGGCUAAGUCUUCUUCUCCUUCGAACCGCAAGAAGAGUCUGCGAAAGGAGCCAAGUCCAGGUUCUGUUCCAGAACCUGCUCCAGAGCCCUCGCCGUCGAGACCAAUUCCUCCUCCGGUGAAGCCCGUGCCACCAAAGCCGCCGGCAAGACGAUAUCUAACCAGGUCAGGAGGUAGGCCAUUACAGAAGAGACCCAGGGUGGAGAGCUCAGAACCCAUCGAUUUGACUGAGCAAUCUCCAGAGCCUUCACCAAUCCCAUCACCGGUUCAAACUCCAGUGCCAUCUCCGGUUCCCUCGCCAAGUCCCCUGCCAGUUCCAUCGCCGGUACCAUCUCCAACGCCGCAAGAAAAAUCUCAGGAGCCCCAAGCGCCACUUCCCGAACCCCAAAUUCAAGCUGAAACAGCUCUGGAAGAAGUAAUUAGGAGGCCAAUGCUACCUCAGCCCCCAAUUGAAGGAAACUUGGAUUGUCGAACUCGAGCAUUCCAUUCCGAGCUUUGUUUCGACUUAGCAGCAUUCAGAGUGAGGCCGGAGCUUGCCCAAUCAUUCCAGCUGCUGAGGAGGUAUCAUAUGGAGCAUCUGCUAGCUCCAAGAGACUUUUUCUAUCCCCGAAUAGCCACGGAUUUCUACCAAUCCAUGACAACCAAAGAGGUCAGGAAUCCAACCUUGAUUCAUUUUACUAUCGAUGGGAGACAUGGUAUAUUGGGAGCACGACAUAUUGCUGAAGCCCUGCAAAUUCCCUUUGAGCCAACCCAAUUCGAUAAUUUUAGAGCUUGGGCAAAUCCUACUGAGCUAGAGAUGGUUCGCACCCUUUCUAAAGGAGCUGCAAAUCGAUCACAUCUGCUGAGGGGGGAGCUUCCUCCAGUUAUGUUUUUGAUUGAUGCCUUUUUGAGGCAUAAUAUCUAUCCAUUGCAGCAUUGGACCCAAAGAAGGGGAGUCCUCCUGGAAGCUCUUUACAAGAUGUCAGAAGGAUUUUUCUUUGGGCCUCAUCAUCUGAUCAUGGCAGCCCUUCUCUAUUUUGAAGAGAAGGUGGACAGAAAGAAGCUUCAAAGAGCUGAUUGCAUUCCCCUCCUCUUCCCAAGGCUGCUAUGCAAAAUUUUGGAGCAUAUGGGAUAUCCCUUUGAGCCUCAGCUGGAGAGAAAGCGAAUAUGCCGUGAGCCAUUCACUCUUGAUAAAUGGAACAAUAUGACGACCUACAAAAUUGAUCAGCCUGGGCAGCCUCAGCCAGCUGCAAGGAGAGCAUCCCCAAGACAUAUACCCGAAGGUAUAACAGUUGCUGCUCUUGCCAUUCCUAGAGCUCCUCCAGCUGCACCUGCUUCAUCUCAGCCAUCCACAUCAGCUGAGCCGAGGAUGGCUAUUCCUAUAUCUGAAUAUCGAGAGUUGUGCCGUGCAUUGGAGACUCUUACAGCUUCUCAGAGCAGUCUUGCUCAAGAGAUGGCAGCCAUCAGAGCAUGCCAAGAGAAGAUGUUAGCCACUCAGGCUCAACAAGCUGCCAUCUUAAGGCAGCUCUAAGUCCAUUUCGAUCUGCCACAAGCUGUAGAGCCCUCCACUGAUACUCCAGCAGAGCCACACUCUCAGCCUUCAGAAUCUCAUCCUCCAGAGCCAGAAGCCCCAGCUGAUCUACUAAAAAGGCAGCAGAUCCAUCUGCCUAAUUCUAGCCACAACCCCACUCAUCAGACUACUAUCUAUCUAAUAUUUCUAUGUAUUUCGUUUUUUUUAGUUGAAAAGAAGUCCCAGUAUUUUGGUACUAUAUAUGGGAUUCCUUGUGUUACUUGUCCUUGGCACUAUACUCGAAUGAAUUGAAAGUAAUACAAGUUGAAUAUUUCUUGUUUAAAGUUAGCAUUAAGUUAUUCUUAUUUCCUUUUCUCACAUAUUCUAUUCUUUUUGAAACAUGUGGUUUUCCCCAAUCAAUAUUCGAAUUUGAUAUCAGCAAGGAGGUACCACUUCCUCCCUUUAAUUACAGUCACUCAUAUCACAUUGAGGACAAUGCUCAGUUCGGUUGGGGGGAAUGAGGAAGGAAGUAUGCUAAAUCUUUUUGGUAUUGCAAGUAUAUUGGUUAAUUAGUUGUAGUUUUUGCUUUUUACUCUUGUUACUCUAUUCUCCAUGAAUUUUGAGGAAAAAUUUUCAAAUUAAACCAAGAGAAAUUGAACUGUUGUUUUUCACUUGACUUAGAGUAUGGAUUAUGCUUACUAAAGUGGUUCAAUUGUUGAAGCUUCUAUUGAAAUUGAAUUGAGUUCUUCCACUUUAAGCUAUCCACACAAUGUGCACAUUAGAUUCCGAUUAUAAGAUGAAAAGCUAUUUCCCUCCUGACUUAGGAUAAUUUUGGGACUUGGUAUAUUUGACCUCAUUUGAUAAAAAUUGAAACACCCUGCAAAAGGCCAAAGAGCCUUUGAAAUAAAGAAAGUUGUUUGCUUGCCUUGAAACCCGAGUAAGGUCUGAGGGGUAUAUGGUGAAAAUCUUUAAAGCCUGGUGCCCUAAGCCUUAAUUGGUUGGGAGUCACCGACCUCAAUGCUCAUUAUAAGGGUGAAUAGGUAAAGUUAGCAUAUGGUAGAUGCUUGGGUAUUAGAAAUUCAUUCUUAAAAGUCCGGGGAAAAAUCCGAGGAGUUAGUGGUUGAAAGAUCCUUAAAGCUUGGUGCCCUAAACCUUAAUUGGUUGGGAGUCAUCGAUGGACCCCCAUUACAUGGACAAGUCAGAAAGAGUACCCCAUAAAGCUACCUUGAAAAAAAAAAAAAAAAAAAAAAAAAGGUGUGUUCUUUUCUUAUUGAUUAUGGUCAGAUUAUUGCUAAAGUGUUAAAAAGAGAUAGGUUGGGGGGUGAGAUUAGUAGCAUAUUAUUCUCGGAAGCUAAGGAACUAAUACACAUAGAUUUGUGUGGAAGAUUAAAGUUUGAUUCUUAGGAAGUGGAAAUGAUUUUAAAACUUCAGUUUGCAUAAUGCACUCCCUUGAUUGAUAGUGUUUAGCAUAGUUUGUUAUGACUCUUGUUGAGAUUUGGGUUUGUAUUUCUUUAAUGCUUCAUGUGAGAAUUAGAUCAUCAUGCCACUUGAGAAUUAUUUUCUUUCAGCAUGAUGUUGUAAAUUUUAGAUUAGUUUGCUAUUUAUUUUCAUUUUUCUCUCCUAUAUUGCUAAGGGACUAGCAAUAUGUCGGUUGGGGGGAGUGAUUACUACUCAAAAAGUGCUAUUUGAUAGCCUAUAAUUAAUCCUUUUAAACACUUUUGAGUAGUAGUUUAGGCCUUUUAACUCAAUUGGCAUGUUAAGGAUCCUUUAAAGCAAUUUUAAUCACUUUGUGCAAGUUUUGGUGUUUUUGUUAGUAUUUUGAUCACCAAAGCAAGUCAAGACUGAGGAGAGCUAUGAGGAAUCUUGGGCAAAGCUUAGAAGUCAUUUUCCAAGAGUGAAUCCGGAUUGUAAGGAGAAAAAGCAAAGAGAAUCUGCCAUAGAGCAUAUUCUUGAUGACAGUCACAGAGGCCACUUUUGGAGCACUUUCUGAAGUCCAAAUGAUGCAUGCUAUAUACCAUUUCAAAGCUCAGGAAGUCAACAAUCCAAUGCUUCAAACGGUGUGCAAUUCGGAGUUGAAACGAAGAAGUUGCAGCCAUUACAAGCCAAUCACUCAGAGCUGAAGGAAGCAUUUUGCAAAGUGCUGCGAAAUCACCCUUUUGUUGCGAAGUGAUUUCGCAGCAUUUUUGUACAGUAAGUUGUUUCUCCUUCUGACGAUGCACGAUUUAUGCCGCGAGAAGGAAGCUAGGAACCUCAAGGUGGAAGCCAACUUCGCAGCCCUGUGAAGAUAGCUUGGUGUUGCGAAAAUAUUUCGCAGCCCUCUUGAGUGUCUGCGAAAUCUCGCAGACACCAUUUUUCUCCUGUGAAAUGGUUCCUGAAGCCUCCCGAUAUUUGCUACCGACAUUGGGAGAUAUUUUCCAUUAGAUUUUUGUUGUCUAAAUCCCAAAAUACUCCUUGUAAACCUCCAAUUACAAGAUUCCUUAGCUUUUAAGUUAGUAAAAAGACUAAAUAUCUUUGUAACAAUUAGUUUUAUAUUAUGUUCAUAUAUAUACCUCUCGGGAGCCUGUUCUCGGAGAGGAGUUCCUUCUGAAAAAGUUUGGGUAAGCAAGUAAAGUCUAUUUUCUUUCUACUGCCUUACCUUAUCACUUUGUAUUUUCAUUUCAUUUCUAAGUUAUGAAUUCUCUGAGGAGUUUUCCCCAGAGAAUGAGUAACUAAACCUCUAGUUCCUUGGAGCUAAGGUUGCCGGGGAAGGUUCCAAGUGCACGAAUGCAAAGCUUUGUGGUUUUAGCUUUUAAUGAAGAGGAAGUGAAAUCCUUUAAUGAUUUCUAUGUUUUUAGUUAACUUAAAACACCUUAGAGUCACCUGGGCCAACACUUGGUAAGGCAAGUGAUUUCCAACCAUGGAAAUGCACUAGUUUACCUCUUGCGAGCCUCUGGGAGGUGAUUUCAAGGUAGGAUUUUCUGGAAUUACCAACACUUGGUAAGCUUUUGGACUCCUAGGAGACAUCCAUUAGUUAUCUCUUGCGAGUUUGUGAAGGGAAGUCCAAGAUUAAAGAUCAUCUUGAAUGGUAAGUGCUCGUGAGAGGCAUGAACCAUUGCAAGUUGCAUCAGUGAGAGAAUUAAAGUGAAAUCUAAUUGAAGGAGUCUCUGUACAACACCGGUUAGAGAAUUGACUAUAUGUUGAAUCUCUAACGCGAGGAAAUGAACCAUCUGACCGGAGCUAUGUCUUUUGCAUGAGGAAUCACCCCAGUGAACCUAACUCUCCAGGGAAUGCUUUUCUUCCUAAAUUAUUCCAAACUUCUGUUAUGUUAGUUAGUUUAAGUAUAAACCUUUACCAAUCAAAGUUUGUGUUUUACUUCUUAAGCUAACCGUGAAAUGAAACAAGACCAAUUCACUUGGAAUUGGUAUCAUUGAUAGCUUGCUAAUCCUUCCCAGUGAACGAUCCUAGAGCCGCUAUACUAUAGUAGCUUUUUCUUUGCUACCCUAGUAUAUGGUGUAAUAGGUAUAAAUUUUGUUGAUUACUCCCUCAUCCAAGGAGCACCAGCUGGACAUGAAUCAGUUGAGACACCAAUUGGGCACGAAUCAACAACAACAUAAAGGAUGGUUGUUUCUUGAACCGGUAUAGAUUUAACAAUGAAGAUUUAAUCCAUAAAAAGUCAAUAGAAAUGGUAGUCAAGUUCCAUUAAUGGCUUUAGACACUAUGGGUCUUCACCUUGAGCCACUUUCCAAUGGCUCGUACAUGAUAACUAAUGGUCUUAUGUGGAUCUAGCAAUAAGUAUCCACAGAGACCUAAAAGCUUAUCAUGUAUUGGCCAUUCAAAGUGAUUCAAAGGGAUUUAAAGCAAAACUUUAGAUUUUAAAAACCAUUUAUGAACUCCAACUACCUGUAUUUAAAGCACUAGAAUUUUCCACUUUUGCAUCUGGACUUUUCACCUAGCUUCCUUCACUCCAAGAAACUAAAGGUUUAGCCUCUCAUCCUCUGGGAAAACAUCCUCAGAGGUUGUUUGGCUUCCAAGAAAAAGAAAAUACAAUAAAAAAGAGAAGGUAAAAGCAGAGCAAAGCUCUGUAUUUUUCUUCAUUUCAAAACUAUACAAAAGAUGUGUCGUCCUCCUUCCCCUGAGAACAGGCUCCCAAGAGAUAUUUAUAUAGAAAAUUACAAAACAAAAUAUCUUUUGGAUAUUCAUCCUUUUUCCAAACUUAAUAACUAAGGAAUCCUAUAAUUGGUGGAUUACAAGGAGAGUUUGGGAAUUUAGACAUCAAAUAUCUAAAGCAAAAUAUCUCACAAUGUCGGUCGCAAAGAUGGGAAGCUUUAGGAGAAAACCACGGCACUGCAAGAUGGCCGCAAAACUCUCCGGGUAAGCGUUAUCCUCGGAUCCGAAUAUGUAUAUCCGGAUAGUUGAAACGCCUUCUCUCCCAUCCGGAUAUGUCUACCGAAUAUGAGACAUCCGGAGAAGGUAGAACUUCGAUCGGACUGUGAUACAUCCGGGUAAGUGCUAUUAGAAAAGAGGAUCCGGAUAUGUCUGCUAGAGGAAGUUGAAACGCCUCUUUUCCCAUCCGGCUCCUGAAUUCCGGAUGUCAUCCGGAAUGAUGGCGGCGCUGGAUGUAAGUGGCAGUAGCCGGAUUCCGGAUGUGAUACAUCCUGGUGGUAAGUGGCGGUAGCCGGAUGGAAUUCUUACCCGGAUGGAAUGAGCUGGAUCCCAUACUCCUUGUAUUCUGGAUUUGCUUAAGGAUUCCAAAGAACUCUCCUCAAUCUCAUAUUGCUUUGGUGAUAAAAAAGCUAUCAAAACACCAAAACUUAACACAAUUUGAUUAGAAUUGAUUGCAAGGGUCCUUAACAUGCCAAAUGGGUUAAAAGGUAAUAACUACUACUCAAAAGUGUUUAAAAGAGUUAAUUACCAGUUAUGAAAUAACACUUUUUGAGUAGUAAUCACUCCCCCCAACCGACAUAUUGCUAGUCCCUUAGCAAUGAAGGAGAGAAAAAUAAAAAUAAACAAUACUAUAAUUUACAACAUCAUGCUGAUCAAAAAACAAUUUCCAAGUGGCAUGAUGAUCUAACUCUCACAUGGAACAUUAAAGAAAUAAAACUCAAACUUCAACAAGAGUUAUCAAAUAACUUGUCUAAUCACUAUUCUUAAAGAGAAGACAUUAUGCAAACUUAAGCUUUAAAAUCAUUUCCACUUCCAUAGGAUCAAACCUUACUCUUCCACAAAAAUCUAAGUGUUAUUUAUUAGCUUCUGAAUAUAGUAUGUUGAACUAAUCUCUCCCCCAAACCUAGUUCUUUUUCAAAGCUUCGCAAACUGGUCAACCUCCAAUAGGCUAAGAACGCACCUCUUUUUUUCACAAUUUUUUUCUUGUAGGAGUACAAGGCUAAAGGUAUUUUUUUUCUAAAUUGUCCAUGUAACGGGGGUCCAUCGAUGACUCCCAACCAAUUAAGGCUUAGGGCAUCAAGUUUUAAGGAUCUUUCAACUACUAACUCCUUGGAUUUUACCCCGGACUUUUAAGAAUGAAUUUUUAAUACCCAAGCACCUACAGUAUGUUAAACUCCACCUAUCCACCCUUGUAACGAGCAUUGAGGUCGGUGACUCCCAACCAAUGAAGGCUUAGGGCACCAGGUUUUAAAGAUUUUCACCAUAUACCCCUUAGACCUUGCUCGGGUUUCAAGGCAAGUAAACAUUUUUUCUUUCUUUUUUUUUUUUUUUCAAAGACUCAUUGGCCUUUUAUAAGGUGUCCCAACACUAUUAAAUGAGGUCAAAGGUACCAAGUCUAAAUUUUCCUAAGUUAAGAGGGAAAUAGUUUUUCAUCUUAUACUCGGAACCUAUUGUGCACAGUGUGUGAAUAGCUUAAAGUGGAAGAACUGAGGUUGAAUUCACUAAAAGUUUCAACAAUUCAUCAACUUUAGUAAGCAUAAUACAAAAUCUAAGUCAAGUAAAAAGACAAAAAUUCAAUUUCUCCCAUUUCAUUUUGAAAAUUUUUCCUUAAUAACCAUGGAGAGUAGAAAAAAACUUUAAAAAUUUUAAAAAUUAAGCAAAAAACAACUAAAUUACCAAAAUACUUAGCAUUAUUAACAAAAACUUCCUUCCUCAACUCUCCUCCCAACCAAGCUGAACAUUGUCCUCAAUGUGACAACAACGAUUGAACAAUAGGGAGGAAGUGGUGCCUCCUGAGUGGUAUGAAGUUCAAGUAGAAUAGGAGAACCCACAUGUUUCAAAAAACAAUAAAAGAUAUGAGUAGAGGAAUUAAAAAAAUAUAAUGCUAAGUGCUCACAAAUGAUAGAGAUUUGUAUUACUUGAUGGCAACACAAUUUUAUAUAAAAAACAAGCAAUACAACCAAUCCCACUAUAUAAUACCAAAAAUAUGGGAUUUCAUAAAGGAAAUACAUAAAGUAAAGUAUGUAAAUGAUCAGAAAUAGGGAGGAUGAUGAUGGUAAGCUGAUGGCUCAGGUAGAUGUCUCUGCAUCUUCAGUAGCCGGCUCAGGAGGGGCAUGGGGCUCCGUGGCCUCUGAGUGGGGCACUGCAGUGGUAGGGGUAAGAUGCUCAGUAGCUGAUGGAAGACCCAGAUGGUGCUGAAGCUGCCUCAGGAUGGCAGUGUGUUGAGUCUAGGUGGUCAAAAUCUGCUCCUAGUGAGCACGAAUAGCUGACAUCUCUUGAGCAAGGCUACUCUGAGUCGCAGUCAGUGUCUGCAAUGUGUGGCAUAGAUCUCUAUACUCUGAAACGGGUAUGGUCAUCCUAGGCUCGGCUGAAGUAGAGGGCUCUGAUGCAGUUGGAAUAACUAGAGGGGUACUAUGGGUGGCAGGAAAAGCAAAGGGUAUACCCUCAGGUAUGGGCUCUGGAGAUGCUCUCCUGGCAGCUGGUAUCUCAGCUGGCUGUGGGUCCUCUGGCUGCUGUGGCUGUGGAAGCUCUGGAUGCUCUGCUCUAUAUGCUGUCAUAUUGGUCCACUUGUCGAGAGUGAAUACCUCUUGGCAUAUACGUCUGCGCUCCAGCUGAGGGUCUGAUGGAUACCCCAGAUGCUCCAAAAUUUGACAUAGCAAUUGUGGGAAAAGAAGUGGAAUAGCAUCUGCUCUUAGCAGCUUCUUCCUAUGCACCUUCUCUUCAAAGUAGAGAAGGGCAGCCAUAAUCAGAUGGUGAGGGCCAAAGAAAUAUCCCUCUGAUAUCCUAAACAGGGCCUCUAGCAGAACUCCUCUCCUCUGCACCCAAUGCUGAAGUGGAUAAAUGUUGUGGCGCAGGAGUGCAUCAAUGAAGAACAUGCUCGGAGGAAGUUCCUUCCUCAACAGAUAUGGAUUUGUGGAUGUUCCUCUGGACAAAAUAUGAACCAUUUCAAGCUGGGAAGGAUUAGUCCAUACUCGGUAAUCCUUUAGACGGGCUGGCUCAUAUGGAAUAUGCAGGGCCUUUGCUAUGUGGCGAGCUCCUAAAAUACCAUGACGUCAUUCAAUGGUGAAGUGGAUAAGAGUAGGAUCUUUGAUCUGAUUAAUAGUCAUGGACUGAUAGAAGUCCAUUGCUACUCGGGGAUAGAAAAAAUCCCUGGGGGUCAGCAAUUGCUCCAUGUGAAAUCUGUGUAGUAGAUGGAAUGAGUCUGCGAGCUUCGGCUGAAACCUGAAGGUGGCUGUGUCAAAACACAGCUCAGAGUGAAAUGGUCGAGCCCGACAAUCUAAAUUCCCCUCAAUGGGCGGCUGAGCGACCAUCGGACGCUUGAUCAGCACCUCAGGAGCUAUCCCUGAGGGAAUUUGAGACUUUGCAAAUGGCGGUUGCGACGGCUGAGGCUCCACUGGAUUCUCUGAAGAUAGCGCCGGAGACAGCUCUGUAGAUGGGUCCGGAGAGGGCUCUGGAGAGGAGUCCAGAGACUGCUCCGUUAAGUCUAUUGGCUCUGAAUCUACUACCCUAGCUUUCUUUUGUGGGGGAUGCCCCCUUGACCUGGUCUGAUAACGCUUCACCUAAGGACUCAACGGCGCGGGUUCCGCCGGAGGUGGUGCGGCUACUUAUCGCGGAGGCUCUGAUGUGGAGCCUUGAACAGGCGCCUCUCGCUCGACUCUCUUGCGGCCGGACGAAAAUGAUGACUUUGCUCCUCUGGUUCGCGCCAUGGCGGACCGAAGAGAAUGGUCAGAGGUGAUGGCCGGUGGCUCGCUCGGCUUCGGGCUCAGGUGAGAGAGCGAACGAACGGUUGCUCUGGUGUUUUUUCUUUCUGAAACCUUUUGGCAGCUCAAAUGACCGGUUUUUAUAAAAAAUAAAGGAAUAUAAAGGGUCAUUUUGAUUUUCGCAGAGGAAGGCUGAUUUCGCAGCAAAAGGUUGUUUUCGCAACAAAAGGCCAUUUUCGUAGCCCAUUUCGCAGCUGCGAAAUGGGGGGAACUAUGCUGCGAAAUGGCACUCGUGUGCUUAAGUGUGGUUUCGCAGCUGCGAAAAUUUUCGCAGAGAGGGGCUUGAGGCUGCGAAAUGAUUUCGCAGCAAAAUAGCGAUUUUGCAGCGAAGUGGCGAUUUCGCAGAGGCUUUUUUUAGGCUGCGAAAUCUCGCAGACCCUUGUUUUUCCCCUGUUUUACACUCUUUCUUGCUCCAAACGACUUUCCUUCAAUUUCUUUGCAAUGACUCCUGAUUUUGAUCAUCCAAAAACCUAUAUUACAUCAAAACAAAUUAGAAUGAAAUUAAGGUCAAAAAUAAAAAUCAAAACAUGCAUAUACACAAGAAAAAACACUAGAUUAAACUAAAAUCAACGCAAAAGGAAACAAAAAGAGGGUGAACUUUUUAGUCUUUGAAGAGACUAAAUUCAACCACGAACUGAGUGUUUUCAUGUUAGAGGUGGAUCAAGGAGGAUGAAUUCCUCCUUGUCUCGGGAAAAUGAUUCCAUAUAGGGCUUGAGACGAUGCCCAUUCACUUUGAAAGUUCGAGUGCUCUUGAAGUUGAGUAGUUCCACUACUCCAUUUGAUUGCACGUCAUGAAUUAUAAAAGGACCCGUCCACCUUGAUUUCAAUUUUCCCGGAAAAAGAUGAAGUUUAGAGUCAUAAAGCAAGACUCUUUGUCCCUUAGUAAAAUUCUUCUGAUUUACCAACUGAUCAUGCCAUUUCUUCAGCCUCUCUUUUGCAAUUUUUGAAUUGAGGUAAGCAUCAUUCCUCAUUUCCUCCAAUUCGUUCAAAUCCAAACAUCUCUUUAACCCGGCUCUUGUCAAAUCCAUGUUGAGCUUCUUGAUUUCCCACCAUGCUUUAUAUUCAACCUCCACUGGGAGAUGGCAUGCUUUGCCAUAAACAAGGCGAUAAGGAGACAUUCCAAGAAUGGUCUUAUAAGCGGUCCUAUAAGCCCAUAAUGAAUCCAGGAGCUUAAUAGACCAAUCCUUCCUAUUCACAUUCACCACCUUCAUCAAUAUAUUCUUGAUCUCCCGGUUGGCUAACUCAACUUGGCCACUUGUUUGAGGGUGAUAAGGUGUAGCUACCUUGUGCUUGACCCCAUAUUUGGCUAGAAGAGUCUUAAAAGGCUUGUUGCAAAAGUGGUUUCCUCCAUCACUGAUAAUGGCCUUAGGCACUCCAAACCUUGAAAAGAUGUUCUCCUUGAGAAAUUUGAGAACCACCUUAUGAUCAUUGCUCCUACAUGGGACUGCUUCUACCCACUUAGAGACAUAAUCCACUCCCACCAAAAUGUAGGAGUGUCCAAAUGACAUUGGAAAUGGUCCCAUGAAGUCUAUCCCCCAAACAUCAAAGACAUCCACUAUCAAGAUGGGGUUCAAGGGCAUCAUAUUUCGGCGUGUUAGCUUCCCAAGCCUUUGACACCGAUCACAUCCCUUGCACAUAGAGUGGGCAUCCUUGAAAAGAGAGGGCCAUCAAAAACCUGAUUGGACCACUCUCAUGGCUGUUUUCUAGGAAGCAAAAUGACCUCCACAUGCACUAUCAUGACAAUGGGAUAGAAUUCCUGAUUGCUCUGGUUCAGGAACACAUUUCCUUAUGAUUUGAUCCGCACAAUAUUUGAAGAGAAAAGGCUCCUCCCAAUAAUAGGCAUGGAUCUUAGCAAAGAAAUGCUUCUUGUCUUGGGCACUUCACUCACUUGGAACUUUUCCAGUAACCAAGUAAUUUGCAAUGUGAGAAUACCAUGGAGCUACCUCUAUUGACAUGAGAGACUCCUCAGGGAAGUCAUCAUUAAUAGGUAGGCCAUGUGAGUCAUGUGCUAUCACAAGUCUUGACAAGUGGUCAGCUACCACAUUUUCUACUCCCUUUUUAUCCCGGAUUUGGAGAUUGAAUUCUUGAAGCAAAAGGAUCCAUCUUAUCAAUCUUGCCUUGGCAUCUUGCUUGGUUAGCAAGUACUUCAAAGCAGAAUGGUCAGUGAACACCACUAUACAGGACCCUACUAAAUAGGCACGAAACUUAUCCAAGGCAAAAACUACUGCCAACAACUCCUUCUCAGUAGUUGUGUAGUUCCUUUGAGCCUCAUUCAAAGUUUUGCUUGCAUAAUAAAUCACAUAGGGCUUUCCAUCUUCUCUUUGCCCCAAAACAGCCCCCAUAGCAAGAUCACUUGCAUCACACAUUACCUCAAAAGGUAAUUUCCAAUUUGAGGCUCUCACUAUUGGUGCAGUUGUGAGGAAUUGCUUCAGUUCCUCAAAACUCUUCUGACAUUUCUCAUCCCACACAAACUUGGCAUCCUUUACCAAGAGUUCACAAAGAGGUUUUGAGAUUUUUGAGAAAUCCUUAAUGAACCUCCUAUAGAACCCGGCAUGUCCUAGGAAUUGCCUAAUUCCUUUAACAUUUGUGGGAGGUGGCAACUUAACAAUUAGCUCCACCUUUGCCUUAUCUACCUCAAUGCCAUUCUUGGAGAUUAUAUGUCCUAAGACAAUUCCUUGUUGUACCAUAAAAUAGCACUUCUCCCAAUUUAGCACUAGGUCUUUCUCAAUACAUCUUUGGAGAACAGCUUCUAAAUGCAACAAACACUCCUUAUAAGAACCUCCAUAUACAGUGAUGUCAUCCAUGAAGACUUCCAUGAUGCGCUCCACCAUAUCACUGAAGAUGCUUAGCAUACAUCUUUGGAAAGUUGCAGGUGCAUUACAUAGACCAAAGGGCAUCCUCCUAUAGGUAAAAGUACCAAAGGGGCAAGUGAAGGUUGUCUUUUCUUGAUCUUCCAAAUCAAUCUCUAUUUGGAAGUACCCCGAGUAACCAUCCAAAAAACAGUAGAAAGGAUGCCCUGAGACUCUUUCAAGGACUUGGUCCAUGAAAGGCAAUGGGAAAUGGUCUUUCCCAGUCACUGAAUUCAACCUCCUGUAGUCUAUACACACCCUCCAUCCUGAGGUAAGACGUGUAGAGACUUCCUCCCCUUUCUCAUUUUGGAUCACAGUAAUUCCAGAUUUCUUUGGGACUACUUGGGUUGGGCUCACCCACAAGCUAUCUGAAAUGGGAUAUAUGAUCCCUGCUUGAAGUAGCUUCAGAACUUCACCCCUUACCACCUCUUGCAUGUGAGGAUUCAACCUCCUCUGGGGCUGCCUCACUGGUUUAGCAUCUUCCUCCAUGAAGAUAUGGUGGGUGCAUACCAAAGGGCUAAUCCCUUUCAAAUCAGAAAUGUGUCAUCCAAUGGCCUUUUGCAUUUUUUGAGGACUCCCAAAAGACUAUCCUCUUGAUCACUUGUGAGAGUUGAAGAAACCACCAUUGGACAUUUCUCAUCUUCCUCCAAAUAUGCAUACUUCAAAUCAACAGGAAGUGGCUUCAAAACUAGUUUUGGAGGGUCCUCCCUAGCUGCUCCUUGUGAGUCCUCCUUAUUGAACAAGGGUAAGAUCUCUUCCCUUCUCCUCCAAGGAGACAUGACGACUAACACAUCAGAGGGUUCAGGUAACCCUUCUUCAAGCACUCCAAGGCUUUCAUUCAAGCUCUUUUCUAAAUUCUUGUCACAAUGCUCUUCAACCAAAGUGUUGAUCAAGUACGCCUCCUCCAAUCCUUCCUCCUCUUCGGGGUGAAGAUGCCUCUUGCAUAGGUGGAAUAUGUUUAGUUCCAAGGUCAUGUUUCCAAAUGUGAACUGCAUCACCCCAUUCCUACAAUUGAUGAUGGCAUUGGAGGUAGCUAGGAAAGGUCUCCCUAGGAUGAUUGGCACAUGAUUUGUUUCCUUAAUAGUGAGAUCAGUAUCAAGCACCACAAAAUCCACGGGAUAGUAGAAUUUGUCCACUUGAACUAAAACAUCCUCUAUCACUCCCCUUGGGAUUUUGACUGACCUAUCAACUAAGGAGAGAGUGACGGUUGUGGGCUUCAAUUCUCCAAGUCCCAGUUGCUUAUACACAGAGUAUGGGAGCAAAUUCACACUUGCCCCCAAGUCUAGUAAAGCCUUCUCCACAUGUGUCCCUCCAAUGUUGACUGAAAUGGUGGGACACCCCGGAUCUUUGUACUUAACUGGAGACUUACACUGAAUGAUGGCACUUACUUGCUCAGUGAGGAAUGCCUUCUUUGUCACAAUUAACCCUCUCUUGACCGUGCACAAGUCCUUUAAAAUUUUUGCAUAUGUGAGGACUUGCUUGAUCAUAUCAAGGAAGGGUAUAUUCACCUUCACUUGUCUCAAAAUUUCAAGAAUUUCUGAUGAAUUCUUGAUUCCCUUCUUUCCAUGUAAAGCUUGAGGAAAAGGGGGAGGCAUAUGUUUCUUCAUCAUAUCCUCUUUAAUCACUAUCCUUGGCUCAUCUUCAAUGCUUGAAUCAGAUGCAUUUUUCUUCCCACUCUUCUCUUCUUGGUUAUUGCUCUCUUUAACCAAGGUUCUCCUUGACAUGAGUUCUUCAUCUUGCCUCACCUUAGGCAAGGGUUGGUCAACCUCCUUCCCACUCCUCAAGGUGAUCACAGCUUUAACCUCCCUCAACUUUGAAGACUCCCCAUCUUGGGUUUCAACUUCAUGAACACCCUUUGGAUUUUGGCUUGGUUGAGAGGGAAACUUUCCUUUCUCAAUCACUGUGUUGAGGUUGGUAAGCGUAGAGAUGGAGUAUUGAAUAUUAUCCAUCUUCUGAGAUAGAUCAUUUUGCAUCCCAUCCAUUCUCUUAAUUUGAGAACUUUCAACAUUUUCAAUCUUUUGGUGCAAUUGGGAGUUGAUUGCCUUUUGUUCACCCACAAAGUCACCCAUGACUUUACUUAGGUUCACAAUGGCUUGCUCCACUGAAGAGGUUUGUUGAGGUGCUUGGGUUUGGGCUUGUGGUUGGUAUGGAGGUGGCCUUGGUUUCCAAGAAAAAUUUGGAUGGUUUCUCCAGCUUGAAUUAUAGGUGUUUCCAUAAGGUGCAUUGUUGUUGGGCCUAAAUUGCCCCACAACAUUGGCUUGAUCACCUAACAUUUCCCUAACAGCUGGGAUGGUUGGGCACUCAUCUACCACAUGAUCACAUGAUUGGCAAAUGGUGCAUGGCAUGACAUGGGCUUGUGUCUCGGAAAUGGCUUAGACUUCAUGCAUUUUUUUCAACUCAAGUUCUUCCAACCUCCUUGCCAUUGUUGCUACCUUAGCUUUCAUGUCCAUGUCUUCACUUAACAUGUACAUUCCAACCUUUGGAUUUACAGGAGCUUUCAUCCUUCCCAUUUCUCUUGAGUUGGGUUCAUCCCAUCCUCUUGAUACCUCAGAUACAUAACUUAGAAAGUCCAUGGCUUCUUCCGGAUUCUUACUCAUAAAAUCUCCCCCACACAUGGUUUCAAAAAUUUGCUUCAUGCAGGAAGACAUCUCAUCAUAAAAAUAGCUCACCAAGAGCCAUGUAUCAAAGCCAUGAUGAGGACAAGCAUUGAUGGCCUCCAUAUACCUUUCCCAACAUUCAUAGAACUUCUCAUUUUCUUUUGCAGAAAAAUUUGAGAUUUGUCUCUUCAACCUAUUGGUCCUAUGAGUGGGGAAAAAUUUCUUCAAAAAUUCGGCCUGAAGAUCAACCCAAUUCCUUAUGCUCCUUGGCCUUAAAGAGUUAAGCCAUAUUUUUGCCUUGUCCUUCAAAGUAAAAGGGAAUAGCUUGAGUCUCAUCAAGUCUAUUGAAGCUCCUCCCCCUCCAAAAGUAUUGCACACCUCCUCAAACUCCUUGAUGUGGGCAUAUGGGUUCUCACUCUCCAUUCCAUGGAAAUUUGGUAGGAGGGGCACAAUAUGAGGCCUUAUAAUCAGCUGCUCAAGAGGAGGUACGAUGCAUGAGGGUGCACUCAUCCUUGGUGGGUGCAUUCUAUCCCUCAUGGAUAGAUAUGCAUUUGGAUUAUCCCCUUGAACGUGUUGAGAAUUCUGAUCCUAUUGUGGAGGGUCCAUGAUGUUUACACAGAUAUCCAACUCUGUGUCUUGAGGAUUCUCAAUCCUUACUAGUCUUCCCUCUUGGUUCCGAAUCCAAUAGGGCAUGCACAAGUUACAACUUCCCUGAAAACAAAACAAAGACAACAAAAACAAAAGAAAACUAGAAGAAAAUUAAGGUUAGAAAGAAAAUGAAAGUAAACUUAACAAAAGGAAUUCUACAAUAAAAAAAAAAUGAAGUUAGUGAAAAAGGAAUUCACCAAACUUGUGAUGGAAAUCACAAGUAGCCUCUAAAAAGUUGUAUCACUAUAUCGUGGCACCAUCCCCGGCAACGGCGCCAUUUUGAUUGUGCCCAGUAGGGUAUUUUAAUCAAAAAUAUUUAUAAAUCCUAUGACCUUAUACUAGCGUAGCAAAGCUACUAUAGUAUAGCAUCUAUAGGGUCGAACUCUGGGAUGGGUUUUCAUUCUACCAGUGAUAAACUCAAGAUUAGAAAUUGAAUCUGAUGAUUUCCUUUGUCAAAAACUUAAAGUUUAAAAGAAAAUAAAAUUUGUUUUGAAAGUGGUGUUUGAAACUAAACUAACAUAGAACUAGGUAAAAAUGGAAGAAAGAAAGUCUCCCGGAGCUAGAGGUUGCUAGAAUCAAGUUCAGAAUGCAAAGUGGGAAAUUCCGGAUUUUUCUCCUCGUAUUAGGGACAACAACAUAAAGGAUGGUUGUUUCCCGAACCGGUAUAGAUUUAACAAUGAAGAUUUAAUCCAUAAAAAGUCAAUAGAAAUGGUAGUCAAGUUCCAUUAAUGGCUUUAGACACUAUGGGUCUUCACCUUGAGCCGCUUUCCAAUGGCUCGUACAUGAUAACUAAUGGUCUUAUGUGGAUCUAGCAAUAAGUAUCCACAGAGACCUAAAAGCUUAUCAUGUAUUGGCCAUUCAAAGUGAUUCAAAGGGACUUAAAGCAAAACUUUAGAUUUUAAAAACCAUUUGUGAACUCCAACUACCUGUAUUUAAAGCACUAGAAUUUUCCACUUUUGCAUCUGGACUUUUCACCUAGCUUCUCUCACUCCAAGAAACUAAAGGUUUAGCCUCUCAUCCUCUGGGAAAACAUCCUCAGAGGUUGUUUGGCUUCCAAGAAAAAGAAAAUACAAUAAAAAAGAGAAGGUAAAAGCAGAGCAAAGCUCUGUAUUUUUCUUCAUUUCAAAACUAUACAAAAGAUGCGUCGUCCUCCCUCCCCUGAGAACAGGCUCCCAAGAGAUAUUUAUAUAGAAAAUUACAAAACAAAAUAUCUUUUGGAUAUUCAUCCUUUUUCCAAACUUAAUAACUAAGGAAUCCUGUAAUUGGUGGAUUACAAGGAGAGUUUGGGGAUUUAGACAUCAAAUAUCUAAAGCAAAAUAUCUCACAAUGUCGGUCGCAAAGAUGGGAAGCUUCAGGAGAAAACCACGGCACUGCAAGAUGGCUGCAAAACUCUCCGGGUAAGCGCUAUCCUCGGAUCUGGAUAUGUAUAUCCGGAUAGUUGAAACACCUCCUCUCCCAUCCGGAUAUGUUUACCGAAUGUGAGACAUCCGGAGAAGGUAGAACUUCGGUCGGACUGUGAUACAUCCGGGUAAGCGCUAUUAGAAAAGAGGAUCCGGAUAUGUCUGCUAGAGGAAGUUGAAACGCCUCUUUCCCCAUCCGGCAUGAUGACGGCGUUGGAUGUAAGUGGCGGUAGCCGGAUUCCGGAUGUGAUACAUCCUGGUGGUAAGUGGCGGCAGCCGGAUGGAAUUCUUACCUGGAUGGAAUGAGCUGGAUCCCAUACUCCUUGUAUUCUGGAUUUGCUUAAGGAUUCCAAAGAACUCUCCUCAAUCUCAGAUUGCUUUGGUGAUAAAAAAGCUAUCAAAACACCAAAACUUAACACAAUUUGAUUAGAAUUGAUUGCAAGGUCCUUAACAUGCCAAUUGGGUUAAAAGGUAAUAACUACUACUCAAAAGUGUUUAAAAGAGUUAAUUACCAGUUAUGAAAUAGCACUUUUUGAGUAGUAAUCAGUCUCUUUAUCGCUUAGUCUAUGGCAAAGCAUGCCAUCUCCCUAUGGAAUUGGAAUACAAAGCUUGGUGGGCAAUCAAGAAACUCAACAUGGAUUUGAGCAGAGUUGGGUUGAAGAGGUUCUUAGACCUCAAUGAGAUAGAGAAAUUGAGAAAUGAUGCCUACAUCAAUUCAAAAAUUGCAAAAGAGAAAUUGAAAAGGUGGCAUGAUUAGUUGAUUUCCCGUAAGGAUUUUCGAAAGGGACAAAGAGUCUUGCUCUAUGACUCUAAGCUCCACAUCUUUCCGGGUAAGCUGAAAUCAAGGUGGAUAGGUCCUUUUACCAUUCACCAAGUGCAUUCAAAUGGAGUAGUGGAACUACUCAACUCCAACAGCACCAGAAGCUUCAAAGUGAAUGGCCACCGUCUCAAGCCCUUUGUGGAGCAUUUUUCUCGCGACAAGGAGGAAUUCAUCCUCCUUGAUCCACAUCAAGCUUGACAAGACCAAUCCUUUUGAUGGACUUAGUCUUUCUAAAGACUAUCGAGUCUAUAUCUUUUUGUUUUAUUUUUUAUUUGAGAGUUUUCCUGUAUUAUUACUUAUUUUUAUUUUUAUUUCUCGUUUUUAUUUUAUCUUGGUUUGAUUUAACUUAGGUUUUUGAUGAUCAAUUGUAGGGGGACUUCAAAUAGAGGAAAAACCAAGUAAAUUCGCACACACUGCGAAAUUUUCAUAGGGCAUGCGAAAUUCAUGAAUCAUUUUGCAUGGGGUGCGAAAAUAAAAACACCUUGCGAACUCAUUUUGCACACUUCGUGAAAUUUUCAUAGAGCAUGCGAAAAAUUUCGCACACCUAACACCAUUUGGCACACUGUACGAAAACCUAAGGGGUUUGCGAAGUAAUUUCGCACCCCAUAUGCCAUUUCGCAUGCUGUGCAAAACUCAAGGGACGCUGUGCAAAAAUGAAAAGUCCCUACCAUUCCUUUUUAAACCCCUGAGCCCUAAUUUCUCCAUUUCGCAAACACCAAACACCCUAUGAAUUCCUCAUUUUCCUCUGCCACCUUGCGACCUCAUCCAUAUCCAUUCAAUAUCCUGCCCCGUGCACAUCACUUUGAAGACUCACACUCCAAGCCAUAUUGGAGCACGGACCCGAGGAGCUCUUCCCGCCCCUUCACCGAGUCGCACUUUGAGACAAAUGGCCUCCACUGCUCAGGUAUCUAGUGAUUCUCCAUCUCAGGCCAUGGAGGCCCCGCGGAUUCCACCUUCUGAGGGUGGAGCGCCCACUAGUCCUUCAUUUUCGGCUCCUCAGCGCAGAUAUGAGAUGAAGAGACCACCUACUACACCAGGGGCGACUAUUUUACGCCCUGAGAGUUCAGUACGACGCCCUCCUACCAAGAGGGCUAGGACUUUAGGCUCAGACGAGUCAUCCAAAGCUCCACAGCCUGAGCCUCCGGUAGCUACACAUGCUAGAGCUCCUGCAGAUUCUGAGCUCCUUUUUGACAUGUCACUAGAGUCUAUUAUCAGACGCCCGAUGGUCACAACACCGCCCAUUGAGGGUAACUCAAAUUGUAGAGCGAGACCGUUCCACUCGGAGUUAUAUUUUGAUCAAGAGGUCACGCAACAGUAGCCUGAGCUCUGAGACUCAUAUGGCCUACUACAAAGGUACCAUCUUGAGCACCUUAUGACUCCUCGUGAGUUCUUUUAUCCUAAAGUAGCACUAGACUUUUACCAAUCCAUGACUACUCGUGGCGUCUCAAGUCCUACCGUGAUACACUUCACCAUUGAUGGACGUCAUGGUGUCCUCGAGGCCAGACAUAUUACAGAGGCUCUAUAGAUUCCUUUCGAGCCAGUGGAUCCGUUUGUUUUCUGCCAGUGGUCCCCAAUAUCUCAAAGGGACAUGGUCCGUAUUUGAUCCAGAAAGACCUCUUCAGAUUCAAUCCUUCUACGAAAGGAGCUUCCACCUGGGAUGCUCCUCAUAGAUGUGGUGCUAUGCUCCAACCUCUUUCCCUUACAGCAUUCGGUAUAGAGGUAAGGAGAUAUUUUGGACACUUUAUUUCGUAUAUCAGAGGGCUUCUACUUUGGCCCGCACCACUUGAUCAUGGCCUUUCUUGCCCACUUUGAGGAGAAGGUCCAUAGGUGAUUCGUGCCCAGCUGGUGUACCUUGAUUUUGGUCCUCAGACGGGAGUAAUCAACAAAAUUUAUAACCUAUUAUACCAUGUACUAGGAUAGCCUCAGCUAGCAUAGCAUAGUGCCUCUAGGAUCGUUCACUGGGAUGGGUUUUCACUUUACAAUUGAUAUUAGUUCAAAGCUGAAUUUGUGCUUUUUCAUUUCAAGGUUAGCUCUAAAAGAAAACAUAAAGAUGUUUGAAAAGGUUGGUUUUUAAGUGAAACAAAAAAUAAAGUAACGGGAAUUACUUACUAAGAAAAGCGUUUCUUGGAGUUUUAGGAUCACUGGGGUCAGGCUCCUCAUGCAAAAACAGAGCUCCUGUCACUUGAGUCUUUUCCUCGUGUUGGGGAUUUAACAUAUAGUUAUUUCCCGAACUGGUGUGGUACAGAUGCUUCCCUUUAAUGGGUUCAAACACUAAAUCCCUCUCACUGAUACAUCUUGCAAUGGUUCAUACCUCUCACCUAGCAUUGGCCAUUCAAGAUGAUCCUUAACUUUGGAUUACCCGUCAAAAGCUCGCAAGAGAUAACUAAUGGAUGUCUCCUUAGAGUCCAAAAGCUUACCAAGUGUUGGCUAUUCUAGAAAAUCCUACCUUUAAACCACCUCCCAAAGGCUCGCAAGAGGUAAACUAGUGCAUCUCAAUGGACGGAGAUCACUUGCCUUACCAAGUGUUGGCCCCGGUGAUUUCAAGGCGUUUUAAGUUAACUAAAAAGAUAAAAACCAUUAACGGGUUACACUUUCUCUUCAUUAGUAGCUGAAACAACAAAACUUCCAAUUUUUGCAUUUGGAAACUUACCCGGCUUUCUUCACUCCAAGAGACAAAAAGCUUAGCCACUCAUCCUCUGAGGAAACAUCCUUAGAGUUUGAUUUGUUAGAAAUAAAAAUAACGAGAAAACAAAAAUAUGAAGGAAAAACAGAGCAAGUGCUCUGUAGAAUAUUUUUCUUACUAUCGUCGAUUACAUAUCUGAUAUAUGAUUCCUCUUCUCUUUACAUUGGUUCAAAGAUAUAUAUAGAGAAGAUAUUUUCUAAGAAAUAUCCCAAUAAUAUCUUCGACUGAUUACAAGGAGAAAAUAGAAAUUUACACAAAAUAUCUUGAGAAAAAAUCUAACUUAGUCGGUGGCAAAUAUCUAAGUUUACACAGGUGGAUUUCACAAGUUUGAAUUGUCCAUUUUGCAAGUUGAAUUUGUGAUUUCACAACUUGGAGGUGAUUCCGCAACUUGGAGAUGAUUUGCAACUUGUUUCGUAGCUUGGAGGUGAUUUCGCAACGUGGUUCGCAGCUGCGAAGAUGGAGUUUCAACUUGCGAAGUGGCACACGUGUGCUUGGAGGUGGUUUCGCAGCUGUGAAACACCUUACUAAAUUUCGCAAGUAGAUUUUAUUUCGCAGCUCAUUUCGCAGCUGCGAAAUGGGCUUUGGGCUGUGAAAUUUUCGCAUAGCUUGAUGCAGUUGUCUUCAAACGGCCAUAACUUCUUCAUUUCAACUCCAAUUGACACAUCGUUUGAAGUGUUGGACUCCUGACUUCCUGAGCUUCGAAAAGACAUAUAGUAUGAAUGAAAUGGACUCCAGGAAGUACUCGAAAUGUGUCCAACAGUUGCUGUCCUCUUAAAUUUCUUCAUGUUAGAUUUCUCUCAUUUUCCUCCUUGCAUUCUUGAUUGACUUUGGCAAAGGACUACGAAGCUCCAAAGCUUGGAUUCUUCAUGUAAAUGAGCUUCCAUUUUCUUUGCCAUGGAUUAUAUAAAGCUCUCCCUCAUCUUAGAUUGCUUUGGUGAUCAAAAAGCUAUCAAAAACACCAAAACUUAACACAAUUUGAUUAGAAAUGAUUGCAAGGGUCCUUAACAUGCCAGUUGAGUCAAAAGGUAAUAACUACUACUCAAAAGUGUUUAAAAGAGUUAAUUACAAGCUAUAAAAUAACACUUUUUGAGUAGUAAUCAAUAGGAAGAAGCUUCAGAGGGCGGACACCAUUCCAUUACUAUUCCUAAGGUUGUUGUGCCAGAUAUUGGAGUAUAUGGGCUUUCCUACUAAGCCUCGGCUCAAGCGUCGUCGCCUUUGUCGAGAGCGAUUCACUCUCGACAAAUGAAAUUAGUUGGCGGGAUAUUCUGCACCUCCAGGAGCCCGUCCCAUGGUAUCACCUCCAGUGCCCCCAUAGCCAGAGCAGGGCAAGCUUCUGGCAGAGACUACACCACCAGUGCCCACACCUGAGGCUAUUUCUGCUACUCCCCCUAUGACUCCUACUGUUCCAUCACCAGUCACUCCUACUACAUCCAAGCCUUCCAUCACCAUAUCGGCUUCGAAAUUUCACACCCUUGUGCAUACCUUUUAGACACUGACCACCACACAUGCGGCUCUCUUCCAGUAGAUGGCUGACAUGCGUGCACAUCAGGACCAACAGACUGCUAUACUUCGCCAGAUUCAGCAGCACCUCAGACUUCUACCUCUACCUCAGCCUGAUCUUCUUGCAUCAUCAAAGCCUUUAGCUCCAACUGAGGACACUACCACGGUAGAGGUCCAGAUCCCACCACCUCAAGAGCCCACCACAAAUGCCAUUGCUUCACAUGAUCCUCAGGAUAACCCUCAGACAGUUAACACAAUCACAGCUACACCUGAGAAUGCAUCAUCUCCACCUGAGGCUCCCACUACUUGAUCAUAGGACAUCUCUUUAUCUUAUUGUAUUUACAUAUUAUAUUAGUGGAGAUUUGUCAUUGUUUUGAUGCUUUAUAUUCUGAGACUGGAUGUAUUACCUGAUCAUAUCUCAUAUUGUACUUUCUCAUAUUAGUAUAUAGACAUCAUAUUUUUUAUAUUACUUGGCAUUUUUCUAUUUCCUCUACUCAUUACCUUUUUGUUUUCUGACUCAUGUGGUUUCUCUUAUACAACUUAGACUUCAUUUCACUCAGGAGGUACCACUUUCUCCCUUUAUUUUCAAUUGCUCUUGACACAUUGAGGACAAUGUUGAUCUUGGUUGGGGGAAGAGUUGAGGAAGGAAGUUUUGUUAAUAAUGCUAGGUUAAUUUGUUAAUUUAGUUACUUUUUGCUUAAUUUUAAAAGUUUUUUUACCCUACUCUCCAUGGUUAUUAAGGAAAAAUUCUCAAAAUGAAAUGGGAGAAAUUGAGUUCUUGCAUUUUUACUUGAAUCUUAGAGUUUGUAUUAUGCUUAUUGAAGUUGAUGAAUUAUUGAAAAUCCUAUUGAAUUCAACCUUAUUUCUUCCACUUUAAUCUUACCACACAUUGUGCACAUUAGGUUCCAAUUAUAAGAUGAAAAACUAUCUCACCCCCUGAACUUAGGAAAAUUUUGACUUGGUACCUUUGACCUAAUUUUAAUAGUGUUGGGACACCUUAUAAAAGGCCAAUGAGCCUUAAAAAAAAGAAGAAGAAGAACAAAGUGUUUCACUUGCCUUGAAACCCGAGCAAGGUCCAAGGGGUAUAUAGCGAAAAUCUUUAAAACCCGGUGCCCUAAGCCUUGAUUGGUUGGGAGUCACCGACCUCAAUGCUCGUUACAAGGGUGAAUAGGUGGAGUUUAACAUAUUGUAGGUGCUUAGGUAUUGAAUUUCAAUCUCAAAAGUCCGGGAAAAAAUCUGAGGAGUUAGUGGUCAAAAGAUCCUUAAAGCUUGAUGCCCUAAACUUUGAUUGGUUGGGAGUCAAUGAUAGAUCCCCGUUACAUGGACACUUUAGAAAACAAUUCCUUCAGCAUUGCACUCCUACAAGAAAAAAAUGUGAAAUAAAAGAGGUGCGUUCUUAGCCUAUUGGAGGUUGGUCAGUUUGCUAAAGUUUGAGAAAGAACUAGGUUGGGAGGAGAGAAUAGUUCGACAUACUAUAAUCGGAAACUAAUAAGCUUAACACUUAGAUUUUUGUGUGAGAGUAAGAAUUAGACCUUUGGGAGUGGAAAUUCUUUUGAUGCUUAAAUUUGCAUAAUGCCUACUCUUUAUAAAUUGUGAUUAGGCAAGAAAUUUGAUGACUCUUGUUGAAGGUUGGGUUUUGCCUCUUUGAUAUUCCAUGAGAGAGUAUAAUUCGCAUCAUGCCACUUAAAUUUUUUUUAGAGUAAUCAGCAUGAUAUUGUAAAUUAUUUCACUGUCUAUUUUUCUUUAUCUCUCCUUCAUUGCUAAGGGACUACCAAUGUGUCGGUUGGGGGGAGUGAUUACUACUCAAAAAGUACUCUUUUAUAGCUUGAAACUAACUGUUUUAAACACUUUUGAGUAGUAGUUAAUACAUUUUAACUCAAUUGGCACAUUAAGGAACCUAGCAAGGGUUACUAAUCAGUUUUGACAAGUUUUGGUGUUUUUGGUAGCUAUUUGAUCAUUGAAACAAGCCAAGAAUGAGGGAGAAUUUUGUGAAAUCCAUGGCAAUGCAAGUUGAAGCUCAAAUACAUGAAGAGUCCGAGCUUUGAAACAUUUCAUAGCCCUUUGCCAAGCUUGGCAAUAGGUUGCCAAGCCAAUCAGAGAUGCAAGGAAGAAAACUAAAGGAAAAAGUCCAACAACCAGCAUUUUAGCAUGGCUAUGCGAAAAUUUCGCAUAGCAUGCGAAAUCAAGAGAAAGAGCAGCUGCAGGACUGAGUGAAAGACAAUUUCGCACACCAUGCAAAACCACAAAAAGCAGCCAAAGAAUUUCGUACACCAUGAGAAAUUUCACAUGGUAUGCGAAAUCCUCUUGUGCACCAACUCCGUUAGAUUUUUAUUUCCAGAUAUUUUGUAUAAUUUCCUGUUUUCUCCUUAUAAUCAAGCUAGAUAUUUUCAUAUAUAUCUUUUCUAGUCAUGAAAGAAAUUUAUUCAUGAAACACUUGUAAAAUUCCCGUAGAAGAAAUAUAUAGAGCUUUUGCUCUGCCUUUCCUUCUCAUUUUGUUUUCACUUUUCUUUUUAGCCAAAUAACCUCUGAGGAUGAUUUCUCAGGGGAUGAGUGGCUAGGUUUUAUGUUUCUUGGAGUGAUGGAAGCUAGGUGAAGGACCUGAAUGCAAAGAUGGGAGUUGUCCUUGCUUUAAAUGAAAGUAGUUGUUAACCAUUAAUGGUUUUUAUUUUAAGGUUUAGCUUUAAAUCCCUUAAAAUCACCUUGAAUGGCCAAUACUUGGUAAGCUUUUCAGAUUCUAUGGAUGCUUAUUGCUAGAUCCAUGGAUGUCCAUUAGUUAUCAUUUACGAGCCAUUGGAAGGUGGUUCAAGGUGAGGGUCUUUAGUGUUUGAAGCCAUUAAUGGGAAGCAAUUACCAUUUUUCAUGAAUCCUUUCGAUCAAAUCUUAAUUGCUAAAAAACAAAACCGGUUCGGGAGAUAACCAUCCUUUAUGUUAUUGUCCCCAACGCGAGGAGAAGAUCCAGAAUCUCCCCCUUUGCCUGAGAAACCCGAUCCUAGUGACCUAAAGCUCCAAGAGACCUUUUCUUUAUAGUUAACUUCACUUAUUAUUUUUGCUUAACUUAAAAUCAAUCUUUGCAACCACAAUUCCAUUUUCUUUAAAAGCUAAUUUUCAUAAGGAAAAACACCAUUUUAUUUCCUUCACUAAAAUCAACUGUACGAUGAAAACCCAUCCCUGUGGAUGAUCCUAAAGCCACUAUACUAUGUUAGUUAUGCUACUCUAGUGUAAGGUGAUUUAGGUUUUAUAAUUUUUUUGUUGAUAACACCCGUCUGGGCCAGAAUCAAAUGGCACGACUGCAAUGGGGACAAAUCACAUUGCUGAAAGAAGUGCUUGAGCCGCUCAAGCGUAAACAUUACUUGAGCCACUCAAGCACUAACAUUGUUUGAGCAUUGCAUUUCUUACCUACACUCUCGAGGUUGCUUCUGCACUUUUUUCAACUACCUUAAGCUUUAAAAUCUUGCCUUUUUUUGGUUGAGGAAUAUCCAUUGAACCGCUAUGAUUGGCGAAAUGCUUCCAUGCUCUCUUUGGGUUACAAGAUUGAUUAAAAACCAAAAUUUUACAUAAUCACAAGUCAUAUACUCCUCAAAAUGAGAGUUUAUAGUCAAUCUAGCCAAAAGGAAAAAAACUUUUAUAUCCAAAAAGAAAAUCCUAUGCUCUUAAUCACAAAGCUUACAACCUAAACUAGAAAACAAUAGAUUAAACCAAUAACAAUCAACUAAUCUGAACAUAAUAAUGAUAUUCAUUCAUCCAUUUAGGCCAUGGGAUGAAUAACCAAACUUAAAAAAAAAAAACAAAAAAAAAAACCAUGAGCACCCUCUAGAAUAGAUCUAGCUAACAAGAACAUAACCUGAGGCUCUAAUACCAAUUACCAGGAAUACUAGAUUUCUCUAUUCCCUGUCCCUGGAUCUAGUAGGGUGCAUGCAUCUAUGCUAAGCACCUCUAAAUCUAUUACAAUGGAAACAUAUGGCUACAAAACCAUAUAAAGAUAAAAAUCUAGAGAAAACAAAGCUCAUACCGAAUCUAGAUGUUCCUAGAUCAAUUCCAGAUGGUGAAGAACAUGCUUAAAGGUCUCAUACACUCAAGAUCUUCCACCUGAUGACUCGAACCACAAUCUUGGUACUCCAAAGUGUGGGCUUUGGAAGAGAUGAAGAUAUGACUCUCUCUAUCUUUCUUUAGAGAUGAAAGAUGGAUCUCAUCAAAAAGUGGUGGAAACAUUAACCCCUAAGGGGGUAUUUAUAGGGUUCCCCUACUAAGCUUAAGUGACUUAAGCUCACCAAAGCUUGGGUCACUUAAUCUAACCUAAAACUAGUUCUAAUUGAUUAAUUAACCACAUAGAGUCAUCUAAUUAAUCAAUUAGCCCAAUCUAGAGACCUUGUUCACUAUCUCCUGUGCAACCAUGAAUCAUUACCAAAACAACCUUAUACACAAAAGUGAAUAUUGGCUCUCUUAGAAUUCAAUUCUAAAAUUGAUUCAACAUUCCACUAAAGAUAAUCAAUUGCACUCCAGUACCCUAUGUAAAUAACAACAAAAUGAAGUUUGAGUUCAUGACCUACUAUCCAUUACAUGCAGACUCCCCAUGAAUCGGUAUUUGUAAUUUAACAAGGUAGUAGUAUCACUUAUCAAGAUUACCUCUCCAAUCCUUGAGUUAAAAAUCUCAUUUGGAUCACCCAAGAAGACACAUUGUCUCCAUGAGAUGUCAUGAUGUCUCUAUUGAGAAUACUUGUUGUCACCAGCCUCCAUCAAUAGUGACCCAAUCCAUAAAGAUAUAUAACCACUUUAGGAUCUCACCCACCCACAUGUCCAAUCCUCAUGUUGAUUUUGAGACAGGCUCAAUAUGCUCUCAAGUUUGCAAGUCAAUCCAAUAUAGUAGUUUGUUGAAUCAUGACAAUUAAUAGUCUUGUGUCAUGAUUCAUCAUAGCUCUUUUCUAGUAGGCAUGACAUACACUAGUGCAAACAUCAUAGGAAACUCAUCCCAACAAUCAAGACAAGUAAUCCAUUCCAUUAGGAGAUGGUGUACUACAAUCUCUAAUGGAUUGCACAAAUCUAUGAACCAAUUAUGGACAACUUAUAUAUCUACUUACAAGAAACCCUUGACUUGUAUCUUUUGUGCAACUCCUAAGGCACUCAAGUCAUGUACAAUUUAAGAGAUAUAAACUAAAUGCUCAAAUCAAUGUCAAUACACCAAAGGGAUAACGAUGGGAUAGUCAAGUCUAAUUUUGUUACAUCAUGUCUUACUUUUAGGAUCUCAAUCCCAACAGUAUCACAUGGUAGUAGAAGAUAUAUGUUGAACUUUAUUGAUUAUUACUCUAGAAAGGUCUGGGUAUAUAUAUUCAAACACAAGAAUGAUGUCUUUGGGUAGUUCAAACAAUGGAAAGCUAUGUUCAAGAAGCAAACUAGAAAAUAAAUCAAGCACUUGAGAAUUGACAAUGGUAUGAAAUUUAUAUGGGAAGAGUUUAAUGAGUUUUGCAAGAAUGAAAGUAUUGUGAGACAUUACAUAGUUAGGCAUACUCCACAUAAAAAUGGUGUUGCAAAACAAAUGAAUGGAACUCUUUUAGAGAAAGCAUGAUGCACGCUUUCAAAUGCAGUGUUGUCAAAUGGAAUUUUAGGCUGAAGUGAUAAAUUCUACUUGUUAUCUUGUGAAUAGAUCUCCUUCAAUUCCUAUUAAUUAUAGGACUCCUGAAAAGAGAUGGUCUGGUUCUCUUUCUAAUUAUGGUAAUUUAAGAUUUUUUUUUUUCUUGUCCUACUUAUACUCAUGUAAAUGAAGGUAAGUUGGAACCAAGGAGAAGGAAGUGCAUAUUGUUAGGAUAUGCAGAUGAAGUGAAAGGGUACAAGUUAUGGUGACUAGAGUCAAAAUUCUCUAAAUUUAUAAUUAACAGGGAUGAGACUUUUAAUGAGUUUGAAAUGUUGUAUCCUAGGAAUGAGUAACUUGAUGUAGGAAACAACCCUAGUAUGAGAGAAAAUGUGGAGUUUGUGUCUAAAGCUUUAGAAACCAUAGAAAAAAAAAAUUAAAUAAGGCCAAAAGAGGAAGAAAUGCAACAUCUUAAUGAUAAAGAAAACGCACCAUAAGAGCAACAAUAUUAUUUAGCCAAAGAUAGAACAAAGAGGCAAAUUAAACCACCACAAAGGCAUGCUUAUGUAGAUUUGGUUGUUUAUGCACUUAGUAUGGUAAAGAACAUUAUUGAAAAUGAGGAACCACACACUUAUCAUGAAGUCAUCACUAGUAGAUGGUCUACACAAUGGAAUGUUGCUAUGAAUUAGGAGAUUAAAUCUCUUCAAAAGAACUAUACUUAACAACUAGUUGAGAAACCUAAAAACUCAAAAGAUUGUUGGUUGCAAAUGAUUCUUCAAAGAAAUGAAGGAAUUUCGGGAGUGGAGGAUGCUAGGUUCAAAGCACACUUAGUGGCAAAGGGUCACACACAAAAGGAGGGGGUGGGUUUCAAUGAAGUGUUUUCCCUAGUUGUGAAGCAUAACUCAAUUGGAGUGUUACUUGUUAUGGUUGUUUUAUUUAAUUUAGAAUUGGAGCAACUUGAUGUCAAGACUACUUUUUUACAUGAUAAGUUAGAAGAACAAAUUUAUAUGCAUCAACCUAAGGGAUUCAUUAUUUCGAGAAAAGAAAACCAUGUUUGUUUGCCGAAGAAAUCUCUUUAUGGUUUGAAGCAAUCUCCUAGGCAAUGGUAUAAAAGGUUUGAUACUUUUAUUAUUUGUAAUGGCCACCACAAGAGUGAGUAUGAUAAUUGUGUUCAUCAUAAGGAAUUGUUUGAUUAUUCUUUCAUUUAUUUAUUGUUAUAUGUUGAUGAUAUGUUAAUUUUCUACAAGAAUAUGUGAUAACCCGACUCUUGGUAGCUUGGCAUGUAAGGGUAUCAACAAAAUUUACACCUAAGGUCCUUACACUAAAGUAGCAAAGCUACUAUAGCAUAGUGGCUCUAGGAUCGAACACUGGGAAGGGUUUUUACUUUAACUGGUGAAGUUCGGAGGAUGGAGUGAACUUUUCUUAAUAAAAAUUAGGUUAAGAUGAAAACAUAAAAAGAUGAAGGCGUUGUAAACUAAACUAACAUGAAAAUAGGUUAAAAGAUGGAAAAAGAAGUUUCUCAAAGCUUUGGAUAGCCAUGCUUAACUCACUGUGUAAAAAUGGAGAUUUUGGGACUCUUCACCUCGAGUUGGGGAAGCAACUAAGGUGAUGCUUACUUCCCGAACCGGUAUGAGUUUAACAACUGAGUUUUAGUCCUUGAAAACUUACAAAAAGGGUAGCUGAACCUCAUAAAUGCUCUUUUAUUAGUAUAGGUCAUCUCCUCGACUUGCAAUACAAUGGCUCGUAGGAGAUAAUUAAUGAACGUCAGUGGAUCUAACAAUAAGAAUCCACUGAGACCAAAAGGUUAUCAAGUAUUGGCCAUUCAAAGCAAGUUAGAGGGAUUAAAAGCUUUACUUUGAAUGAAAACAUUUAUGACGCUUAGCUACUUACAUUUAUGGCUUGGAAAUCUUCAUCGUGACACGGGAGCUUCACAUGGCAUCCAUUACUUCAAGAAACUAAAAGGAUUUAGCCUUUCAUCCUUGGGGAUUUCAUCCUCCAAGGAUGUUUGGCUACUAAGAAAAUGAGAAAGAAAAGAGAAAAGAAGCGUAUGAACAGAAGUGCUCUUAUAACUUAUAAAGUUACAGGUUACAAGAUGAUCGUGUCUGAGGCUCUUCACCUCUAUUUAAAGACAAUAAAAAGCUAAAUUACAAGAGCUAUUACAAAAGCAACCUUUUCAUUGGUUGAUUACAAGGGUAAAAUAGAUUUUUACAAAGCUAAAAGUCAAGCAAAAUAUCUUGGAGAACCGGCAGUGGAAUAUCAUCAACAGCGUCUCAAAACAGGGGAUUUCAAAGGCAUUUCGCAAAGGGGGGGAGGGGGAGGGGAAGAUGAAAGGUCCAAAUUUUGCAAGGUGCCUAAAUCCAGCUUGCGAAAUUUCGCAAGGUGGUUUCUUCAUGGUGCGAAAUGGCCAAAUUUCGCACCAUGAGGAAAAUCCCCUUGCGAAAUUUUGGCAAGGCGAAAUUCACCUUGCGAAAUGGUGUUCCCAUUGCUUGUGCUCGUGUUUCCACUUGAAAUUCAAGCCUGUAAACGUCCAAAAUCCUUGCUUAACUCACCCAAGUAGCUCCUCCAUCAAUUGGUAUGCUUGAAUUGGUUCAUAAGCUGAUGAAAAACAUGUAAACUUGCCACUAAAAAUGGUUAGAACUAAUUACUAAGGAGCUUAAUGAAUUAAUUGGGUUAAAUGAAUAUGAUUACUACACAAAGGUGCUUAAAACCCUUAUAAUUAGGUCUACAAAAUAGCACUUUUUGGUAGUAAUCACACCCCCCAACCGACUCAUUGCUAGUCCCUUAGCAAUGGAGGAGAUAAAAACUAAGCAAACAUAAUAAUAUACAUAAAAGAGGUCAUGCAAAUCACUCCAAAAAAUAAUUGAGUGGCAUGACUGAUAUCAAAACACAUCUCACAUGGUGAACUAAAGAUAUGAAGAUUCAAAAUGCAAUAGGAGUUGUCAAAGCUAAAACUUAAACAAAAAGUACAAAGAGUGGAGAUUAUGCAAUUAAGUAUCAAAAGAAUCUCUACUCUCAAGGUUCCGAAUCAAACUCUUCCAUAAUGAGCUAAGUGUUAAUGAGAUUAGCUUCCAGAUAUAGUAUGUACAACUAUCCUCUCCCCCCAACCUAAGCUUUUCUCGAACUUUGGCAAAAUUAACCAACUCUUAAUAGGUUAGGAACGCACCUUCUUAUUCACAAUUCUUUUUAUUCACUAAACUUAACCAAUUCACCUAUGUAGCAAGCAGAGGAUCGAUGACUCCCAACCAAUCAGGGUUUAGGGCAUCGGGUUUUAAAGGCUUUCGCCACCCAUUCGGAUCAUGCUUAGGUUUCAAGGAAAGAAUAGAAGCUUAUUCUCUUUUUUUUUUUUUUUUUUUUUUUUUUUUAAGACUCAUUGGUCUUUUUGAGGUGUCCCAACACUAUUAAAAAGAGGUUAAGUAAUGAACCAAGUCAAAAUUUUCCUAAGCUUAAAGGGUGAGAAAGUUUUACAUCAUAUAUCCGAGAUCUAAUGUGCACGGUGUGUGUAAAGCUUGAAAUGGAAGAAAAAAGUUCGAAAUCAAAGAGGGUUUCAAUAGAUUAUCAACUUUGAAAGCAUAAAACAAACUCUAAGACUUAAGUAAUUAAGUUAAAACUCGACUUAUCCUAUUUUAUUUUGAGAAAUUAUCUUUAACAACCAUAGAGAAUGAAACAAAAAUUUUUGAAAAAGGUCAAAAACUACUAAAUCAACAAAAUAACUAACUAAAAUAGGAAAUACUUACUUCCUCAACUCUCCCCCCAACCGAGAUGAACAUUGUCCCCAAUGUUUCUAUCGAAAAAGACGAGGAAGGAAUGAUAUACCUUAUGGUGAUGUGGUAUUCAAGGCGUGUGAGUGCAUCCACAUGAUUCAAAAACCAUAAGAAACGUGAGAGAGGAAAUAAGAUACAAAAAAUGAUGCUUAUAUAAACUGAGAGAGUUGAGUACAAGAUAUAAGCAUGAGGUACAUACAAUCUCAGAAUAUAAAACAUGUAUCAUAUACAAAAUGGAGAUAGAAAUAUCCAAUCAUGGAUGUGGCUCCUGAGGUGGAGGAGGUGAUAUGCCCAGGUGAUGGUGGAUCUGAGAGAGCAUGGCGGAGUGCUGGUCCAGGAUAGCUGUAUGCUGAGCCUGAAUAGAUGUAUGCUGAGCCUGAUGUGUCUGUAUGGUAUCCAUCUGUCGUCUGAUGGCCUGCAUCUCACGGACUAAGGUGGCCUGAGAGGUGCUCAAUGAGUGAAAGGACGACAUGAGAGCUCUGAACUCUGUAGCGGAGACAGCAAUGGAUGGCCCGGCUGAAGACUCAGCAUAGGCUGGAGCAGGAGUGACUGGUGGUGUGGGAGUAUCAGUAGUGCAAGUCACUAGAGCAGGUACUGAAGAAGAAGGCUCUGUGGUAUGUGGGUCCUGCUCUGGUGAUGUCUGUGCUGUAGGUGCUGAGGUUGCUGGAGAAUCGGGAGGCGCUGGAGAAGCUGGAGGCGCGGGAGCUAAUGGUCUAGGGAUACCCUAGUCCAUGGGUGAGAGGUCUAAGAAAUGGGUCCAACUCUCACUGGUAAAGAGCUCUCGACAAUGAUGACGACGCUCUAGAUGGGGCUGAGAAGGGUAUCCCAUAUCCUCUAAGACCUGAGAGAUCAGCCUUGGAAAUAAGAGUGGAAUAGUACCAGCUCUGUGUAGGCGCUUCCUAUGCACCUUCUCCUCAAAAUAGGUAAGAGUAGCCAUGACUAGAUGGUGGGGUCCAAAGUAGAAUCCCUCAGAGAUGCGGUAAAGCGCAUCUAAGAUAGCACCUCUCCUCUGGACGACAUGCUGGAGGGGAAAAAGAUUGGUGCGGAGCACCAAAUCGAUAAGUAACAUCUGUGGAGGAAGCUCCCUCCUCAAAAUGGUCCUACCAGUGACUCUACCUCCUGAUAAGGUAGACACCAUGUCGGGCUCUGAAUACUGAGACCAAUGCCGGAAGGAACCAAGGUCCUCAAGGAUAGGCGGAAAAUGCAUAGCGGCGGCUAUAUCUCGGGCCUCUAAAAUACCAUGCUGGCCAUCAAUAAAAAAAUGAAUGGCUAUGGGGUCCGGACGCCUCUAGUAGUCAUAGUCUGGUAGAAAUCUAAGACUACCCUAGGGUAAUAGAAGGACCUAGGAGUCAUAAAUGGCUCGAUGUGGUACCUCUACAGAAGGCGGUAUGACUCCUCUAGCUCUGGUAAUAGGCGGAGAGUCUCAUGCUCCAUACAGAUCUCGUAGUGAAAUGGCCUAUCUCUGAUAUCCGUGUUGCCUGGGAGGGGUGGCCCUACUAUCAUAGGCCGCUUGAGGACCUCUGCUAGGUGUGAAGGGCCUGGGAUAGUAGAUAUUGGAGGUGAUGGAGGGGCUCUGGAGGACUCGCCUGGUCCUGAAAUCCUAGUCCUCUUAGGUGAAAGACUGCUCACAAGGGGUGGCAUUGGUGCCCUGGAAGACCCAGAUGAUCGUCUGGUCCCGUACCCGUGCUGAGUAGAGGGAACUGGGGUCUGGGCAGGCUGAGAUGGUGUAGAACGACCACCUCUCUGUGAGUGGGCCCCACGCUGACUAGCUGAAGAGGAUGCCCCCCGUGUCUGUGCCAUGGUAUAAAUACUGAAAUAAGACUGAAAAGCACGAAAAAUAGAGCAUCCCUGAUUACUACCAAAAAGUGCUAUUUUGUAGACCUAAUCAUAAUGGUUUUAAGCACCUUUGAGUAGUAAUCAUAUUCAUUUAACCCAAUUAAUUCAUUAAGGUCCUUAGUAAUUGGUUCUAACCAUUUUGUGGUAAGUUUUGGUGCUUUUUGAUAGCUUUUUGCUCACCAAAGCAAUCCAAGAAUGAGGGAGAGCUGUAUAUAGUUCAUGGCAAAGCUUUUGAAAGCUCAAAUUCAUGAAGAAACCAAGCUUUGGAGCUCAAUAACCCUUUUCCAAAGUCGUUCAAAGUAUGCAAGGAAAGAACAAACGGAGAGAGGAAAACAGAGUAAGGAAAAUAGGGGACAGCAACUGCAGCCUUCCUUCGCACUUUUAGAGCACUUUCCGAAGUUCAUUUUCUACAUGCUAUAUACCAUUUCAAAGCUCAGGAAGUCAAGAAUCUAAAGCUUCAAACCGUGUACGAUUUGGAGCUGAAAUGAGGAAGAUAUGGCCUUAGGAAGACAACUGCAUCAAGCUAAAGGACAAUUUCGCACCUUGCGAAAUUGGAACUCCAACGUGCGAAAUUUAAAGUGGAUGGCAGCUGUGUAGUUGCGGUGAAGCCCAGCAUGCGAAGUUGAUUUUGCAACUUGUGGACUUGGAUCUCAACAUGAGAAAGUGAAUUCUAAGUUGCGAAAUCAACUUGCGAAAUUUUCGCAAGUCACCAUGCAACGUGCGAAACUGGGAUAUUUAUGCCGACUCUUUUUCUUCUGAUAUUUUUGUGUCUAAAUUUCCAUUUUCUCCUUGUAUUCAGCCACUCAUGUAAUUCCUUAGCUAUGAAGUAUCCAAGGAAGGGUAAAUUACCUUCCUAUAUAAACUCUCUUGUAAACACUGAAAAAAGGACUCUCGGGGAGCUUUUUCCAAGAGACCAACUUAUGUAAAUUUUACACUUAGUGAAAUACAGAGAUCUCUUUUGCUUUCUUUUUCUCUCUACUAUUUUCUUUUUCUUGGAAGCCAAACAGCCUCUGAGGAUGUUUUCCCAGGGGAUGAGAGGCUAAACUUAUAGUUUCUUGGAGUGAAGGAAGCUAGGUGAAAAGUCCAGAUGAAAAGGUGGAAAGCUUCCGUGCAUUAAAUUCAGGUAGUUGGAGUUCAUAAAUGGCUUCUAAAUCCAAAGUUUUGCUUUAAAUCCCUUAGAAUCACUUUGAACGGCCAAUACAUGGUAAGCUUCAGGUCUCUGUGGAUGCUUAUUGCUAGAUCCAUAUCAGUCCAUUAGUUAUCAUGUACGAGCCAUUGGAAAGUGGUUCAAGGUGAAGACCCAUAGUGUCUUAAGCCAUUAAUGGACCUUGACUAUCAUUUCUAUUGACUUUUUAUAGAUUAAAUCUUCAUUGUUAAACCUAUACCGGUUCGGGAAAUAACUAUAGGUUAAAUCCCCAAUGCGAGGAGAAAAAUCCGGAAUUUCCACUUUGCAUUCUGAACUUGAUCCUAGCAACCCUUAGCUCCGGGAGACUUUCUUUCUUCCAUUUUUACUUAGUUCUAUGUUAGUUUAAUUUCAGUCACCACUUGCAAAACAAAUUUUAUUUUCUUUUAAACUUCAAGUUUAUGAUAAAGGAAAUCAUCAGACUCAAUUUCUAAUCUAGAGUCUGUCACUGAUAGAGUGAAAACCCAUCCCUGAGUUCGACCCUAGAGCUGCUAUACUAUAGUAGCUUUGCUACGCCAGUAUAAGGUCAUAGGAUUUAUAAAUAUUUUUUUAUUAAAAGACCCGACGGGGUAUGAAUAAAUCCCAGGGGUAAAGUGUCAAAAAUAUAGUUGAAAUGGUAACCAGUGCAAAAUUUGCAAGGCAUGAAUAGUGGUUGCUAAAUUUGGCAACGGGCACUAUUCACGCAACACUAAUCACAGGCACUAUUCAUCUUCUUUUCCAAUGCUUACUUUGAAUUUGAGUUUUCAUUUUUAACGGUUUAAAGUUCAGAAAAAGGGUAUGGUUUUAAUGGAAACAUGAUUCUAAAUGCAAUGGAGUAAGUUUGGGAGCCUAAAACACAUUGCAAGAUAGAGAUUUUUGCAAAAAUGGUGGCCGGCCAUGUGGGUCUUUGAUUUGAAAAAAUGGAUUUUUGAAAUGGUUUUAAUGGAUGAAAAUGCAUGUUUAUGGUCCCUUAAACAUUGAAAUGACAUAAACAAGCAAUUUAAGGAGCCAAAAAUGGAGAAAAAUGAAAAAUUAUUCACCUUGGAACAAUGAAGCACGCGGCCUAGAGAGGAAAUGCAAGGGGAAUAGUGUUUUAUGCAUGAAAAAUGAAGUUGAGAAGGCUUUAAAAAGGGUUUUUGGCCAUGAAUUUUUUUUUGAAAAUUUGUCUAAGUACGGGGAUGAACUGAGGAGUGUUAAAACUACAAAAUUGAAGUUUGAAAAUGAAUUUAAAAAGAAUCAAAUCCUUGGUAAGCAUGAAGAAAAAAUUUCGCAAGGUGAAAAUUCACCUUGCCAAAUUUUCGCACUGGCUACUCCCCUUAAAAACCAAUUCCGAGAGGUUGUAAAUUGCAUCUUGCCAAAAUGUGCAUUUCGCAAGGUGAAAAUUGACUUGCGAAAAUUUUCGCACUGGUUACUCCUUGCGAAAGUGCAAUCCCAGCGAAAGUGCAAUCCCGAGAGGUCGUAAAUUGCAUCUUGCCAAAAUGUGCAUUUUGCAAGGUGAAAUUCACCUUGCCAAAUUUUCGCAACUCACUUUUUGAGUUGCGAAAUGGGCUUUUAAGCUUGGACUUAGAUAUAUUUCUCCCCUAUUUCACCUUUCUCUCCACAUUUAUGAGCUUGUGAGCUUUUGUACCUGCUAUUGGACAUCAAAGCUCCAUUAAAAACAUUAAAAAAUCAAAAUCAAAACUAAGAAACCUAAACAAAAUAUGUGCAAAAGUAUUAAAAAUGCAAAGUAAACAAGAAUGUAAUACUAAAAUUAAAACAAAAAGAGAUGAGCACUUAACUUUUCAUGCUAAGCUCAUCAACUUACCACACUUUCUCAAGGAUGUGAUGGGUCAUGGAGGAUGAGUACCUCCUUGUCACGGGAAAAUGGCUCGAUGUAGGGUUUGAGUCUUUGCCCAUUUACCUUGAAGAUCUUUGCACUUUUUGAAUUGAGUAACUCAAUUACUCCAUGUGAGUGUACUUGGUGGAUGACAAAAGGCCCUACCCACCUUGAUUUGAGCUUUCCCGGAAAUAUGUGAAGCUUAGAGUCAUAUAGCAAGACUCUUUGUCCCUUGAAAAAUUCUUUCUUGGUCACCAACUGAUCAUGCCAUCUCUUUAGCUUUUCCUUAGCUAUUUUUGAGUUGAGAUAGGCAUCAUUUCUCAAUUCCUCAAGCUCAUUCAAAUCCAAACUCCUCUUUAGCCUAGCCUUUGUUAAAUCCAUGUUGAGCUUUUUAAUGGCCCACCAUGCCUUGAACUCAAUCUCAACGGGAAGAUGGCAAGCUUUGCCAUAAACAAGACAGUACGGUGACAUCCCAAGGAUAGUCUUAUAAGUCGUCCUAUACGCCCAUAGGGAAUCAAGGAGCUUAAACAAACCAAUCUUUCUUAUUGGUGUUCACCACCUUCAUCAAGAUGUUCUUAAUUUCCCGGUUGGCUAGCUCUACUUGGCCACUCGUCUGAGGAUGAUAAGGUGUAGCUACCUUAUGCUUAAUUCCGUACUUGGCCAAAAGAGCUUCAAAGGGCUUGUUGCACAAGUGAGUGCCUCCAUCACUGAUGAUUGCUUUAGGCACUCCAAACCUCGAGAAGAUGUUUUCUUUUAGGAACUUGAGAACCACUUUGUGAUCAUUGGUUCCACAGGGUAUAGCUUCAACCCACUUUGAAACAUAAUCAACUCCUACCAAGAUGUAGGAGUGGCCAAAAGACAUAGGGAAAGGUCCCAUGAAGUCUAUGCCCCAAACAUAAAAAAGAUCCACUAUCAAGAUGGGGUUCAAAGGCAUCAUGUUUCUCCUUGAAAGCUUGCCUAGUCUUUGGCACUUAUCACAUCCUUUACUUACCUCAUGGGCAUCCUUAAAAAGUGAGGGCCACCAAAAGCCCGAUUGAAGAACUCUCAUUGCCGUCUUUUGAGAGGCAAAGUGGCCUCCACAUGCAUUCCCAUGGCAAUGAGAUAGGAUCCCAUGCUUCUCUUUUUCAGGCACACACUUCCUUAUAAUUUGGUCUGCACAAUACUUGAAGAGAAAAGGCUCCUCCCAAUAAUAUGCAUGGACCUUGGCAAAGAAAUUCUUCUUGUCCUGAGAGCUCCAUUCACUUGGUAUUUCUCCCGUGACCAAGUAAUUGGCAAUGUGUGCAAACCAUGGCACUUCCUCCACAAGCAUCAAGGAUUCCUCAGGGAAAUCAUCAUUUAUGGGAAGUCCAUGGGUGUCAUGAGCGAUGUUGAGCCUUAACAAGUGGUCAGCUACCACAUUCUCAAUACCUUUCUUAUCUCUGAUCUGGAGGUUGAACUCUUGAAGCAAAAGUAUCCACCUAAUCAACCUAGCCUUGGCAUCUUGCUUGGUUAGCAAAUACUUCAAAGCUGAAUGAUCCGUGAAUACCACAAUGGAAGACCCUAUCAAAUAAGCUCUGAACUUAUCCAAAGCAUACACCACAGCAAGUAAUUCCUUCUCAGUGGUGGUGUAAUUCCUUUGAGCAUCAUUCAAAGACUUGCUUGCAUAGUAGAUCACAUAAGGUUUACCAUCUUCUCUUUGUCCCAAAACAGCCCCAAUGGCAUAAUCACUUGAGUCACACAUCACUUCAAAUGGCAACUCCCAAUUUGGUGCUCUCAUAAUGGGCGCUGAUGUCAAGAAUUGCUUAAGAAGCUCAAAACUCCUUUGACAUUUAUCAUCCCACUCAAACUUGGCAUCCUUCACCAAUAAUUCACAAAGAGGUUUGGCAAUCUUGGAAAAAUCCUUUAUAAACCUCCUAUAGAACCCGGCAUGCCCAAGGAAUUGCCUUAUUCCUUUUACAUUGGUGGGAGGUGGCAACUUCACAAUUAGUUCCGCCUUAGCUCUAUCUACCUCUAUACCCUUCUUUGAGAUUACGUGCCCAAGAACAAUACCUUGAUUUACCAUAAAAUGGCACUUCUCCCAAUUGAGUACUAGGUCUUUCUCUAUGCAUCUUUUCAAAACAUCUUCAAGAUGUGACAAACAAUCCUCAAAAGAAGUCCCAUACACAGUUAUGUCAUCCAUGAAGACUUCCAUGAUUCGUUCAACCAUGUCACUGAAGAUGCUAAGCAUGCAUCUUUUGAAGGUAGCAGGAGCGUUGCAUAAUCCAAAAGGCAUCCGCCUAUAAGCAUAGGUGUCGAAUGGACAAGUGAAGGUAGUCUUCUCCUGGUCCUCCACAUCAAUCUCUAUUUGAAAAUACCCGGAAUACCCAUCCAAGAAGCAAUAAAAAGGAUGCCCAGAUACUCUCUCAAGGACUUGAUCCAUGAAAGGUAAAGGGAAGUGAUCCUUUCUCGUUACUGUGUUCAACUUCCUGUAGUCAAUGCACACCCUCCAACCAGUUGUGAGGUGUGUGGACACUUCAUCUCCAUUUUCCCCCUUGACUACGGUUAUCCCGGACUUCUUUGGAACAACUUGGGUUGGACUCACCCAAGUGCUAUCUGAAAUGGGGUAAAUGAUGCCCGCUUGAAGAAGCUUCAACACUUCAGCCCUUACUACCUCUUGCAUAUGAGGAUUCAAUCUCCUCUGUGGCUGACGAGUUGGCUUAGCUCCCUCCUCCAUAUAAAUAUGGUGCGUGCAAAUCAAUGGGCUUAUCCCCUUCAAAUCAGAAAUUUGCCAUCCGAUGGCCUUCUUGUGCUUUCUAAGGAUUCUUAGAAGAUUGUCCUCUUGUGAAACGGUUAAAGAAGAAGAAAUUACCACUGGGGCUUUAUUGCCUUCCUCCAAGUAAGCAUACUUCAACUCGGCAGGAAGGGUCUUCAAUUCAAGCUUAAGGAUUGCAUCCUUAGCUUCUUUCAUCUCUUCCUCAUCCUUGAACAAAGGGAGGAUCACUGGCUUUUGUCUCCAGUUUGACAUAACAGCAUUCAUUCCCAUGGGUUCAGCUAACCCAUCAUUAAGAUCUUCAUGGAUUUCAUCUGGAUUCUCUUCAAACUAAUCAAGCAUACUCUGAUUACAAUGCUCCUCCACCAGGGUAUCUAUCAUACACACUUCUUCUAGGCCCUCAUCUUCUUCAGGAUGGAUGUGCUUUUGACAUAGAUGGAAGAUGUUGAGUUCCAAUGUCAUAUUCCCAAAAGUGAGUUGCAUGACCCCGUUCCUACAAUUGAUGAUUGCAUUGGAUGUUGCAAGGAAUGGUCUUCCAAGGAUGAUUGGAACAUAGUUGAUCCCUUUGACAAUGGGAUCCGUAUCAAGCACCACAAAAUCUACUGGAUAGUAGAAUUUGUCAACUUGAACCAAUACAUCCUCUAUUACCCCCCUGGGGAUUUUCACUGAUCGGUCAGCUAAGGAUAGGGUGAUCGAUGUUGGCUUGAGUUCUCCCAACCCCAGGUCCUUGUAUAUAGAGUAUGGAAGCAAGUUAACACUUGCCCCCAAAUCAAGCAAUGCCUUCUCCACUUGGGUUCCUCCAAUAUUGACUGAGAUUGUAGGACACCCCGGAUCUUUGUAUUUGAUUGGAGAGUUGCAUUAGAUUAUAGCACUCACUUGCUCGGUUAGGAAGGCUUGCUUUGUAACAUUGAGUCCUCUUUUCACAGUGCACAAGUCCUUCAAAAACUUUGCAUAUGUGGGUACUUGCUUGAUCAUAUCAAGUAAAGGAAUAUUCACCUUCACUUGUCUUAGCACAUCAAGAAUCUCAGAAGCAUUCUUGAUUGGUUUCUUCCCACGCAAGGCUUGAGGAAAUGGAGGAGGCAUGUGCUUCUUCAUCAUGCCUUCCUUUAAAAGAAUUUGAGGUUCCUCAUCCAUGCUAGGAAUGAUGCUUUCUUUCAUCUGAACUUCCUUACCCUUUUGUUCUUUCUUCUUUUCUUCUUUUCUAUCAGCCUUGUCUUCGUUGGCUUUCCUCUGAUCAUGCUCCGGCUGAUGCACUUCCUUACCACUUCUCAAAGUGAUAAUAGCUUGCACGUCCCUCACCUUUGAAGAAUCCUCAUCUUUAGAUUCCACUUCAUGUAUCCCCUUAGGAUUUUGGUGAGGCUGAGAGGGAAACUUCCCUUUCUCAUUGACAGUGUUCAAAUUUGUAAGCCUUGAGAUGGAAUAUUGGAUGUUGUCAAUUUUCUGAGACAACUCAUUAUGCAUCCCAUCUAUCUUCUUGUUCAAUGUACUCUCUACGUUGUCAAUCUUCUGAUUUAGUUGAGAGUUGAUGGAUUUUUGGUCACUCACAAAGUCACCCAUAACCUUGCUAAGGCUUAUGAGUGCUUGCUCAACUGAGGAUUGACCUUGACUCUGUUGGCUUGAUUGGGCUGGUGACUGAUAUGGGUUUGGCCUUGGCUUCCAUGCAAAUUUUGGGUGGUUCCUCCAGCUAGAGUUGUACGUGUUGCCAUAGGGAGCAUUUGAAUUUGGCUUCCAUUGGCCAAUCAGGUUAGCUUGUUCCUCGAACAUUUCUCUUGCUGCUGGAAUGGUGGGACAUUCUUCCACCAUAUGUUCAAAUGACUAACAGAUGGAGCAAGGAUUGGCUUGUUGUUGAGGUUCUGAAAUAGCUUGGACUUCGUGAACUUUUCUCAACUCCAUUUCCUCCAUUUUUCUAGCCAUGGCAGCUACCUUGGCUUUCAUCUCCAUGUCUUCACUCAGAUUGUACAUCCCCCCUCUUGACAUUUGCUGAACUGGCCUCUUCCCCAUUUCUCUGUUAUUGGGCUCAUCCCAUCCACGGGAAACCUCUGAGACAUAACUUAGGAAAUCCAUAGCCUCCUCAGGGUUCUUGCUCAUGAAAUCACCCCCACACAUUGUCUCCAAUAUCUGCUUCAUUGAAGAUGACAUGCCAUCAUAAAAAUAGCUCACCAACAGCCAUGUAUCAAAGCCGUGGUGAGGACAUGCAUUGAUGGCCUCCAUAUACCUCUCCCAGUAUUCAUAAAAUUUUUCAUUCUCACGUGCUGAGAAGUUGGAGAUUUGUCUCUUCAAUCCAUUUGUUCUAUGAGUAGGGAAAAACUUCUUCAAAAAAUCAGCUUGAAGUUCUGUCCAUGUUCUUAUGCUUCUCGGCCUCAAGGAAUUGAGCCAUAUCUGGGCUUUGUCCUUUAAUGUGAAUGGAAAGAGCUUCAACCUCAUAAGCUCAAUAGCUGUUCCCCCUUCUUGAAAAGUAUUGCACACAUCUUCGAAUUCCUUUAUGUGCGCAUAUGGAUUUUCACUUUCCAUCCCAUGGAAAGUAGGAAGCAGAGGCACGAUGUGUGGCCUGAUAAUCAAUUGCUUUGUAGGAGGAAUGAUGCAAGAUGGUGCACUCAUCCUCGGAGGGUGCAUCCUGUCCCUCAUGGACCUAUACAAGUUCGGAUCAUUCUACUGCCCGUGUUGUGAAUGUUGAUCCUCUGGCUGAUUCUCCAUGACUUCCAAAAUAAUCUCUAAUUCAGUAGCUCGUGGAGUCUCUAUCCGCACUAACCUUCCCUCUUGGUCUCUAAUCCAAUAGGGCAUGCACGGAUUCAGCUGGAACAAAACAAAUAAACAAAACAAAGAAAAAGAAAAAAAAAACAGAGCAUGCGGAAGGAAAAACAAAGUAUGAAAAAUAAACUAAAAAUGAAAGUUAAAAGCUAAAAGAAACUUAUCUAAACUAAGUUAAAAAUGUUCUAAAACUAAAAUAAAAAGUUAGUAAAUGAAAAAUGAGAUAGAAUUCACCUCACUCAUGAGAAGUCUCACAAGUUACCUCCGGCUGAUCUAUUCACAGUGAAGUAGCACCCCUCCUCGGCAACGGCGCUAUUUGAUAACCCGACUCUUGGUAGCUUGGCAUGUAAGGGUAUCAACAAAAUUUAUACCUAAGGUCCUUACACUAAAGUAGCAAAGCUAUUAUAGCAUAGUGGCUCUAGGAUCGAACACUGGGAAGGGUUUUUACUUUAACUGGUGAAGUUCGGAGGAUGGAGUGAACUUUUCUUAAUAAAAAUUAGGUUAAGAUGAAAACAUAAAAAGAUGAAGGCGUUGUAAACUAAACUAACAUGAAACUAGGUUAAAAGAUGGAAAAAGAAGUUUCUCAGAGCUUUGGAUAGCCAUGCUUAACUCAUUGUGUAAAAAUGGAGAUUUUGGGACUCUUCACCUUGAGUUGGGGAAGCAACUAAGGUGAUGCUUACUUCCCGAACCGGUAUGAGUUUAACAACUGAGUUUUAGUCCUUGAAAACUUACAAAAAGGGUAGCUGAACCUCAUAAAUGCUCUUUUAUUGGUAUAGGUCAUCUCCUCGACUUGCAAUACAAUGGCUUGUAGGAGAUAAUUAAUGAACGUCAGUGGAUCUAACAAUAAGAAUCCACUGAGACCAAAAGGUUAUCAAGUAUUGGCCAUUCAAAGCAAGUCAGAGGGAUUAAAAGCUUUACUUUGAAUGAAACAUUUAUGACGCUCAGCUACUUACAUUUAUGGCUUGGAAAUCUCCAUCCUGACACGGGAGCUUCACAUGGCAUCCAUUACUUCAAGAAACUAAAAGGUUUUAGCCUUUCAUCCUUGGGGAUUUCAUCCUCCAAGGAUGUUUGGCUACUAAGAAAAUGAGAAAGAAAAGAGAAAAGAAGCGUAUGAACAAAAGUGCUCUUAUAACUUAUAAAGUUACAGGUUACAAGAUGAUCGUGUCUGAGGCUCUUCACCUCUAUUUAAAGACAAUAAAAAGCUAAAUUACAAGAGCUAUUACAAAAACAACCUUUUCAUUGGUUGAUUACAAGGGUAAAAUAGGUAUUUACAAAGCUAAAAGUCAAGCAAAAUAUCUUGGAGAACCGACAGUGGAAUAUCAUCAACAGCGUCUCAAAACAAGGGAUUUCAAAGGCAUUUCGCAAAGGGGGGGAAGAUGAAAGGUCCAAAUUUCGCAAGGUGCCUAAGUCCACCUUGCGAAAUUUCGCAAGGUAGUUCUUCAUGGUGCGAAAUGGCCAAAUUUCGCACCAUGAGGAAAAUCCCCUUGCGAAAUUUUGGCAAGGCGAAAUUCACCUUGCGAAAUGGUGUUCCCAUUGCUUGUGCUCGUGUUUCCACUUGAAAUUCAAGCCUGUAAACGUCCAAAAUCCUUGCUUGACUCGCCCAAGUAGCUCCUCCAUCAAUUGGUAUGCUUGAAUUGGUUCAUAAGCUGAUGAAAAACAUGUAAACUUGCCACUAAAAAUGGUUAGAACUAAUUACUAAGCAGCUUAAUGAAUUAAUUGGGUUAAAUGAAUGUGAUUACUACACAAAGGUGCUUAAAACCCUUAUAAUUAGGUCUACAAAAUAGCACUUUUCGGUAGUAAUCAAUAUGUCUGAGAUUAACAAGUUGAAAACUCAACUUCAAGGAGAGUUUGAAAUAAAAGACCUUGGAGUUGGGAAGAAAAUAUUAGGUAUGAAGAUUCAUAGAGACCGAGAAGUAUGGCAAUUGUACUUAUCAUAGAAAAAGUAUAUUGAGAUAGUGUUGGAACAGUUUGGAAUGCAAGGGUAAAAACCAAUGAGUACUCAACCAGCAACUCACUUCAAACUUUCAAGUUCUUUAUUACCAUAGACCAAAGAAGAAAUGGAGUACAUGUCACAUGUUCCAUAUGCUAGUGCAAUUGAUAGCAUUAUGUAUGUCAUGGUUUGCACUAGGCCAAACAUUUCACAUGUAGUUAGUGUGGUAAGUAGAUAUAUGGAUCACCUUAGAAAGAUCCAUUGGGAAGCAAUGAAUGGAUACCUUGGUACUUGAGAGGAACAUCACAUAUUGACUUAGUAUAUGAUAAAAGUAGUGACAUCUCUGAGGAAAUCGGUGGUUAUGUUGAUUCUGAUUAUUCUAGAGAUUUGGAUAGAAGAAGAUUUUUAAUAGGGUAUGUAUUCACUUUAUGUGGUAGUGUUAGUAGUUGUAAAGCAACUUUGUAAUCUACAAUUGUUUUAUCAACCACUAACGUAGAAUACAUGGUGGUCACAGAAGCAGUGAAAGAAAUUAUUUGCCUUAAGGGUUUGGUUGGUGAUUUAAGCUUACAAUAGGAGUUGAUUGUUAUGUAUUGUGAUAACCAAAGUACCAUAUUUGACUAAAAAUCAAAUGUUCCAUGAGAUGAGCAACCAUAUUGAUGUCAAUGCAUUUUAUUAUGGAUGUGAUCGCAUAGGGUGCUAUUAUAGUGAAAAAAAAAUCCUUAUAGUGGAUAAUCUCAUAGAUAUGAUGACUAAGUCCAUUUCUAUAGUUAAGUUUAUGCAUUGCUUAGACUUGGUGUUAAUAGUAUCUAAAGGCCCUUUUCAGGUGUGAGGUCGAAGUAACAUGGAAGACUUUUGAGUUUUUUUUUUUUUUUUUUUUUUUUUAAUCUUGAGAAUUUGAGCCAAGGUGGAGAUUGUUGAAAAAUAUUUCAAAUUCUAUUUUUGAGUCAAUUGGACAAUUGUAGAUAGUUUUCUAAUAGAAAAUAUUCUUGUAAGUGAGUUUCCUAUUAUUAUAAAAGAAAUAUUCUUUUAGUAAAAGACAUCUUUGACAAUUAUACACUUAGUGUUUUAUAUGGAAUAUUUCUAUGUAAUUAGGAAAAUAUAUGUAUAGGAAGAGAUUUUGACCAAAAUAGUGGAAGUCUCUUUUUAGGUGUAAUUGGGACUUUGGGAUUUGAAAGCUCUAAGGUUGUAAUCUCCUUCAACAAUAGUGGAAAUUCUUCUUUGUCAUCACCUAUGGAUGUAGGCUUGAGGCUAAACCACAUAAAUUGUUAUGUACUUUGUGUGUUUUGUUUUCAUUUUCUUAUUCUUUUAUCCCUAUUAUUAUUCUUUGUCAUGAUUUUUCCCAAUAGAAGUAUAUAUAUACCAUGAGACUUGCAUGGUGGGAAGGGUAUAUUUCAUAUUAGUGACAAGAAGCAGAGCUUACUCAAUUGUGCUUUUUCUUUCAGAAUAUGGAAGGGGUUUCCUUAUGCUCAAGAAAUGCAUAGAUUCAAUUGAAUAAAUUGAGGAAUGCUUUACUCAAUUGUGUUUUUCCUUUCAGAAUAUGGAAUGGGUUUCUUUAUGCUCAAGAAAUGCAUAGAUUCAAUUGAAUAAAUUGAGAAAUGCUUACUCAAUUGUAUUUUUCCUUUCAAAAUAUGGAAGGUGUUUCCUUAUGCCCAAGAAAUGCAUAGAUUCAAUUGAAUAAAUUGAGGAAUAUGAUUGUUCUUUUUCUUUUUCUUUUUAUUUUUUAAAUAAUAGAUGAGCCAAGAUGGAACUUACGUGGAACACAUUGAUUCCAGUCAUUUUCUUGGACAAAGAUAUGCCCAAAAUAUGGGAAAAAGGCAUUUUAAAAUUAAAAAUGAUUUUAAAUUUAAGAGUUUCUUUUUUAUAUGUUUAAAAACUUUUUAAUGGGUAGAUUUGAAUUGUAACUUGCAAUUUAAUCUAAAGAACAUUCGAAAAUUAAAAAUUACAAUAAUGAGAUUCUCAAUCCUUCAAAAUGAAAUUAAUUUAAUCCUCUUUCUUUGUAAAUUAUCCCUCAAUUAAAUCAAUCUUUUAAAAAUUGAAUCUACUAAAUGAUAAUAUUCAUAUUUAAUCAAUUUAUUGUUGGAAUUUAUAUAGGUGAAUGGAAAUUAGGACUUCUUUUUUUUUUUCCCCCUUGGAAAACAUGCUAUUUCUUAACAGACACAACUUGUUUUAAAGAAUAUGUCUUGUAUUUAAAAGACAUCUUAAGAUACAAUCCUUCAAAGGAUACUAGACACAUCUUUUCUAAUAAGUCACCUUCAAAUCUUUAAAUAGGGACCCCACAUAGCAUUUUCAUUCAUUCAUCCAUUCUCUCCACUCUUUCUCAUUUCUUGUCAUUCAAGUUCUCUUUAACUUCUAGUCUAGUCAUUUAUCUUUUCUACCAAAUAUUUGGUAUACAAGAGAGUACAAAUCACCAAGUGAUUCAUUGUUUCUUGUGAUUUGAAGUACUACUAUCACAAGAAAGUGAUCGUUGUAUCCUGGGAGACGAUUGUCAAUAAACCGUAAGCACCUAAGCGGGACAAAUUCGUCUUAAGAACACAGAGUCAAACUCUUGUUUCGAUCAACCUUAUUUGUAAGUUCCAAUUUUCUAAUUACUUCAUUUUAUUUGAAUAUUUAUUACACACACUUAUUAUCCAUAUAUUUUGAGUGAUAUGGAUAACAUUUAUCUUUUUGUAUAAAUUCCUAAAUUUAUAUAACAUAAUUUAAACUUAAUUUCAUUUUGAUUCAAUUUUGUUUCAUGUUUUAUAAUUCUAUAAGGUUGAAUUUAGGGAUGGCAAUGGGCGGGUUUUUUCGGGUACCCACCCCGUCCCGCCCCUAAUGAGACGGGGUUUAAAUUUAAUAAACGGGUUUGGGACGGGUAUGAGAUUUUUUUUUAAACCCGGGGCGGGUUCGGGUAUUGCUCCAUCCCACCCCGCCCCACCCCGUUUACAUAUAAAAUUAAUUUUAAUUCAACGAGCUUAAUUCCACCCAAGAAUCCCUCUUCCCAAACCCAGAAACCCCACCAUUUUUCCUUCACGAAAGCUCUCAAAACUCCACCUAAUCAGAUCUGUUCAAGAACAAUUUGAUCACCAGCCUCUUACUCGGUCAACACCCAGAUGGGAAAACAUGCUUUCCACUGCAGCAAGCUUGUACCCUCUCUAUGUCACUGCUGGAGGGGUUGUUGCAUGUGUGAAGCCAUCUGUUUUUGCUUGGUUUGUGGCGAGAGGCCCAGCUUCUUAUAGCUUAUCACUUGGGUUAAUCAUGUUGUCCAUGGGUAUCACAUUGAAGCUCAGGGACUUCUUCAAUUUAUUGAUCCAGAGGCCUUUUUCUGUGAGUUUUUUAUGGUUUGGAGUUUUUGGGUGUUUUGGUAUUUGAUUGUUUUUGAGACAUGGNNNNNNNNNNNNNNNNNNNNNNNNNNNNNNNNNNNNNNNNNNNNNNNNNNNNNNNNNNNNNNNNNNNNNNNNNNNNNNNNNNNNNNNNNNNNNNNNNNNNGUUGAAUUCCAAUCAUAAUUAAAAAUUAAAUUGAUUUGUUAUAAUAUUAAAUAAGAUAUCUUUUGAAAAAAUUAUUAUAAUCAUUUAACAUAAUACAAAUUUCACCAAGUUUUUCUAACUAUGGUUCUCUAAUAAUUACCUUGUAAUAAUAAAAUUAAUUCUAACAAUAUAUGUCAUAAUCAAAUUUCAAAAAUCCAAUCUCAAAUAAUUUAAUAGCUGAGUUUAAAUUUAAUUUUUGAAAUUCUUAAUUUCCAAAUGUGACUUGACAAGAAUUUAAACUAUUGACUUUCGACUAAGGUUUUACACAUUUUGCCUAAUUAAAUAAAAUAUUGACACGUGAAUGUUCACUAACAUCACGUGAUUCAUUGAUUUAGACGAUUCAUUUUGGUUGAUGUUGAGGAUAGUCAUCGGCAGUAGACUAACAUCUUCUGGACCAAUUAACAUACCAGUAGUGAUUAGGCCAAGGUGGUGAUCCAAUUCCAUGGAAGAGCAGCAAGAAAGGAGGAACGUUGGAGAGAUAGAACCAGAAGGCGGCCAACCAAGCAGGAACAGUGGCCAAACUGGCCUCGAGCCUGAGGAGCAUAGGAUUGACAUUGUUGAAAUCAGUCAUAGGGAUUGGAUUGAGUCUCUCAGAACGGCAGAAGAAAGAACUCAAUCUCAAAGUCAAUGGCCAAGGAUACCAAAGGUUCCUCAGAUGCUGAGGGGGACCCAGGAUUUCAAGAAAUUCUACGAACCGAGGGUAAUUUCGAUCGGUCCUUACCACCAUGGCAGGCCCCACCUUUACCCAGGGGAAAUGAUCAAGCCUCUAUGCGCCCGAAACUUCCUGGCUGAUAGUAA
RNAcentral lists this long non-coding RNA (89222 nucleotides) under Vitis vinifera (wine grape). RNAcentral's name for it is "long non-coding RNA (VVIN_LNC004443)". The stretch from base 56414 to 56520 matches the Rfam family "Plant small nucleolar RNA R71". The record is from RNAcentral. Lineage: Eukaryota; Viridiplantae; Streptophyta; Magnoliopsida; Vitales; Vitaceae.